This 100817-nucleotide long non-coding RNA is filed under the name Oryza sativa (Asian cultivated rice). RNAcentral's name for it is "long non-coding RNA (OSAT_LNC000085)". The stretch from base 2305 to 2513 matches the Rfam family "MIR812 microRNA precursor family". Lineage: Eukaryota; Viridiplantae; Streptophyta; Magnoliopsida; Poales; Poaceae. The record is from RNAcentral.
UUUUUUGAAGCGUAGAGUAAAUAAUCUGUUACGAUAAUCUAAAAAGAACAGAGCCAAGCAACAUAAGAAACCGACGUUGUUCUGCAAAAGAUAUUGGAAAAAGGUAUAUUUGAUCGCUAUCUAAUGACACUGUUUUAUUGUUGCAUAUUUAAAUUGAUACCAUUGGUCAAAGCUUGACAACUCAAAAAAAAAAAAAACUGGCAGUUACUCACGAACGGCGUACUCAUUCAGAAUUUUAAUGAAACGGAACCUUCUUUGCAGCACCUUGCUUUGCAUUGUGAAAAGUGUAAGAAAUUAAACAGGAAUUCAUGUUGCUCUGUGUACAAUCAAUUGUACAUCCGGUUACUGCAAAACCGGUUUCCUUUCGUGUGAUUAAUUACUUUCGGUUUGAAGUUAAACUUUCUUUUCAAUUUACUGUUUGACUCAAAUCCCUCAAUGCCCAACCGAGCUACCUACUCCCCGGCGAGGCGAGCAUGGUGUCCGUGGACUUGAUCAGGUCUCCUAGGAAAAAUUCAUCGGCGGUAGUUAAAAUGGCCGGAAAAUUUUGUCACGCAUGAGACAUUCGACGCAUUCGUGAUCUAUGCAUGGUAGUACAUUAGAUCCGUUCAGACCGUUACAUCUUACCAAGAUUGCAAAGAUGGAGAAGCAAUGUCAAUAAUCACUGCUUCCUCCGUUACACGAUGUAAUACUUUCUAGCAUUACCUAAAUUUAUAUAAAUAUUAAUAAAUCUAGACAUAUAUACAAAAUAUAUAUAUUUAUUGAUUAAUGGAUAAAUCUAGAUAACGGAGAAAGAGAGGGAGUACGUACUACAAGAGGAGCGAACAUGUAUACACUUACUUUAUAAAUGAUAUUCCCUUUGUUUUUAAUAUAUAGCGUCGCUGAUUUUUUAAGAUAUAUUUGAUCAUUUAUUUUAUUAAAAAAAUUUAUAUAAUCAUUAUUUUUUUUAUUAUGAUCUGAUUUAUUAAAUGUUUUUAAGUAUGACUUACAAUAUUUUAUAUUUGCACAAAAAAUUUACAUAAGACGAGUGGUCAAACGUUUAUAAAAAAAUCAACGGCGUCAUGUAUUAAAAAACGGAGAUAGUAGUAUUAUAUUUCUACACUCUACAGACAUGUUAAUUUGGAGCUUAAAAAUUCUGGUCAAUCCCACCUAUGCAGAGCUUUUGUUUCCUAUGAAAUUCUAGCAAAAUUUACAUGCGUGCUUGCAGAAAUGACAUAACUUCCGCCAAAACAUGCUUGACUAGUUGACUUGAAUUGUUCAAUGUGGCAACACGCUUGCCGGUCAUUCAUGAGCACCGUGAACCUUCGCAUGUUUUUUGAGUCAAUGCAUGCGUACAGUCUACUGCUUUGAUCGGUUCAAAUUUUAACCAAACUUUUAAUUUUAGUGUGAACUAAACAUACCCUCUUUUAUAUUUCUCUCUUUUCUUUUCCAAUGCAAAAUUCUGUGUUCUCUUGACCAGAGUAACACUAAUAGGUCUUUCUCUCUCCAAAUUUUUCAGAGAUCGACGGAGGUAGCUAGCGAGAUGGCGAGAUCACCUCACCUCAGUACCUCACUUUGCGUGAGUGGAACAAACUGACUGUUAUAGCUGUAGGCAGCAGGAGACGUCUCAUUGUUUCCUGUAUACAGCAUUACUUGCUUCCAAAAUUUAAAUUUAAAAUUGAUUUUAAUUUUUUUAUCAAAGUUUAUUUUCCAGUAUUGAUAUUUAAGUCGUAAGAGAACACACACAUAUAUGUAUAUAUAUAUACAUAUACAUAUAUAUAUAUAUAUAUAUAUAUAUAUAUAUAUAUACAUAUAUUACUCACAAAUUAUUUUUUAUGUCGUACGGUGUAUUAUCCAUAUUUAGCUAAACUAUGGAACCCACAGCCGACUGAAACGAUCAAGAGCAAUGUAAUAGACAAUUAAAUUUUAAAAUAUACAUUGUUAUCCUCGAUCUUGCAUAUAUGCAUUUAAAAAUUUUACGAAGAUAUACAUUUCCCGCUAUUUAGGAACGUGACACCGCGUCCUUAGCAUAACUCGAAGGCGCGAGACUGACUGGAGGGGCGGUGCCGCAGUGCAAACCGACCAGUCUCUCGCAGGGUUCAACUUUUCGUUUACCGUGUGUUUGUAUCGAGCGGUGCCGAUAUUCGAACUUUGGAAUAAAAUUUAGUUAAAUUUGAACAAAUAUUACCAAAAUUAAAAAAAUACUAGAAGUUUUGGCCGAAAUAAUAUCGUAUUGAAGGGGUUAGAAAUGACCGAAAUCUCCCAAAUUAAUUUCAGUCCCAAAUGUCGAACCUGGUCUGUAGUACACUCGUAUUCCCUCCGUCCCAAAAUAAGUGCAGUUUUGCACUGUUCAUGUGUCACGUUUAACCGUUCAUCUUAUUUGUAAUUUUUUUUAUGAUUAAUAUUUUUAUUGUUAUUAGAUGAUAAAAUAUAAAUAGUACUUUGUAUGUGACUAAUUUAUUUUAAUUUUCUCAUAAAUUUUUUAAAUAAGACGGAUGGUCAAACGUUAGACACGGAUUCUCAUGGCUGCACUUAUUUUUGGGACAAAGGUAGUACUGCGGGAUCUCGGCGCGACAGCGACCACACCGGAACAAUAUCACCGUGUAACACGUUGCAAUGAGGAGGUCGGGUACAGUUGCAUGUUGUUGUCUUGAAAGCUGCUACUUUGAUAGAAAUAUUUGGAUUAAAUAUACAAUAACCGAAGGUAUGGAUUUCUUGUGGUAAAAAGCACCUUUUCCAAUACCAUGAUAUUACCGUAUCUAUCUACAUUGUUCACGUUGUCAACAAUAGAACACAAACACACACACGAAUACACGGAACACAAAAGUGGAGGGGCUAUAAACUUUUAUUGCUGUCUUCUCUCUGUUACAGGUUAACUUUUCCCUCAACCCCUCUACUGUAUUUAUACCCAUGAUAGAAUAGAGUGCUAUAAGAAUACAUACAUGUAUAUUUAUAUAUUUUGUAUAAGCCUACUUCAUCCCUAAGGAUAGUGAAGAAUAAAAGGAGGAGGCAGGAGGGUACUAUGACCAUCAUGAUCACGGCGCCGACCUCACGGUCACUACAAAUCCGAUUUUUUCGGGAGAUAAGUUUCGUAACACUAUCUAUCUAUUACUUCCUCCGAUUCAUAUUAUAACUUACUUUAAUUUUUUCUAAUCAAACGUUGUUAUAGAUCGAAUUAGUUUCAUUAAAUAUAACAUUGAAUAUAUUUUGAUAAUAUAUUUGUUUCAUAUUGGAAAUGCUAAUAUAUUUUUCUAUAGAAGUGACAUAUAAUAUGAGAAACGAAAGUAGUAUAUUAUUAAAAAUAGCUUUGAAAGUAAGCACCGCAUUAAUUCUGAAGGCUAGAAAUUAUCACAUUAAUCAAAUAAAAAGAAAAAAAAGAUCUUAAGAAUUAAAUUAUGGUAAGUCCAAACUACAAUGAUACAUAUUGAUUGAUAUAAUUGUAUACAAAACAUAAUUAAAUAAAUAGAAAUAGAAGCUGUGAGUUGUAUAUAAAAUUUAAGCAAAUCCAGACCUAAUAGAAAAAUAGAAGCUAAGUGUGGUAUAUAAAAUCAAAUAUACCCCUACAUAUAAUGGUAUGAAUAUAAAAAAUUAGAGUUGUAUAUUAAGUCUAACUCCACAUGCAUUAUAUAGCUCCGCGUAAAACUGAAUGAGGCAAUCUUGUAGUUACCUAAUUAUGAAAAGGUAUAAAUGCGUGAUUAGAACUAUAUCUCAAAGAUCGUAAGAAUAUCCAAACUGGGAUAAAAAUGGUCGGAAACAAUAUCAUUAUUUUAUUAUUUCUAUGAAAACAGUCGGAAAAUUUCAUAGUUUUGAAUUUAACUAUCUAGUAUUAACUUCAAUGUAACAGAAUUGAGAAAAACUAUUUUUUUAGAAACAAUAAUAGUCGAUAAAAAUAUUAUUAUGAUAUUAGUUUACAGAAAGUUAUCGGCGUGGUCAGAAAAUUUUCGUACCACCCUCACCCCUUCCCAAAACGAUAUAUAUGUCCAGGAGUUUCUGACUUUUGGGUCUACGAGCCUUGAGGAGAGAAGAAUAUCAAGUGCUACUGUACUAUCAAUGUUAAAAAAUACAUCCAAAAAGUUGCAAAAGAAAUAUGAAAAAAUUCGGAGAUGUGUAGGUAUGAAAAAUAUUAAAAAAUAUAAAAAAAAUCAAAUCAAAAUACUAUGUAGGUAGGGAAAAAAAGAUAAAUCACAGUUGAUUGGUAAAGUGACAUGCUUGAACACUGUUGGAGCACAAAUUUAUUAUUAUUUUUCUCCUACAUCAUAUUUUAAACUGAUUUUUUUGUGUGAUGCUACAUGUCUUAGAGCUACACAUCUCUGAUUUUUUUUUACAUUUUUUUGCAACUUUUUGGAUGUAUUUUCUGACGUUGGUAGCACGGUAGCACCCGAUAUUCUCUCGAGCAUUGAGCAAAGCAACCAAGCAAGCGGCAGCAGAGCGCGAGUCAUGCGACCCACACCGCCCAAAUCCUCGGAACGCAAAGCUCCCCGCUACUACUCUACUCUCCUACUAGUCGUCUACUACUCGGCCAGGUGAGGUGCCCAACCACCGCCGUGGUAGCGAGCGCGCGACAUGGCGGCGGCGGAGGUGAGGCACCGGACGGUGGAGGUGGCAAGCGGGGUGCGCCUGCACGUGGCGGAGGCGGGCCCGGAGGACGGGCCCGCCGUGCUGCUCGUCCACGGCUUCCCGGAGCUCUGGUACUCGUGGCGCCACCAGAUGCGCGCCCUCGCCGCGCGGGGGUUCCGCGCCGUGGCGCCCGACCUCCGCGGCUACGGCGACUCCGACGCCCCGCCGGGCCGGGACUCCUACACCGUGCUCCACCUCGUGGGCGACCUCGUCGCGCUCAUCGCCGACGUCGGCCAGCCCCGGGUGUUCGUGGCGGCGCACGACUGGGGCGCCGCCGUGGCGUGGCAACUGUGCCUGCUCCGCCCCGACCUCGUCACGGCGUUCGUCGCCCUCAGCGUCGAGUACCACCCGCGGAACCCCACGAGGAGCCCCGUACAAACCCUCAGGGCCGUGUGCGGGGACGGCCACUACAUCUGCUUCUUCCAGGUGAACAGCAACCAUUUAAUCCCUUUUCUGAAUUUUUGUACGACGCAGGCAGAACAAUGAAAUUAUUGAGGUCCCCUAGCAAUUAAGAUUGAUGGGUUGGGUUGCAAGUUAGUACUCGUAGUAGAAAAAUCAGAGCAAUUAUGAAGCUAUGUUCUUCUGUCCUAGCAACAUUGAUGGUUGUUGUUCCACGCAACUUAAAAGUGGUGAACAGCUGCUGUCUGCUGGAACGAUUUUACAAUCUUUGUUAGGACAAUUAGGCGAGUGUUUGUCGGUGACGCUUGUGCGCAGCGGCCUUCCGGGGAUGACCACUACAUCGCUGUCUGCAGCGGCCUUCCCCCAAUGCUUCCCUUCUGGAGCAGCGGCCUUCCACGAGCGGCUCUGCUCCAGUCUGCUCAAGGUUCAGAGGGAGUGCUGUCGCGGGUUCGACACAGUCGUGACCCUUGGCGCUUGGUCCAUUUGGAAGGAGAAGAACAGCGGCGUUUUCAACAAUUGCACACAGUCCUGGCUGACGUUGUUGCAGCUAUGGCGCAAGAGGACGCCCUCUGGCAGCUUGCUCAUCCCUCGUCGCCCGCGCUUCCUAGAUACUUCCUCCGUUUCAAGUUAUAAGACUUUCUGGCAUUGCCCACAUUCAUAUAUAUGUUAAUAAAUCUAGACAUAUAUAUGUGCCAAGAUUCAUUAACAUAUAUAUGAAUGUGGGCAAUGCUAGAAAGUCUUAUAACUUGAAACGGAGGUAGUAGCAUUCUUGGUUGCUAGGUCGUCACGUUGUGAGCAUGACUGCAUGAGAGUAGGCUCAAGUCCUUGUUUUCCAUUUCCUUCUUUUUUUUUCCCUUCCUUUUCUCCCCGCCCCCUCCCUCUCAUCUUUGUUUGGUCAUUCCUGUAAAUUUUAUUCCUCUUAAUACAAAGGUGAGCAAUCCUUUUGAGUAUUUCCAAAAAAAAACCCCAUUACUUGUAGUUGUAGGUGUUCUUGACUAUUGAGACUUCAGAAGGGUUAGAUUUGAAUUCUUUGCUCAAUUGAAAUAGAUUACAACGAAUAGAUUAGUUAAUUACAACGAAUGUUGAAUGACCUCAACAUCCUAGGUAGGGAAAUCGGAAUGUAUCCCUAUUGCAUUGCCAAGUUACUGGGUUCUUAAGGGUCCAAAGAAUUAUUGCUUCGAAGUAACCAUGUUGUUCUCUGAAGACUGGCCAUCCUUUGAACUAUGUUCUUCUCAUGAUCCUAUUGGGUAAUAUGCUUGGUAGCUCUAAAUUCCAAUAUUAUGCCGAGCUUAACAUAACAGUAACUCCUGCUUGGAGAGCUAUAACUAUUCUUUUUUUAUGUGGAGCUAUAAAUAGUUUAUUCAGAAGCAUGAGAGUAUAGUCGAUCUUGAAGAACAUUGAUGACUCCUGUCUCAGAUAUUAAUAGCCUUAUCUUGACAUUCUCUUUACCCUUUUGGAUAUUGAAUACAGCAGUCCAUACUGUUUAUUCAGAGGGAAAGGGUAUCUGGAGUUUUAAUCAGCUGUUUAUCCUUGAUAACAAUCUGUCAUCCUAACAUCGUUUUAUAUUUUGUUUGUUGGAAAUAAUUAUGCUUACAAAUUACCGAAUUAUGUGUGCAGAAACCUGGAGUGGCCGAAGCUGAAUUUGGUAGAGGUGAUAUAAAGUGUCUCUUGAAGAAAUUCUAUGGAAUGCGCAAGGCAGCACCUCUGAUUAUACCCCCAGGCAAGACUUUAUUUGACUCAAUUGAUUCAGAUGGUACUUGCCCUGCAUGGCUGUCAGAAGAAGACAUUUCCUACUAUGCCGAGAAAUUUGAGAAGACUGGAUUUACUGGAGGAUUGAACUACUACAGAUGCAUAGACUUGUAAUUCUCUUGGUUAUACAGUUCAUUGUUUUAUUCAUCCUUCAUUGCUGUUAAGUGAGGAAAGCAACAUGAUAUUGUUUAGCAUUGUACAGGGAAAGUCAUUCGAAAUGCUGGCUCUAACUCCACUGAAACAUGUUCUUUUCAAACAACAGUAAAUUUGAUAUAUAUGGCUGAACUACAUUUCCAUUGGUGCCGGUGUCUUCAAGAAUUUAAAAUGAAAGAAGGCUUUUACCUGAGCUAUUUUAGUCAUUUAUGAUGUCACCCUCAGUAGUUUUCUGUUCAUGCAGGAACUGGGAGCUGACUGCACCAUGGACUGGAGUUCCAAUAAAAGUUCCGACAAAAUUCAUCGUUGGAGAUCAGGACCUUACGUACAACAUUCCAGGUGUAAAAGAUUACAUCCACAAGGGUGGUCUAAAGGCAUGUGUGCCAAAUCUCGAAGAUGUGGUUAUCAUGGAGGGUGUUGCCCAUUUCAUCAACCAGGAGAAGCCUGAUGAGGUCUCCGACCAUAUUUGCGGGUUCUUUAGCAAGUUCUGAUAUGUGCAAAAUCUCUUGGAGCCUGCUUGCUAAUUGUACUGUAAAAACUAGAACCAUUAUGCCAGUACUGAUAUCUUCCAAAUAUAUUGUGAAUUUCAAAAUCAAGCAGUUUCUGUUCACAUGGCCGAUAGUGUGUCAUAACCAGUUUGGAUUGUGGACUAAAGGCGAUGAAGAUUGAAGAAUGGCUCUCCUAGGCUCCUAUAAAGCUAUGUGAUGUUAUAAGUUUUUUUUUUUCGUUGGGGAAGCUAAAUAUUCCAGAAAAUUUGAAGGAAUCCUGAAUUUGCUGGGAUUAAUUUCAACUCAAAUUGAAUUGUGUUAUGUCCAUUUAAAACUAGUAAUGUAUUAUUUCAUGUGAAAUAUAGCACAGAAUAAUAAACGUAAGACAUCACCAGGGUUCCAUACGCUGACCUUCUCAUUUACCUCUUAGCUUAUUAACUAUAGUCAAAAUUUAAAUUUUCAGAAUGUAAUUUUGGAGUUGAUUUUAGGUUUUUUUUCCAUCGUAGUAUUGAUUAUUAAUCGUUAAUUAUAUAGAUAAUAUAUAAAAAUUUUACUCACAAAUUAUUUUGGUUGCAUUGUUUAUUCUAAAGAGCUGAUAUUUUCUCCACUUAGAACUAUACUCUCCGUUCCAGAAAAAAAUUAACUUCUGAAUUUUCUAAAAUCUAUAAAUUUAAAGCUAUGCUCAGAUUUAUACUCCCUCUGUUUCUAAAUAUUUGACACCAUUGACUUUUUAGCAUAUGUUUGACCGUUCGUCUUAUUCAAAAAAUUUUUGUGAAAUAUAUAAAACUAUAUAUAUACAUAUAAGUAUAUUUAACAAUGAAUCAAAUGACAGGAAAAGAAUUAAUAAUUACUUAAAUUUUUUGAAUAAGACGAAUGGUCAAACAUAUUUAAAAAAAUCAACGGCAUCAAAUAUUUAGAAACCGAGAGAGUAAUUAAAAGUUGGUCUUUUUUUUACCGAGCGAGUAAAAAGCACUAGAAGCACAAUCUGGGAUGGGAUUCUCGGCAGAAACUGUCACUGACAUGUGGUCCCAUUCUCUCCUAAGCGAUUCCUGGCUGUAUACUGGGGCCACGUCGAGCACCACCUACACGGGAGGAAACCGAGCGCCAGCGCCGGCAAACGGAGAAUCCCGGCGGAGAUGCCGAACCCCAAGCCACCGGCCGGUCGCGCCGGCGGAAACCACGACGGGGCUCUGCCUCUGGCCGGUUUCGCCCCGUACAACCAGAUGCCUCCCCCAAACUGGCUGACACACCGAUGCCGAGCGGCCGGCGCGCGCGGCUACAAAGGCAGAGCAGGCAGAGGACGGGCUGGAUUUUCAAACGCUCGCCGCGGCGCGCGCCGAUCGAUCGAUCGAUCGAGGAGGAGCCCUCUACGAGAUGGCGGCGGCGGCGGUGCGGCACCGCGAGGUGGAGGUGGCGAGCGGGGUGCGGCUGCACGUGGCGGAGUCGGGACCGGAGGGCGGGCCCGUGGCGCUGCUCGUGCACGGCUUCCCGGAGCUCUGGUACUCGUGGCGCCACCAGAUGCGCGCGCUCGCCGCGCGGGGGUUCCGCGCCGUGGCGCCCGACCUCCGCGGCUACGGCGACUCCGACGCGCCGCAGGGCAGGGACUCCUACACCGUCCUCCACCUCGUCGGCGACCUCGUCGCCCUCAUCGCCGACCUCGGCCGGCCCCAGGUUGGUUUACGUUUACGGUUUACCAUCCUUAUUAGCAGUUAGUAGCAUUAGCAGCAUCAGUCCCCAUUGUUUGUUUGAUUGCUCGAGGGUGAUUUGGUUGGUGCUCUCAAGGUGUUCGUCGCGGGGCACGACUGGGGCGCCGUCGUGGCGUGGCAGCUGUGCCUGCUCCGGGCGGACCUGGUGACGGCGCAUGUCAGCCUCAGCGUGGAGUACCAGCCGAGGCAUCCCCGGAUGAGCGUGCUCCAGGCCGUCAGGGUUCUCUGCGGGGACGAUCACUACGUGUGCCGCUUCCAGGUGAGCAAGGCAGAAAGAACGCGUGCAGUUACCUGUCGAAAUUCAAAUUUGGACGGUCAAUUCAAAUUUUGGAUUUGAAUCAUAAAUUCAUAAUUCAAAUCCUUGUGGCCACCACUGCCUGCAGUGAUCUGAAUUCUGAAGCAUCAGCUAUUGAUGUUUUUGUUGGAAACGAUUACGCUUAUAGGAAUUUUGAUGCAUAUGCAGAAACCCGGAGUGGCUGAAGCUGAAUUUGCUCGACUCGAUUUAAACCAUCUGUUUAAAAUGGUGUUUGGAAUGCGCAAACCGGCAACUAUUAUUCUACCCCAGGACAAGACAUUCUUUGAUGCAAUUGAUUCAGAUGGUACUUGCCCUCCAUGGCUAUCAGAGGAAGACAUUUCCUACUACGCUGACAAAUUCGGCAAAACAGGGUUCACAGGAGGAUUCAACUACUACAGAUGCAUUGACCUGUAUGUCUCACUCUCAUGGUUUCCCGUUCACUGCUUCGUUCAUGCCGUUCAUCGUCAGCCAAAUGUAUUGUUCUUGCAGGGAUUGGGAGCUGACUGCACCAUGGACUGGGGCUCUGAUAAAUGUUCCGAUAAAAUUCAUCGUCGGUGACCUGGAUCUCACAUACAACACACCAGGUGUGAAGGAUUACAUUCACAAGGGUGGAUUCAAAGCCAAUGUGCCGAAUCUGGAGGAUGUGGUUGUCCUGGAGGGAGUUGGCCACUUCAUCAACCAGGAGAAGCCUGAUGAGGUUUCUGAACACAUCUGUGAGUUCUUUAGCAAGUUUCUGAUGUAAACGAAAUCUGGUGGAGUCUAGUACAUGUCUGUAUGUCGACUACAGACAUGAAUUCCACGGUACUAAAAAUCUCCAAAUAAAAUAUCAUGGCCACUUUUUUACAGUAAAAUUUGUGUGAAUUCUUUGAAUCGUGAUACUUCUUUAGACAACGACAGGCCCAUGGUGUAACGUAGCGAUGAAAACGGUCGGAAAACGUCUCAACCAUUUUCAUGACCAUAAUUUUUUUUUCAAAACGGAAUCGAAAAUAGUAAAUCUAGAAACGAAAACGAUAUUGAAAAUAUCGGAAAACCUGAAACCAACUAUACUGACGGAAACAUAUCGGUACCCAUCGAAAGCCGAUAAUAAAUAUUGGAAACACUAAACUGUAAAAUCGCACACUUAACUUUGCAUAACUAUACUCCGCUUUCUUGUUUGAUAAAACUGAAACAGUUUAGUUGAGUUUUAGCUUCAAAAGAGAUAAAGCUGAAACUAUAGCCCUGCUAAACGUUCCUGUAGAUGAAUAGCUUUAGCUUUGUGAAAUGAAAAUUGCAUCAUUAGGCGGUUAAUCAACCCCAAUGCACAAGAGAAGAAUUAAAAGAUAUUGCCGGCACGAAAGUAAUUUACUAAUAAUAGUUUAUAGACACGGGGAGUCGAAAAAAAAAAGACACGGGUCAACAUACAGAUAUGAGAAUUACGAGAUCAAAUCAAUGAGCGCUAAUACAGUACAAGAAUUGAUCAAACGGCAUGGAUGUUCAGCUUGGCGAGGCGGCGCGCGGCGAGCACGGCGUCCCUGCGCUCCCUGCGCUGGGCGACCUCCAGUUGGUGGGCCGCGUCGCAGGCCGGCGAGCAGAGCACCGAGCGGCGCAUGUGUUUGGGCACCUCGCCGCCGCAGUGUACGCACGCGGUCGGUGAGCUCCUCCUCAGCACGGGCAGCAGCAGCAGCACAGCCACCACCUCGCCGUCGUCGCCCUCCUCCUCCUCGACAGCCACGGGGUCGCCCAGGACGCUCUCCAUGUAAGGGAACCACGGCUCGUCGCCGGUGCAGCGGACGCAGUGGCGGCCGUCGUGGCUUCGGACGAUGCGGAGGACGCAGUCGGCGGCGCAGGUGUGGUGGUGGUGGCAGAGCGCGGUGGAGAAGGCCAUGAAGCAGUACAUGCAGUAGGCGUCCCUGGGGUGCUCCUCGGCGAAGUCGUUGGCGUUGAUGAGACCGAUGACGAAGUCGGUGAUGGGCAGGUCGGGGCGGCGAGGGUAGUGCGCGGGGAUGACGGGCUUGCCGGUGGCGGCGUCGACACCGGCGAUGGGGAUGACGAUGUGGGAGCCGAGCGGGACGAAGUGGUGGUCAUCGCAGCAGUGGGAGCAGAAGGCGUGGACGCACCUGACGCAGUAGUGGUCUCGCCGGCACGUCUGCGACAGGUCCUCCAACUGUAGCUUGUGCUUCGCCAUGGUGACGACCCCUGGAUGGAGAGGCGGAGGCUGCCACUGCCACAUCUCGAUCUUUUUCGGUUGCACUUGCACUAAUUGCUUGCGGAUUGCCAUAGUUCGACGCACGUACGCUUGUCUUCUGGUGACGGGUGGACAGGUGGUAUAUAUAUAUGUCCACACGAGACGUACAACCGCGCCGAUUCAGAUUCCGAUUCCGAACUCGAUCAGGCCGGCCGGUCGCCUACUCGCCUCCCAAUCGGAUUCCGAUUUCCUUUUCAUUUUUUACGUGUCCCUAACAUUUUUUUAUUACUAGAAAAAAAUGCCUGUGCGUUGCGACGAGUGAAGUUUAUUUUAAUCUUAUUAUUAUUGUUAUAUGGUUUAGUUAAUACGAAAUUCAAUGUGAGAGUUCGCUUGGAUAUAUAUAUUUUUAGAAAAUUAUUAGGUGCAGUUAGUAGUCCGAUCGUCUUAGUUAGCAUGCGAGUUUUUUUAAACAGAUUUCUUAUAUGAUUCCUUCUGUAUUAUCAAAAGUGAACGAUGUUAAAACCGACUUAAAUACGGAUAUGUAUUUCCAAAAGCAAACGAACUUAAAAAUCGACUCAUACACAGAUGACGUACUAAAAAUAACAGCAAAAACAUUUUCAAUUUUUAUAAUACUACAAAAGAUGCCCGUGCGUUGCAACGGGUAAAGACUUUUUGUAGUGAUAUAUUAAGAGCUAAGUAAUAAAUUGAAAUAUUGGGAUUACUAUACACUAUAAUUGAAAAAGUUAAUAAAAAUCUUAACAUUGGGAUCGCUAUAGAUUAUAAUUAAAAAAAGUUAAUGAAAAUAUUUCCUGGGUUUUCGGCCGAAAGCAUUCCUUCUUUUUCAGCCCUAGGCUAGUCCGCUCCUCCCUCCAUUUAUAGAUAGCUGACUGGGCCGCCUGGCACGUCAUGACCCAAGCCCGGCCGUGCCUGGGCCAAGGCUAGUCAGGCCGGCACGGCCCGACCGACACGGUGGGCCAUGCCGUGCCAGUCCACAGUCGGCGGGCCAUGCCGUGCCAGUCCACGAGUGGCAUACACGGCCCAUGCACGGUGUUGAUGCGAAAAACAUACACUGGCCUGGAAGAUCUGCUUAACUUCCGUGCAGGUCCAAAACCUUGCUUUUAGGUUCGUGAGCGUGCCAGUUGAUUUGAUCCUACAAUCAACAAGAAAAAAAGACAAGAAAAAUCACGGUUAAAUCCAUAAAAGAUAGCCAAUCGGCUAGCUGCCGAUGACAUAUCAUUUAUCUUUGAGCCGAUGUCAUAUUGGGAUCGAUCAGCAGUCAUAAGUAAAUAAGAUAAGACUAAAUCUACUCGAUCUGUUGUAGAUAUUAACUGUUGUAGAUAUUAACGAUAUAUAAUCCUUCUGUUGAUGUAUAUUUAAACCAAUUGAUUGGGAUAGAUCGGUCGUCAUGCCGAGACAGUAUAAAUCACUUAGAUCGAAGUAUACAUUAACACAAAGAUUAUAAACGUUUAUAGCAUAGCCGAUCAGAUAGAUCUAGCAUGUAUCGGCUAAUACUCCGAUACCACUCUAUAUUACAGAUAGAAUAUAUCAAACAAGAAGCCUAAUAUAUUUUAAUGCAAUAAGAUCUUAAUAUAAAGGGCGGAUUUAGCAUAUCAAUCAAGCAUAUAGGACGUAAAGUAGCUAAAUCAGGUAAGAUCAGCUGAAACCCCGAUGCUAUCUCUCUCUCAAUGAUCAUAAAGCAAGCCAGAUGUUACAAUUAUAGAUAUUACUUAAUAGAUCGAACUCAACCGAUGAGCAUCAAGCAUAAAGAUAAGUAUAAGAUCUAGGCAAGAUGAUAAAAACUAUAAGAGAUGAUAAAUACAUGAUAUAAUCUAGAUUAAUAGCAAAACAUAACACUAUCGGUCACUUCCUAACGAUAAGAACCAGCCGAUAACAAGUUAUAUAGUGCAACUAACAAAGAUUACAAUGUGUAUAUGAUAACUCGACGAAUUACUUAAACAAGAUUAGAGUGUCGUAAAGAUGGAAGCACUAAUCCCGAUAACGCAAGCUGCCAUGACAAGCUUACCUCUAGUUAAAGAUCGAAUCGAUGCAGCUCAACCCGAAAGCAAGAACUCGUCGAAAUAGAACAAAAAAAAAGGGUGGCGAUGCGCCGAUAUUAUAUUGAACUGUUGUUAAUUGAUUACAUGGGUUCGGAUUCUAUUUAUACCCGAAAUACAAAAUAUGUCCUUGCCGGACACGACCCCUAUCUCUAACAAACUCUAAGAUAUCAUAAGUCUUUGCGACAGACUUUUGCCCAAACUUAUCUCUAAGAAAAUUACACGAGACAUCCUAAUUAAUAGAUACAAUUGCCUAUCUGAUAGCUUUAUCUCUAUCGUGGCAAUCCUCAUGAAGCAUAUUGAUCGAUUCUAGAAACAGCUCUGAAACCAUCGUCAUUGGAAUCGGCUGCAUCACCUCUAUCGGCUGUCCUCUGUCCGAUCCAUAUCAGCCGAUGCAGAUUCCAGCCGAUGCAUACUCUGUUCUUCGAAUUCAUCUCUUUGCUGAAUCCGCCUCGAUCCCAACAUCAAACCUGGUUCAUAUCUUACUAAAUUUGGUCGUAAACACACGGCCCAAUACUACUCGGGCCGUGCCGGGCCGGCCCGAAGGCACGAUGGUCCAUCGUGCUUCUCCACAUAAAAAGUCUAUUUUUCAUCCCUCAACUCUGUGGCUGUGUUCAAAUGGCUGGAAAAUAAGUCUAUUUUGUAUUCCUCUUUUCUUUGGGUUGCCUUAUAUGGUUAUAUAAGUCUAUUUUGCGUCCCUAUAUUUUUUUAUUUGAUCGGGCCAUGCCGGGCCGACCCAUCGUGUCGAGGAUGUAGCCCAGGCAUGGCCCGGCUGUCGGGCCGGGCCAGCACGGGCACGACCCAGUCGGGCUGUGCCGUGCUUGGGUCGGGCUGUGGGCCUCGGGCCAUAUGGCCAUCUAUACCUCCAUUUGGUUUGCUUCUCUUCGACCCUACCAUCUUCAACUUUCCAAAUAUGACUAUCAUCUUCAACCUCCCGAAGAUAAUCUCGUGCCCGUGCCCGUACGUUUGCCGGAGCAAAUAUCCCCAUCAAAUCCAGCCGAAUCUUUCUCGGUUAGCCAAAAUUGGUCGAGGGUUUUUGAUCGAUAUCCCCUCGAUGUACUCUUUCCGUUUUCCCCAAAAUCAGAGCGUAAAACUCGAGAUAAAAAUGACCGGGGAAGAUUGCCGUCAUCAUUAGCAACUGUAAAGCAGAUAUUAAAUCCGGCAAUUAAAGACGAAUCGAAGGGAAAAUCAUGGAGAAAAUGAUGAGAGAGGAGUGGGGAAUCGGUUUUUGCAAUCAAAUUGGAGGAGAAAUCACAUGAUCGAUAUGGCGGCGGCACGGCGCUAGGGUUCACCUUGGAAGGCAUGCGGCGAACAGAUGGGAUUAUAAACCGGAUGAGAAAAAGAAAAAGCGCACGGAAGAAAAAACUGGCGACAAAAAAGAUUGACGAAAAAAACUAAAUGCGCCCAGGAGGCGCGCAGUGGACAGAUCAGAUUAAUAAAACGGGACAAAAAAAAAACCUAAAGCCUUAGCAUGUGCGCAUAAAAAACUCUUUUGCGUGCAAAGAACAACAGAAAAAAUACUGGUGCCAAAAAAACAACGGACUUUUUUUUACUGGGAGAUUUUUUUUCCUUUUUCUACAUGAGUCGGACAAGAGAUGAUUUUUUUCUUUUUUUUUUACUGACGACGACGGAAGCUUUUUUUUAUCGCUUGUUAAUUCGGACUUUUUUUUUUACCUUUUUUGAGUCGGACUUUUUUUUCCCUUUUUACAGAAGACGGGAAUUUCUUGUUUUUAAGUAGAGAUAUAGAUUAAAAUCGAAACAUAAAAUUAAAACCGUUUCAAACACGAAUGACAUACCAUAAUUCUGACAAAAACAUCUUAGUAGAGACUAGAGAUUGGCCCGCGUGCGUUGUCUGUGUAAGUCGUGCAACGCCCCCGCCGAUGCUCAUAAAGUCAUGUCCCACGCUCAUUAGCGUUGAUGUUAAUGAUAGUGCGUAUCAUUAUUUGUUUAUAAUAUAAUAAAUAAAUUAUGCGCCUAGCACCCAUACAAAAUCAUCUAUUUUUAAUAUGAUUUUACUUAGAAUUUGUUAAAUAGCUAUCUCAUUGUUUUAAGACUUUGAAAGACCAAAAUUUAUUUUCCCUAAUGUUCUAAUUUAUAAUUUUUAAAAUUUACGUCAGUUGCUACCCCUUACAUCUUUGUCACCUCUCCUUUAAUUGCUUGCUCCAUCUAUCACUCUUUCUAUUCAUUCUCCUUAUAACUUUUAAAAAUUAGAGCUAAUAGUUUUUAGAGUUUAUUGUCUCGUUAGAUUUCAUUUUUAUGAUUUUUAGAAGUUCCCUCGAACGCUGACAUGUCCCGUGCUCAUUAGCGUCAAUGUUAAAUAUAGUGCACAUCAUUAAUUUUUUUACAAUAUAAUAAAUAAAUGAUACAGUAAAAAAGUUUUUGCAAAUGAGUUCAUAAUUCUUGUAUCUCUCUCUAUCCCUUGCCCUCCCUCCCCACGCUGUCAGCCGAUUAAUCCCUCACCACGCCAUUGGUUAGGCAUCACCACCCACGCUGUCAGUCCUCUAACCCUUUUUUGAGAGGAGUUUUGGUGAUUAAUGACAACGGUUGUUGGAACUAAUCUUUGCUGUGAGUUUGUCCAGGCAUCAAGCAAUAAGGUUGAUGGCUCAUAUGUAAGGAUCAACUGAUAGGAUUGUGGAUGGAUGACAAGAAAGAUGAUACCUCACACAUUAGAAAUCAAAGAGAGUCAAAUGUUGAUAUAUAAUGAGAAUGCUUGGUGAGAUCCCAUCAUGAAUUGAUGGACAUGUUUGUCACGCGCCGAUUUUCUAUUGCAAUUAAUUAAGAUAAUUAAUGAGGGAAUUAAAAUCUCUUUUAAAAAUCAUGGCUACAAAUAUUUUUGUAAUAUUAUUUUCCAUGCCCUAUAGUACUCUCUGAAAUUUCUCAUGAAUUUUCAGAGCUCAAGAAGUAAUUUUAAUAAAACAAACUUCAUUUAAUUAAUUAAAUAAAAAGAAAACAAACUAAAAUUCUCCUUCCUUGUUCUUGGGCUGUUUCCGGCCCAAGUCUGCCUUUCCUCCCUCAGCUCACUCGCUCAUCCUUAUCUCUUCUCUCACAGGCCGAGCCCCUCUCCUCUCCCUCCGACAGCCCAUGCCUCCUUGGCCCGUUCGCCCCCCCCUCUCCCUCAAAGUCCACACCGCCUCCUUCCUCUCUCCCUAUCGCCGAAAGGUGGGACCGUGGGCCCGAGGGGCGCUGAUAUGCGAUCAGCCGCGCGCGCGCGGUUAGUCGCCCCCCUCUAGUCUCCCUCAUAUGUACUAUAUACAUCAUAUGUAUAUACUAUAUAUACACACAUACGUGUAUAUGUGUGUGUCUAUAUAUAUAUAUAGGACACUCAUAUGGGGCACCAUGGUAUGAAAUACACAAACUAACCUAAAUUUUUCAAAUUGUGAGUAUAUAUCUAGUUAUAAGUAUUCGAUUUAUACCUAUACCUAGAAACAAAACAACUCAAAUUUAACUUUAUUUCACAAUCCAAUAUUACAUACCUAACUAAUUAUAUAUUUGGAUGCUAUAUACCUAGAAUCAAAUUCUAAUAAAAACAUGUUUAAAUUCAGUUCAAACUUGCUUUGAACUAGUUAGUAAAGUAGUUAAUGUUAAUACCUAAACAUUUUAAAAAGUUUUAUACUCAUUUGAAUUGGGUAUAUACACAAUUUGAAUCAUGGAGCCCGGGCACCAUGGAGCACCAAACAAAUUUACUAUAUAUAUAUAUAUAUAUAUAUAUAUAUAUAUAUAUAUAUAUAUAUAUAUAUAUAUAUAUAUAUGUAUGUAUGUAUGUAUGUAUUUAUAUACAUACAUAAUAAAAAAAACUAGAAAAUACAUCACGUAUACAAACUUUCUAUACGUACUAAUACAAACUUUGUAUUCAUACAUCUUAAAAAAAAACCAGAACAGAAGAGAAAUUGGAAAAAAAGGAAAAAAAACCCAAAAAAAACCAGAAAAAAUCGGAAAACCCGCUCCUCCCUCCUCCUCCCACGUGGCGCGUCCGCCGCCCCCUCACUGCGCGUGACUGAUAGCCAAAUAGCAAUCUCGCUGUGGGCCCCACCUGUCAGCUUCUUCUUCUACCUCCCGUCACCCCGUCACAUGGUCGACGCCCACGUCAAUGCCCUUCACGCGCGCUGCCGCCCACAUCCUCGUCCAAAUCACAUAGCACCGAGUCCCCUCCACUCAUCUACAUCUCUCGCCCCUCUUCCCCCACUCUCCCGCAAAAACUGUCGCCAACUCGAGCCACCACUACCCCACGUCGAUGCCCCACUCCGCUGGUCGUUGUUACCUCAUCCCGACCUCCUCGCCGCCUCCCCGCUCUAUAAAAAGCUUCCCCGUUCUCCCCUUCACCUUUUCCCCAACUCUCACGAGCUCUCCGCGCCCUCUCCCAUGGGGAAAUGGGAGAGAGGAGGAAGAAAGGAGGGGGUGAGAAUGACAUGUGGGGUCCAUGUAGGGAUGGCAAUUUCCCCCACGGGGCCGAGUCACCUGCGGGGACCCGACCCUACGAGGGCGAGGGUGGGUUAAGUUUCUGACCCGCGGGGGAGGCAGGGGCGGGGCUCCGCAUUUUUGCGGGGAGGGGACGGGGGAGACAGUUCACCCGCGAGUGACCCGCGAGGCCCCGGGGGGUGUAUAUUAACCCUUUAAAUGUAGCUCAUAGGAGGCCCAAAAGAGCCCAACCCAAUAAAAUAGAGAUAAAAUGAAAAGGAACCCUAGCCUUAUCCUCACCAGUGUCUUCCCAACUCCCCUCCCGGCUCCCGUACGCAUCACCCACAGGCGGAGGCGGCGCUAGGGGCAAGGGCACACGAGCACACGGCGCACUUCUCUGGAUCUCGCCGGCACCGGUCGCCCUCUCCCCUCCCCUCCAGCCUUCCGAGUCCUGUCCUCUCCAAUAUCCCUCUCCGGCUCUCCCUCAGGUCUGCCGACGAGGCGACGAAGCACAGGCGCACGGGCGCGGUGAGGGCACCGUCGAGUGGCGAGGGCACGCCGGUCGGCGAGGGUGUGGCGCACAGGCGUGGCAGCCGGCGAGGGGACUGACGCGGCGUCCGGUGAGCAGCGAGGGGACAGGUGCGCAUGGAUCGAAUGAUGGAUCAAUGUGUUCUUGGCUUCUUUCUGAAUUUUUUGAUGCUAUUUAUUUUUUAUGGUGUUAAUUAUGUACAAUAUUUGUUCUUGCCGAAUUGAUGAUUGUCUUAUAAUUUUUGUGUUGAUUGGAUGGAGAUGCUACCCAAUGCGGGGCUCCGGAGGGAUCGGGGACGGGGCCAGAUUUGUCCCCGCAUCUCCAAUCGGGGCCGGGGGCGGGGGAUGAAGUCGGGGGUCAGGUGUGGGGCCGUUCCAGCCCAACCCGGCCCCGCCCCGCCCCGUUGCCAUCCCUAGGUCCACGUGGGCCCCACCAUUUUUAAAAUAUUUUUGUGUAACUGGUAUGCGGGCCCACGGUUUUUAUUAUUUUCCAAAUCAAAUUGCCACGUAAGUGCCACGUUAGAUGAAGACCAAGUUAAAUUAGCCACGUAGGUGCCACGUUAGCUGAAACCGCCGUUAAAACCGCCUUAGGACUUAUUUUGCACCGAUUUUAACAGUUGAGGGACCCAUUAUAUCUGGUUUUCCGGUUGAAGGACGAAAAUCGGAUUCGUUGACAAGUUAAGGGACCUUAGAUGAAUUUUUCCCCAUGAAGAUUGGCAUGCUUGUUUCUUGGCCUGUUUGAGGCCUCUUUUUAAUUUUUUUAAAUACACAUAGGUUAUACCUAUGUUUUCAAAAUUAUUUGGUAUACAUAUGAAUACUCUUGAAUUGAUAUGGGCAUACCCUGCUUACGCGGGCUUCAUCAAACGUAUAUAUUUACGUCCUCCCCACAAGGCCGUACCGAGGAGGUUGAGGGUAUCAUGUGGUUUUGAGGUUGAGGAGAGAAGCAUCCCUAACUACGCGUUUAUGAAACUGCCAAAUGGCAUCCCAUCAACAUAAGCUGUAUCAGCCAAAUCCAACAGAUAAGCAUAACUAUAUAAGACCCUCCCUUUCUAGUCCUUUCUUGCCAAUCAACAAAAUAAAUUUAAACCCCUCUCUUGCUAGGUAAAAAUGACUAAUCAAAGAAUAUUCAAAAUUGAUUAGGAAAGACAAAGGAAUAAGAGUCUGACAAAAUUAUGAAAUAAGAGAAAAUGAGAAGAAUAUAUUUAGCGAUAAUUGCAGCAACAACACCAAAAAAUUAUGCAUUACAAUGACAAUAUAUAAUCCUAAAAUAUCAUUAAGAUAUAAAAUGCUAUUAAACGCUUUUGAAAUAUGAGAGAUGAUGGUUAGUGUGUUGUUUAUUAUUGAUGUAAAAUAAAAAUUAUUUUAAAUUAAGUAUAAAGAAUAAAUAAUAAAAUCACGCAUAUUUAAAAAAUAUAUUAAAGAAACUAUAUGAUUUAUAAAAAGAAACCCUCUAUUAUUAAUUUUUUAUUUUAAAUGCAUUUAGAUUUUCUUAACAAAAUGUUUUAAAUAAUAUAAAUAACAAAAAUAUACAGUGAUUCUGCUGAUACAAAACUAAAAAAGAUAAACAGUCUAAUAUUUUGAGAGAUUAAGUAAGAUUUUAUGAGUAAACCAGUUAUUGUUGACAAUGAUAUUGUUGGACAUCAACUUAUUUGUAAAUAGUUGGUAUAUUCUUACUACUUAUAGUUGCAAAUAAUCUUUUUUCAACGAAUGUUACUUUAGUAAAAAUUUCUCUAAGCUUUUCUUCUUUUGUUACCCUAUUUAUAAUUUGAUGUUAUUACUAAAAUUAUCGUUACUUCCUUUAAGUUUUGUGCUAAGCGGUAAAUAAUUAUCUUUUUUGUAAGCUAAAUAAUAUAACUAUUAAAAAAAAUGUUGUUCAUAACAUACGGAAAGAUAGAGAGAGAUUACAAUAAACACUUAUAUCUAUAUAUUCCUUAUCAAUCUUGUAGUCUUAUUAUUUAUUUUUCUGCUUUAAAAUUAUUUAACUAUUAGUUUUGUAAUUUUAUAUAGUUUAUGAAUUUGGAAAAAUUAUAUUUAAAAUAUUGCUAUAAAAUUACAAACCGCCAUGAUAUGGGAGAUUGUUUUCUCAACCAUUGUCAAUACUGAGGAUCUUAAAGCUCCGAAGGAUGGUUAUGGAGAAGUAGUUAUCAAAAUUAUUUGCAAUAAUAUUAAGAGAUAUAUUUUUUUCAUAAUAUGUAUCCCCGCCACCACUCAUAACAUAUAAUGAGGAGCGUGAACACACCACCACUUGUAAUAACGGAUCUUCUUGUCUGCAAUGAAAAAACAAAUUUAUUACUGAAUCAUUUAUUGCAACAAUUAAGAAUCAUAAAAUUCCUUCACCAAAUCACUAAAGUAGCUCACCAUAUUGAGUGGAAUAUGCUUAUGUUAUAUGAUAGGUCUAUCUAAUAUAGCUGAAAAUAUGGGACCAAAGCACACCAGAUCAUUAAAUUAGUUUGGCACAUAAGUUUUCAAAAAUAAUCUAGAAAAAACAUAAGAUAGAAAAAUCAUAAAAAUAGGAAAAAAAUUUAUAGGUAAAACAGAGGAUUGAAAACAAUGGAAUAUGAGUGUGGAAAAUAUCACUAACUCACCGAGCCGAACUAUAAAAAUAGUAAUGCAUAAACUCUUCUUUUCCCGUUGUUUUCUUGACGAGCCGAAAAAACAGUAAUGCACAAACUCUUCGUCGACGUUCGAUAUCGCGACUACAGUAUUUUGCAUAGUAUGGGGAUUGUUGGUACCAGGGUAUAUGCCAGAUUGAGAUAAAAGAGAUGGAGACAAGAAUUUUUAUACAGGUUCGGACCCCUUAUCUAGCAGGUAAUAGCCCUACUCCUGUUGGCCGAAUCCAGUGUUGCUCUUAUUCGUCAUAAUCAUACUAGUAAAAUAUUUGGAAUAACCCAUCUAGCUAUCGUCGACUUGGCGGCAUGGAUAACCAACACGUAGUCGACUACAGGGUAGUCUUCCUCCUCGAGUCUGCACUUGGCGAGAUUAGACAUAGUGCUAGAUCCCUCUUGUUGGCCUCCGUAGACAUCAUAUUGGGUUUGUCUAGACUUAUCUCUAAUAUCGAUAUCCGGUGGCUUGCCUUGGCGUGUGUUGGCUUGUGUAUUGGUCUAUGUUGAUCUUGGUCUUGUGGAAUGUUCCCUCUCCUUCUAGUGUUCUAUUUAUACCCAUAGGUGUUUCCUUGUCCAAGUAGAACUAGAUAGAACAAUAUGAAUAUAAUCCGGAUAACCCCGACACCCAUCUUUUCCCGUUGUUUUCUUUACGAGCCGAACAACAGCAGGCCACAACGCUUUGGCUGCGCCACCUAGCUUCCUCCCCUCAACUCCGACUAUAGGCUGGACGUUGGCUUCAAUCCCCAUCACCACCGGCCUUCGCGGCGCAGCCUCCUCGAUGCCGAUGACAGUGCUGCCCAGCUUCCUUAGCACCACACAACCUUUUUCUCCUCCUUUCUGACUCCGGCGCCAAGCUCGCUGCCGUCAACCUCCAGCACGACAUCCACUCCACGCCGGACGCCAGCCUCAAUCCCAUCACCGUCGACCUCCACGCGCGGCCUCCUCGACGUCGCUGACUGCGCCGUCCAGUCUCCUCGAUGCCUCCUCCACAUGUUUUUCAAGUUCUUCAGGUCAGUUCAUUCGUUGACGCAAGCACCUCCAGUUCAGUCCGUUCUUCACUGAUAGUGUUUGAUUGCCUCGUUCCAACGCGAAGAAAACCAAAAAAAGGGUCGGAGUGGAUUGAUUCUUCCCCGUGCUUUUCCCAUGGAAUUAACAGUGUAGGAAAUCUUCCUGCGAUUUUCCUUUGAUUGGUUUUUGUGGUCUGAAUGGUAGGAAAAGGAAAAAAAAAAUCUAUCAAUAGUAUUCCUUCAAAAAUCUCAUGAAACUAUUGUAAUCUGAAUGAGUCCAACGACAUAUAGCCGAUUGUUCAAAACCCUAUCAACAUCGGAUGGUAUCGGCAUCAGCUAGCAUUGCUAUAUCGGCUUAUUGGCCCAUCGACUAUUUGAUCUUCAAUUUAUGCAUCUUAUCAGUUGUAGGAUCAAAGUGACUUAAACAAAACAAGACUAAAACACUAAGUAAAGGACCUAAACAUUACAUAAAAAGCACCUAAAUAUGUGCGUCAUGAUUUAACUUGAAAUUAAAGACUUGAACAUGUCAAUUUAGAGUAUGUAUGGCCAAGAAGUGAACAUCCGAAGUUAUAUUCUGUUUAAGUGGAUAUUUUCGUAUUGUUAAAUUAUUUUUGCAACUAUACAAUUAUGCGUAAAACCACGUGCACAAACACGUGAAUGUACACUGGAGGAAGACGACAACCGACAUCGGCAGCACGGGACCGGAGGUCACCGACACACAGUGGCACGACAGCGUAGUAAGAUGAGGACAAUAGGAGGGAGAGAUUAGAAAGCGGAUCCUCACCAUGAAGAUGACGACGAAGCGGAGACAGAGGGAUUGGCGACGAGGUUUUGAUGGCAGUGAGCUCAAGAUAGCGACGAUGCUUUGGAUUGACGGCGAGAAGGCGGCUCUGGUGAUCUUCGGGCUUGACGAGGAGGUGGAUGACAAAGGACUCGGUGCUGCGGACUUGACGACGAUGAUGGGCAGCAGUUCGUCUUGGCAGGAACAACGGCCGGAGGGAGACAAUGGUGAUGGGAGCGACGUUUUGGGGUCUUCAGGCAGCGAGGAGAUGACGACGACGGAGAUGGAGAGGUGGCUGUCUCGGGUUGACGGCGAGGAGGGAGCUCCGCUGCUUGCCGAAUUUGGUGAAGGUGUGGACGCAGUGCCAUCUCUAGAGCAGGGCCAUAAGGGCGACGGCCAAGGGCCCAGCCCAAACGAGGGCCCCAAUCCUGGUAUAUAUACUGUAUAGAUAUUGAUAGAGUUUAAUCUUGUCAUUAAUUAGAAUAUAUGCAUGGUUCUAUUUUGUUUACAUGUAGUAUAUGUCACUGCAUAUUUAGUUUGGCUCCAGCUCAUUGGCGAGAUGCCGACGUGCCGUGCGAUGCGGUGGUGCGAGAAUGGAGCAAACAACGUUCAUGAAGACCAAGCUCAACUGCAUGUGGAGUGCUGCGAGAAGUAGCCGAAUUGCAAGCAAGACAAGGUCAGUAUGAGCCGAGUGAAUCGGUCCUAGCUGUACAUGAGAUUUAGUUGUUGCUAGUGAUUAGCCGCAUAUGCUGCGAUUAGUGGUAAUCAUGUAUUGGGAUUUCUUGGCAAAUAAGUAGGAUUAGUUAGUUACUUAGUGCAUGGGCAUCCCACGUCUGUGUGCAUGGCGUGAGUUGUGGCUGAGUGGGUUUGGCCAUUGUAAUCUCUUUGUAUGUACUGAGUCUAUAUAAACAAGAAAACGAUGUGAGCUAGUGGCCACAUCAACCAAAAGCCUGUGUGUUUUGUUCAGUUCUUGUGUGUUUGUGUCCACCGAGUAAAUACAAGUGUUUAUGUUAGUGCUAGUGAUUAGUACUUAAACAUUCAGAGAGGAGAGAUUCCCAACAGAUAUAAUGCCCAACAGCUUGGCAUGCCUGAUAUUAUCUAUUAUGUUCUCUCGCAUAGCAAAGCUCCUACUCCCGAAGACACAGCAUCAGCACUAGCGAUCUCCACAACUCCCAAACGCCGAUGCCUCGUGUCGCAGGCUCUCCGGACCUUUCAUUAUAGUUGAGGGAUGAAGUGAAUAAUUCAAGUCAUCAAACAAACAUAAUGAAACAUCCGACGCCUCGAGAGGAGAAUAUUGGAGACAUUGCUGGGCCUUUAGCCUGCCAAUCAACUUUAGCCUGAGAUGUGCCCGUCAAACCACUUGAAGGCGAUGACCAGAUAUGUUACACAUUCAGGAGACUUGACAAAAAUGGCUAAAGAUCUACAACAUCUCAAAUAUUCUUAACUCAUACUCAUGUGAAUCUAGUUCCAGGAUAUGCACUAGAUUCACACUUUCAUCUUAAGCAUGGACAUACAUAGCAAACACAAUAAGAUGAAAGCAAUUAAAAUUUACAACUACUUUAGAGAUACAUGGGCCAACCGGCCAAAUAAAUAUAUAGAACAGCGGAAGCUUGACUACCCAAUCCUCAAGCACACCGACUAGGGGUUUACCCCAUUAAGUUCAAGCCCUAGCAGAAGCAGACGAUUACCCGCAUCACUCAAAAGACUAAGUCUAACACCUAUAAGCAAAUAGUUAAUCCAAUAGCAAGAGUCAGUACAUUAUUAAAUAAUGUACUGGCAAGCACCAAGAUAAGCCUAACACCCUACUUGCAAGACAUAUAAUCAAGGAAGGCAUAAUAUGGUUCUUUUUAGCAUAAAGCAAGUUUUACUUGCAUAAAACACUUUCAAAUCAAAUUUACUUUCAAAUAAAUUUCAGCAAGCUAGUACUUAGCAUACGGGCAUCAAAGUAGGCAUUAUGUAUAAAUAUGCACCUCAUUGCCAUCCAUGGCAGCAAGGAGAUCAUUAUCAAAUCUCAUCACAAUUUGAAGGUAAAUUUCAGCAUUUAGAAGAAUAAACACAAGUCUAUACUCAAUACAUAUCCACACGCCGCUCAUGACCGCGAGCACGGCUAAUCGAUUAGUUUUUACUCUGCAGAGUUUGUACACUUUACCCACAUGAUGCGAAAUAAUAAUCAUGCAAAAGCAUGGCACGCGAUACAUAAGUACCCGAUUUAUUACCCACAACAAAGCUUUUCCAAAAUUCAUGAUUUAACCUUACACCAGCACGAUAUGUGUUCCUCCAUCCUAGUCAUACUGGAAAUAUGACCUAAAACCGUUAAGUGACGGGCCCACGCCUUAAACUUAACGUCGUGGUGGCAGACACAAUGGGAACCCACCACGUGGCACAAUACCAUUGUAUUGGACAUGCUUAGUCACCAAAACUACCACAUCGGGGUAAAUAGGAAGCUCCUCUAAAUUAUUCGAACUCAUAGACACCGGCCUACCAGAAUGUAAGUCUAAACCAUAAAUAAUUUACUAAGCUUGGGCUAUCCCAUACUAGCACAUGUGGUUGUAUUGUAUACGAAAUGAACUGACAUUGAGUGAAGUCCUUAGGUCGGUUUGGACGCACUCUCCCUCUAUCGGUACAUAACUAAUCACCACAUGUGCACCACUUGAGGCCCAAACCUAAAAUCCAUGUUUUCCAUCAUUUUAUUUGUCAAAUACUUGAUUUAUUCAUCUCUGUCCAGAAUCUUAAUAAAAUCAUUUUUCAUGUUAAUAUGAGCCCAAGUGAUAAGUAAAACCAUUCUAAGCUUGGCUAAGCAAUAUAGUAAACUAGUGUAACUCAUAUUCCAAGUAGUAACAGGAUAUGAUUCCUAAGGUUAGGAAUGAGGGAUAUGGAUAUAUGCGGGAUUAAGGUGAUAAUGCAAAUAAUAGGAGUUUGUCUAACAAGUUUAACAAAAUUUUAAUGUAUUAGUGUACAAUCGACAUGUAAGAUUUGCAAACAUUUUCAAUAACCUCCAAAACAUAGGUUCAAAGUGAUCAAAGAGAGAGGGAGGUGGGACUUGCCUUUUAACUAGAAAAAGUCAGCACCAAAAUCACUUCUUCAUCGUUUAAGCAAUCAUCUAUAUAAAGUACACAUUAUGCAAUUAAACAUUGAAAUAUGCGAAAAAUUCAAAAUGCUCUAAAAUGCAUGAUUUGUGCACAGUGAAUAGGUACCGGUCUAAUAUGAAUUUAGGUGCAAGAAUUUCUAUUUUAUCUCUUUUUAUUUGUGAGUUAUGAAUUUUAGAAGUUUGCUCGGUAUAGGAUAGUAUUUACCUAGGUAGUGUUAUAAAAUAUUUUUAUGAAGUGAUUCUUACUAACUUUGACUCCACAGAUAUGUAGGGAUGUGUUUUCUAAGACUAACACUUUUGGUUUCACAAUUUUUGGAGUUAUAACGUGUUCUAGGUGUAUAGUAUUCUAUAUGUGCAUGACGUUAGAGUUGCAUGUUCAGAACAUGUUACCUCUUAAUUAAGUUGAGUAUAAUGAAUAAUUUUGUUAAAUAUUUCACUUUUAUUUUACAAGUUUAGGGCUUUCAUUAUCUUGGUUCACAUUUUAUAACUGUGGAGAUUAUGGAUACCCCAUACCCACAUGGCAUGUAUAUCCGACUGGGUACAGAGGUACCAUAUGUAGAUAGAAUAUCUUUAAAGGGCUCGGGUUAAAUUCCUAACUUGUGUAUUAAGGAAAUAUCCGGGAUCCUAGUCGGUUAUGAUUGUAUUCUAUCUUUACUUGCCUAUUCCAUUAGGAAUAUGGGCUGUAUGCUGUAAUACGGACUCCUUACACUAUAUAAGGAGGGGUCCGGGUGCCUCUUGGGGCAUAACUUUUCUCCCAGAUCAUACGAUCAAUAACAAACUCGGCGGAUCAAUCCCCGGACAUGAGUAGGGUAUUACUUCUCAUUGAGAGGGCCUAAACCUAUAUAAAAUUCAUUGUCUCCAAACCCAUCCACUUUUCCUGCUUGAUAGCCACCCCUUUUCGUAUUGCCGAAAUCUUGUUUCGACAGUUGGUGCGCCAGGUAGGGGUUGCGUCAAGCUUCUCGCUGAUUAGUGCGAUGGGAUUCGUCUCCGGCAUCGAUGACUUCGUCUUCCCUCUCGGGCAGGCGUUCCGGUUCAGCAGCCUCGACUUCAUCACCGACAACUUCGGCAGGAUCUCUCUCCUUGACUCUGAUUCAAACUAGUCAGGAAGAGACGAGGUCUCCGCCCCGUUCGGUCUCCCGAACUCGGCCGAGAUCUACUCCAAGAUCAUCUGAUCCGAGUUGGCUUCAAACCACUCAAACGUGAUCUCAUCUACUCCAACAUGACCUAAUCAAGAUGAUGGGGCCAAUCGAUCGAUCCUGAUGAAGCUCCCCGAUGAUUUGGCUGCGGUCUUCACCACAAGGAUGUCCUCUCCCCGUAGGUCUAGAUGGGAUCCGGCCUCGGCUCCGAUCCAAUCUAGCUUCAGGGAAGUCGGUGUCAUACUUCAGCCUCUCGGGACGGUUUCAACGGAAGAAUUGGAUGGCUACCUCAGCUCUCCUGGUGUCGACUCACGGCCAACGGAGAUCCUCGACUACGACGACUUCGGCUACAACUACGACUUCAGCAACCUCGACGACUUUGACGAAGCCUAUGAAGACAAUUAUACGCCUCUCUUUUUCGGUGUUUUCAUGGCUGAUAACGAGACAGUGGAGCAGCGUCAAGCCCGUGAAGCAGAAGAACAACGCACAUGACAGGAAGCCGAGCGUCGCCGACUAGAAGAGGAGUGAUAAGCACAAGAGCGAGACCGGCUGCAGCGUGAGCAGCAGGAACGCGAGCGGGCUGCGAAGGAGGCUGAGGACUGGCGACAACGCGCCUUGGAGGCUGGACGGCGAGCACGCGAACUCAUCGGACAACAAGACGUUGAGGGGACAGCGGUUUUUCGCACCCCACAGCAGAACGCGGUAGCAGCGAUCACCCUUCUAGAUACUCUACUUCAGGAAGACACGCCCAACCACGUCGUCAACAUCUUAAACCAGACAAAGACCAUGAUCGCCGCCUCGGUCCCAGUUAACUCCGCAAGCAUCCACACGCCGACUGGCAGCCGAGUUCCACCUCUUCGAUCUCAAGAUUAUCAUCAACCAAGCUUCAGCGUUGCCUUCUCAGGGUCCAAUCGUAGGUGAAUGGAUCAUGUUGAACGAUCUGUUCACUCGCCUGCCGACAGACAUAGGGAGCGCCGAGCUGAACAGCCUCGCUCUCCACGUCGCAGGCAGCCCGUCGAUCUUCGCGAGACACUCAACCGGCGUCGCACAGAAAGAGGCUAUAUUCCACACUGUUCACCAGAUUGCUACGACGACGAUGAAGAUGGAGUUGCAGCUUUCACAAGUGACCUGCGUCGAGUGGACUGGCCGGCCGGCUUCAAGCCGACUGGGAUCGUGAAGUAUGACGGCAAAACAAAUCCUGAGUCUUGGCUCACCGUCUACGGUCUCGCAAUUCGUGCAGCAGGAGGAGAUAGCAAGGCCAUGGCAAAUUACCUGUCAGUGGCUUUAGCGGAUUCUGCUCGAUCCUGGCUUCUCAGGUUACCCUGUGGUACGAUUGGAUCUUGGGCAGAGCUUCGCGAACACUUCAUCGCCAACUUUCAAGGCACCUUCGAAAGUCCUGGCACCCAGUGCGACAUCUACAACGUGAUCCAGAUGCCCGGUGAAUCCCUUCGAGAUUAUAUCCAACGCUUUUCUGAGCAACGCAAUAAGAUCUCUGACAUUACCGACGACGUCAUCAUAGCCGAUUUCACUAAGGGUGUUCGUCAUGAACUCUUAGUCGGCAAAUUCGGACGCAAGCCUCCAGGACAUUCAAGCAGAUGUUUGAAAAAGCCAAUGAGUACGCCAAAGCCGAUGAUGCCGUCACCGCGUCCAAGCAGUCGGGAAGCGAUUGGAAGCCCAAGAAAGAUGCGCCAGCAAUAGGGGGGAGCGGAAGUACCAACCAUAAGGAUCGCAAGCGUAAGCCCGAGGACCUUGUGGCAACUACAGCACCUUUUUCUCGAUAGAGAUCGCGCAUCAAUACUUUCGACAAGAUCAUGAAUGCUCAGUGCUCACAUCACCCGAAUUCAAAUCAUGCGGCCAAAGAUUGCUUCAUCUAUCAGCAGUUCGCAGAGCAAUACGCCAAGAAAGCACGGAAGCCGACUGAUGGAGAACAAAGCACUUCAAAAAAGAAGGAUGACGAAGAUGACGGACCGACUGGUUUCCAAGACUCUCGCAAGGAAUUCAACCAUACUUUCGGUGGACCCCAAGCUUACGAGUCCAAGCGGAAGCAAAAGCUAAUUGAAAGGGAGAUCAAUGCCGUCCAGCCCGAUACGCCCCAAUAUCUUCGGUGGUCAGAGACAGCAAUCAAGUUUGACCGCUCGGAUCAUCCUGACCGAGUGGUCCACCCGGGGCGGUACCCCCUGGUACUAGACCCAGUGGUUCGCAACGUCAAGCUCCGACGAUCCCUCAUUGAUGGUGGCAGUGCACUCAAUAUUCUUUUCGCCAAGACUCUGGACGAUAUACAAAUCCCUCGUACUGAGCUGAAGCCGAGUAGUGCGCCCUUUCACGGAGUCAUCCCCGGGCUGUCUUCUACUCCACUCGGCCAGAUCACUCUGCUGGUCACCUUCGGCACUCGGGAGAACUUUCGUACAGAGAAUAUAUGCUUCGAAGUUGCUGAUUUCAAGACGACUUAUCACGCUAUACUUGGACGCCCGGCGUUAGCCAAAUUCAUAGCAGUCCCACACUAUACCUACAUGAUGAUGAAGAUGCCAAGACCCCGAGGAGUCAUAUCUUUGCGGAGCAACAUCAAGCAAGCCGUCACCUGCGACAAGGAAAGCUGUGAGAUGGCCCAGACGCAUGAGAUUACACUUGUUCGGGAUGAGAUCCAACUGACUGCAUCAACUGCAACCGAAGGAGAAGUGCCUGCACCCAAGAUAUCAAAGACCGGAGAAAGCGACGCCAAGACCAAGAAAUUUCCCCUUGAUCCCUCUGAUCCUUCCAAAACUGCUGUAAUAGGCGCUGAGUUAGAUUGUAAAUAGGAAAGCGCGCUCAUCACCUUUCUUCAAGCUAAUAAAGAUACUUUUGCGUGGAAACCAUCUGAUAUGCCUGGUAUUCCUAGAUAGGUGAUUGAGCACUUCUUAAAUGUUAAAGAAGAUGCUAAACCCAUCAAGCAACGACUCCGUCGUUUCACACAAGACAGGAAGGCUUCAUCAAGGAAGAUUUACACCGUGACUGGCUGGCAAACCCAAUUUUGGUUUGGAAGAAGACAUGACAAUGGCAUAUAUGUGUUGAUUACACCGACCUCAACAAAUAUUGUCCUAAAGAUCCCUUUGGGUUGCCUCGCAUUGACCAGGUAGUUGACUCAACGGUUGGCUGCGAGUUACUCAGCUUUUUGGAUUGCUACUCGGGUUAUCAUCAGAUCAACCUAAAGGAAUCCGACUGCUUGAAGACCUCGUUUAUCACACCUUUUGGGGCCUAUUGCUACAUCACCAUGCCCUUUUGAUUAAAGAACGCGGGAGCAACCUAUCAACGCAUGAUCCAUAGAUGUUUUUCAACUCAGAUUGGUCGCAAUGUUGAAGCUUAUGUUGAUGAUGUAGUUGUCAAGACCAAGCAGAAGGAUGAUCUGAUCGCCGAUCUAGAAGAGACCUUUGCUAGCAUCCGUUUCUUCGGGAUAAAGUUGAAUCUUGAAAAGUGCACCUUCGGAGUACUGUCAGGGAAGCUGCUUGGCUUUAUGGUAUCCCGUAGGGGUUUACAAGCCAACCCGGAGAAAAUAAAUGCCAUCCUUAACAUGAAACCGCCAAGUUCUCAGAAAGAUUUUCAGAAACCGACUGGAUGUAUGGCGGCGCUCAGCCGGUUUGUCUCACGACUCGGCGAGCGGGGGAUGCCCUUUUUCAAGCUUUUGAAGAAGACCGACAAUUUCCAGUGGGGACCCGAGGCCCAGCAAGCCUUUGAAGAUUUCAAGAAACUUCUCACAACUCCGCCGGUCCUAGCAUCACCACAUCCGCAAGAGACGUUGUUAUUAUAUGUGUCGGCGACAUCUCAAGUUGUGAGCACGGUCAUGGUCGUCGAGCGAGAGGAGGAUGGCCACGUCCAAAAGGUUCAACGACCGAUUUACUUCAUUAGCGAGGUUUUGGCCGACUCCACGACAAGAUAUCCUCAUGUACAAAAGUUGUUAUAUGGUGUUUUAAUUACCGUUAGGAAAUUAUCCCAUUAUUUUCAAAGUCACUCGGUCACGGUGGUCAUAUCGUUUCCACUCGGAGAUAUACUUCAUAAUUGCGAGGCAAAUGGGCGGAUUGCAAAAUGGGCUUUGGAGUUGAUGUCUCUGGAUCUAUCCUUCAAGCCAUGUACUUCCAUCAAGUCCCAAGCUUUAGCGUAUUUCGUUGCCAAGUGGACGGAGUGUCAAGAAGACACGCCUGCGGAGAAGCUCGAGUAUUGGACUAUGCACUUUGACAGGUCGAAGAGGCCUUUAGGCACUGGAGUAGGGGUCGUUCUGAUUUCCCCGACUGGAGAAAGAUUAAGUUAUGUACUGUGGAUACACUUCUCUGCAUCACACAAUGUGGCGAAGUAUGAAGCGCUUCUUCAUGGACUAAGGAUUGCAUUAUCUCUAGGGAUUUGGCGUCUGAUAGUUCGCGGUGAUUCCCAGUUUGUUGUCAAUCAAGUUAUGAAAGAAUGGUCAUGUCUUGAUGAUAAUAUGGCUGCAUACCGACAAGAAGUACGUAAGCUGGAAGACAAGUUCGACGGCCUAGAGUUAACUCAUGUGCUUCGGCACGACAACGAAGCGGCCGACAGACUGGCCAACUUUGGUUCUAAGCGAGAAGCAGCUCCUUCAGAUGUUUUUGUUGAGCACCUUUAUGAGCCGACAGUACCAAGGAAAGAUGUAAUCGAGAUGACAAGUACCCAAGAAGUAAGCAUGAUUGACGCCGACUGGAGAGAGCCCUUCAUCAAAUUUUUGACUAAACAAAAGUUACCUCAAGACAAAUAUGAAGCCGAGCGGAUCUCUCGACACAAUAGGCUUUAUUUCAUGAUUGAGGAUGAUUUGUACAAGAGAAGUCCGUCAGGAAUUUUGCAAUGUUGUGUUUCUUUGGAAGAAGGAAGGCAAUUGUUACAAGACAUACAUUCUGGCAUUUGCGGGAACCACGCUGCAGCACGAACGAUUGUUGGCAAAGCUUAUCGACAAGGGUUUUUCUGGCCUACUGUGGUAUCUGAUGCUGAGAAAGUUGUGCGAACAUGUGAAGGUUGUCAGUUCUUUGCCAGACAGAUUCAUCUACCAGCUCAGGAGUUGCAAACUAUCCCUCCCUCCUGGCCUUUUGCGGUUUUGGGGCUUGAUAUGGUUGGUCCUUUCAAAAAGGUCACCGGUGGUUUCACUCAUCUUUUUGUAGCUGUGGAUAAGUUCUCCAAGUGGAUUGAAGCUAAACCAGUCGUCACAAUUACAGCUGACAAAGCUCGAGAUUUCUUCAUCAGCAUCGUUCACCGAUUUGGAGUACCUAAUCGUAUCAUUACGGAUAAUGGAACCCAAUUUACUGGCGAUGUGUUUAAGGAUUUUUGUGAAGACUUUGGUAUCAAGAUUUGUUAUGCAUCCGUAGCACAUCCUAUGAGCAAUGGGCAAGUUGAACGCGCCAAUGGUAUGGUACUUCAAGGCAUCAAAGCACGAGUUUUUGACCGACUGUGUCCCUACGACGGCAAGUGGGUUGAUCAGUUGCCGUCAGUACUUUGGUCUCUGCGCACUACACCCAGUCGGGCUACGGGGCAAUCGCCGUUCUUUUUAGUCUAUGGUGCGGAAGCAAUGUUGCCAAGUGAGCUAGAAUUUGAGUCCCUGCGCUUUCGCAAUUUCAAAGAGGAGCGCUACGGAGAAGACCGAGUGGAUGAUCUCAACCGACUGGAGGAAGCUCGCGAGGCAGCCUUGAUCCAGUCGGCUUGGUAUUUACAAGGGUUACGACGCUACCACAAUCGCAAUGUUCAAUCACGCGCAUUUUUAGUCGGAGACAUGGUCUUGAGGAAAAUUCAAUCUACACGAGAUCGGCAUAAGUUAUCCCCUUUAUGGGAAGGACUGUUCAAAAUCUCUGAAGUUACUCGGCCAGGUUCUUAUCGACUCAAGCGUGAAGAUGGUUCAGAUGUCGACAAUUCUUAGAACAUCGAGCAUCUUCGUCGUUUUUAUGCUUAGACAUUAUUUGUGUAUACUUUUUCCUCUUUGACUGCCAACAUCAAGUUGUUUCUUGAAGUUACCAGUCGGGGGCUAUCAUAAUAAUACUGGAGUAUGAUUUUUAUCAAUUCAAUUUGUUUACUUGAUUUAUCAUUGUCUUGUUUGAUUUUUUGGCUUAGUUAAUGAGGACUUAGAUUUUUUUGACAACUUUUGCAGGUUCUAAGCUCAAUAAGGUUUGACAAAAACGUUUAAGAAAUCAGCGACUAAAUUUAAAUUAUCAAGCACAGCAUAAAUUUAUCAGUAUUGUACAGAUUGAGCCUCCAUCAUCAAAGAUUACAUCAUAUGGAAUCAACCAGACUCAGUUUUCUCAUCAUCAGACCCAGUCUGACCAAGAUUGGUAUCUUGAAAUCUCUCUACAAUGUCUGCAGCAAUUUUGUCAGCAGCCUUUUGGGCAUCAUUAAUGAUGUCAACGGCAUCUUCUUCGCUUGUUCCAUCUGCAAAGCCAUCAAUGGCAUCAAUAUCGAUCUUCGGAUACAAGGACUUAGUCAUCGCUAGAGCCAUGGUUGCUCCCAUGCUUCCAGCCUCCAUGAUAUUCUUGAAACAUGUGUCCGGAGCAGCUCUCAAUUUGUCGAAGACUUCAACAGCAUCGAUUGUACUCGGGCCAUUGUUAUUGUAGAACAUGGCUUGGAUCAGCGGUGUAGCAGCAUUGGCGACUUCAUCUCUAGCCUCUUCAAGUUUUUUAAUCUUGGUAAUCAAGACAUCAAACUGAGCCUGUGAUUUAAUUUUGCGAUCUGCAUGAAGCAAUUGUGUUAGCAUUGAGGAUGCGGAGACAAGUCUAUUUCUGGACUUCCGAUUGCAAUUACCUUCGACAUCUUUGAUGGCCAAGUCUCUUUCCUUUGCGAGAUCACCCUUGUCCUUUUCGAGAGCUUUGAUUCGUUUCUCCAGCUCGGUGAUCUUGGCAGCUUGGACUAUUGUACAUCUUGGCGGUUAGCUGAGUACAAACACCAACUCAGAAUGAAUUGAGCAAGGACAGAUGUUACCUUUUGACGAACCAGUCAACUCGAAGUUGCUAUCUUGAAGCUCAACAAUCCGAUCCCUGAGAUCGUGUUCAGUUUUCCUGGCUAGUUACCUAGUUUCAUGGAGUUGAGCUCUGAUUUCUUCCAGAGUUCCAAGAUGAGGGACCAGUUUCUCAAGGGUUGUGGUUUUUGCUUCGUUUCGAAGAUGAAUUCUCUGCAUUACAAGUUUACUCAUUUCAGUGGGUUUGCCGAUUGGAUAAGUAAAAAUAUAUGCAGGAUACUUACAUUUACAAGACGGGUAGCUUGAGUAAGUGUCCUUUUUAGCAGGGCUACUUCCUCGUCUUCUUUCUGCUUGUUGAUAACUAUGCCUUGCGACUGCAUUUCAUCAUCGCACCAUUUGACUAAGAUAGGUGGUCGGGAGUCUUCAGCCGAUCGGAUCCAAAGGAUUUCUUCUUUGUCGCCAAUUAUUGGGCCUUUACAUGCAUACAGAGAAUGAUAAAGCAAUCGGAGAACACUUUCAAAAUACAAAUAUGCUUGGAGGAUUGUUACCUAUUAUGAUUUUUGGCGGUGGACGAGCAGGCCCCUCUACCUUAUCAAAUGAGCUGGCUUUUGGACCAGCAUCGGUAUUAUUCAGGGGAGGGCUACUAGCUUGCUCCUCUGUCUUAGGGAUAUCCUUACUUUUGAUCGUUCCCCGGCCGAUCCCCAGUCGGGGGGUCUUGAUUAGCACUGGUUUCGAUGUCAGCCGACUAGUUUCCAGUCGGGGGCUCGUUUCUGGUCUCUACAUUGUCGGUUGCCGACUGACUGCCAGUCGGGCGGUUUUCUUCAGUUGGCCCGGCUUCAUCAGCAAUAGCAGAACCAGUCUCCUUAUUAGUUGGAUUGGGGUCUUUCCCAGAUGGAUCAAUGUCCGAUGGCUUCCUGAAGAUUGAAGAUGUGCUAUCAACAUUAUAGUGAAUGAUGCAUGUUUGAAAAUAAAGAAGAGAUUAUAAGCUGACUCAUACCUGGACGACUUUCUGAUUUUGGGUAUCGGACGACUGGAUGUCUUCUUCUUUGGUGGGUUAGCUGGUUUAGGCUGUUUUCCAGCCGCCUCUUUGCUGCCGGCUUUUUCGGCGUCAUCGCCCUCAUCGUUGCUUAGGACCAGUUUCCUCUUCCUGGAGCCUGUUUGAUUCGUUGGCUUUGGGUUGCUUGAUUGAGCAGAUGGUUGAAUUUUUGGACCCCCACUAGUCUGACCAGGUUGUCGGCGAGGAGAGCGGCGUUGAGCGGUUGGAGGGUCAGACUUCAUCAGAGAAAAUUCCUACAGAUGACAUUUCAAAUUUUCAGCCAGCAUUGCAAAAGAUGCGAAAGAUCAGAUGAUUCAAUACUUACCAGAGGAGGGGGUUGAAGGCAUGAUAAGGCACCAUUGGCAGUAUGUGCGAGUAAUCGACUACAAUGCCGGAUGAGAAAAUCUUAUACAUCCUGUCUUUCAUAAUCUUAAAUUCAAGAGACUCUGGAUCUUCGCGUUUGGGAUCACUCUUGCCAUCAAACUCAAAGGCAGUACGGGAUCUUUCCUUAAUAGGCGCCAGCCAGCUCUUGAUAAAGUGCCGAGUGAUUUGCUCCCCAUGCAGACCUUGUUCCUUGAGCUUCAGCAUGCGAUUUAGCAGAGUGAGGGCUUGAGCAGCUUCAUCUUCUAUUGGAAGCGAGUUCCAUGUAUCUUGAUAUGUUGGAGGAAGACAAGAGUACUCGGGAAGCGCUGGCUUAGGAUUUUGCAUAUAAAACCAAUUUGCAUGCCAACCCUUAUUGGAUGUUUUGAAAGGCAUGGAAAAAUAUUUCUGGCUCAAAGUGCCCCUCAGUUGAAAACCGGCUCCCCCAACAACACACUGCUUGCUCUUGUUUGGUUGGGGCUUCAGGAAGAAGAUGCAACGGAAUAGGGCAAAGUGCGGCCUAAUCCCUAGAAAGGCUUCACAAGCAUGAAUGAAGUUUGCAAUAUGAACAAUGGAGUUGGGGUUGAGAUGGUGCAAACUAAUCCCGUAGAAUUCAAGAAUCCCCCUGAAUAAUUUCGAAGUUGGGAGAGAAAAACCACCAUAGAAGAAAUGGGAGAAUACCACGACCUCAUGCAUGUCCGAGGUCGGGAAUGCUUCGCCACACGCCGGACGCCAGCCGAUGAUUUCCUUCGCCGGAAGAACACCGUGCUCCACCAUUUCCUUCAAGUUCUCUGUUACAUCGGUGGGUGCCCAUUGACUCUCAAAGCUUUCUCUCUCCUCCGCCAUGGAUGCGAGAUGGGUGAUGGGAUAUGGAGCAAGGGCGGCAGCGAAUGAAAGGAAAAUUGAAGCGGCAAUUGCGCAGAUGAUUUUCGCAAGCCCACGAAGCUUCGGGAGAGGUGGAUUGAUGUGGAUUUGCUAGCCCUAAUUUUCGCCGGCGUGGUUGCUACACUAUAGCGAAGGAUAGGGAGAGUGGAGGAGAUCUCGGCGGGGAAGACGAAGCGGCGUUUUGUUCAGCGGUUUUUUCGCUGGGGUAUCGGAAGAUGCUAAUGGGCCUGGGCCUUCUUAGUAUUUUCAGCCCAUUUUUAUUAUCGGCGUGGCUAGUUGUGAUCCUUAGGGAUUUUGGCGUAUAUUUUUUCUUUGGUAAAAAUUGCUCACGACAGAAUAGCCUAGUGCCGUUAAAAUCCUUUUUGACGCAGUUAGAUAAUUCUUGGGAAUUACUACGAUGCAAAUAAAAAGGUGCCCAACAGAAAAGUGUUAUACUAAUUUUGUUGGCCUUUUUAGGCUACAAAGUUGUUUGGGUUUUAUUAAGGUGACUAAUGGUCAUUCUCUCGGCAUGUUAUAUGCUUCAUUUGAUAAUGGCGUGGGUCGUAGCUUAGGCUAUUUAUACUUGCCAUUUAUCAUUUUUUAUACAACAUUUGAUAAAUCCUUUAAGAGUUUUACUCGGAUUUUUAAUCAUAUAUGUUGAUUAACAGAUCUUUAGAGUGUUUUCACUCGGAUCUACCUAUGCCUUUUGAGCAUACUCAAGCUAAAGCAGUCGGCUGAAUGUUUAUCAAGUGCCUCAUAUGCUUAGCUAUAUCAUUGCUUUGGUAAUUCAGUUAUAAAUUCACUCGGAUGGAUGUUUAAUAUACAACUAAUCACAUAGUCGGGGGCUACACCUAAUUAGGUGCAUCUAAUCGAUGCACCCGAUUUUUUUUUUUAUUUUAGCCCUUCACAGUCUUUGAUUCAAGUACUAGGUAGACCAAGGCAGGAAUAGUUGAAGCACUCGGAUUAUCAUCUUGAAGAUUCCAAGAGAAGAUUAUUUCGUCGACUGUAAAGGUCUCAGGGGCUACUGUGGAGAUUAUGGACACCCCAUACCCACAUGGCAUGUAUAUCCGACUGGGUAUAGGGGUACCAUAUGUAGAUAGAAUAUCUUUAAAGGGCUCGGGUUAAAUUCCUAACUUGUGUAUUAAGGAAAUACCCGGGAUCCUAGUCGGUUACGAUUGUAUUAUAUCUUUACUUGCCUAUUCCGUUAGGAAUAUGGGCUGUAUGUUGUAAUACGGGCUCCUCUCACUAUAUAAGGAGGCGUCCGGGUGUCUCUUGGGGCAUAACACACUCGGCGGAUCAAUCCCCGGAUAGGAGUAGGGUAUUACUUCUCAUUGAAAGGGCCUGAACCUGUAUAAAAUUCCUUGUCUCCAAACCCAUCCACUUUUCUUGCUUGAUAGCCACCCCGUUUUGUAUUGCCGAAAUCUUGUUUUGACAAUAACUUAGAGGUGUCCUAUGAGAAUGACUUUGUAAAUAUCAUCCUAGGAAUUAUUAUAUGAGUAAAGUGUACUAAGUUUUGGUGGAAGGGGAUGGAUCUAUGCCUUCACUGGUCUAACAAGUUUUAUUUGGGUUUCAUUAUAGCUAGAGUGUAUUUCUAUAUACAUUUAUAUGUAUAUGUAUUGCUUAAUCAAUACCAUAUGAUUAGCACCUAUCAUAUAAAUUUAAAGUUUAGAGCUAUAACCUGUACAGAAGGUGCUAUAUUUUAUUUUAGUAUGUUUAUAUUUUAUUUUAGUAUGUUGAAGCCCACUAUUUGCUGAUUCUAUAGAAACUUAGUUCACCCCAUUUGGACUAAAGAUGAAUUUUCUACAAAUUUUACAAAUUAAGGUAUGCUCUAUGUUGCUUAUUCCUUACACAAAUGUUUAGGGGUUUUUAUUAUACUGUAAGUAUGUAUUUUUAUUUUAUAACAUUGAAGUGCACAACUCUAUGAUUCUACAGAACUUGAGUUUACUCAAAAAGGAUCUAAGAUGAAUUUUAUAUAAACUUUUAAAGUUCAGCUUAUCUAAAACUAGUCAUUUUAAAGAUAAUAGUUUGAGGCAUUUGAUGCAAAGCAAGUAUACCUUUUUAUUUUAUUUUACAGGAGAGCAUAAGUUUAUGAUUCUGUGGAAUUUGAGUUUACCCCAAAAUAAGUUGAAGUGAAUUUUCCAUGUAUUUUAUAAGUCUGUGCUUGCUUUAUGUGUGAUUUAACUUAGAUGAAUUUUGGAGGUAUAAUUUGUACUGCGGGUGCAAGUUUUUAUUCCAUAAUAUUAAAGUUCAUAAAUUAGUGAGUUCACAGAAAUUGGUUUUAUCCUAAAAUGUUAACCCAGAGAUACAGUGGGAUGUUAACCAGUUGGUGUCCCAACUGGAUCAAGAAGAAACAAACUUAAACAUAAAUCAAGCAUCCAAGAUGUUCAUGGCUGAAUGAAAAGGUUUCCAAUUCUACAGUACACAUGCUAACUAAUUGCAACGAUUAGUGGAGAAAUAGGUAACAGUACAUAUAAGUAAUUUGUUACAAAAUACUUCCUGGAUACAGUAAUGGAAACCUACUUGCUUAACUAGAUGUCACAAGCUAAUGACAUAGAAAAGUCAAAUCAUUUUUGGGGCAAUAUAGUUGCUGGCGACUAAUCCUAACAGGAUUAACCAAAACAGAUAUUUCCAGAACCUAACAGAGCUUUGGCAUCUGUCAGUUUGUUCUUGCAGCUCCACUCGAUUCUGUUCGUUGUCCUUCAACUUAGCAGCAUUGUCCUCAAUCAGAACAUGGCACUUCUCAAUGUCGUCUUGAAGACGAUGAACCUGGUUUCUCUUCUCUUCCAACUCAUACUUCAAAGUACUAAUGAUUUCUUCGCCGGAUUGUCUGGCGCCAUUGAUUCAGUAUGCAACCAUAUCAUCGACAUACUGAAAAAGGAUGUCCUCCCAAAUCCAAACCUUGCAAUGAUACUUCGAAAUGUCUGAACUUACCUUCUUUGCGCAUUUGAGAAAACGCCUAUUGGGAUUCCGAGCUGUAUGGGAUGCGAAGGUUCGUAUUGGGUCCUCACACGCACACUUGAGCUGGGGCGGGGAUAAGCCAUAGAAGAAUGUAUGGACCUGCAAGAAUGUAGAAUAGAACUGGGUGGAUUGUUGGGUGGAUGGAGGAAGAUGCACUGUGCAUCGCCAUGGCUGCUCUACCAACAGAGUGCAGGAUGCUAGGGUGGAGAAUAGUCAAGAUAUUCAGGCUGCUAGGGUGCAGAGGAGUAAAGACGAGAGAGAGAAAUUCAUUCAAAAGUACAGAACGGUACAUUUAUGGGCCCGGUUGACUUGACAUAUAUGUUUGGUACACGGGGGUAGAAAAUGUGUGAAACAGCGAUAUACGAAGGAAUACGCCUGGUGUGUGGGACCAGGAGCACAAAUCUCAAAGAGAAACGGGCGGUGAUGCAUGUAGGGGAACGUCCCCUUAACCGAUCAGAAUAGUUUGCCGGCUAAUACUCUCUCCAUUCCAAAAUCUAAGUAUUUUUAGUAUAAUGACAAGUCAAAUAUUUUUAACUUUAACUAUUAAUAACAUAAAAAUAAACAAGAUCAUACAUGUUACUAUAUUUAUCAUUAAACAGACUAUCAUAAUAUAUAACUCUUUUUAUUUAAAAUAUCUUUUUAUAGAUAUUUUUAGUUAAAACAGAAUCUCUAAAGCCAUGGCAGAGUCUAAAAAUAUUUAUAUUUUGGGAGUGGGAGAGUACUCAUCAAAGCAGAAAAUAUAUAUGGCCUUGUUUAGUUCCAAAUUUUUUCUUCAAUUUUUCAAUUUUUUCAUCAUAUCAAAACUUUCCUACACACAAACUUCCAACUUUUCCGUCACAUCGUUUAAAUUUCAACCAAACUUCCAAUUUUGAUGUGAACUAAACACACACACUAUAUAUACAUAUAUACAUAUAUAUAUAUACAUAUAUAUAUAUAUAUGUAUAUACAUAUAUAUGUAUAUACACAUAUAUGUAUAUAUGUAUAUACAUAUAUAUAUAUGUGUGUAUAUAUAUGUAUAUACAUAUAUACACAUAUAUAUAUAUGUAUAUACAUAUAUACACAUAUAUAUAUAUAUAUAUAUGUAUAUACAUAUAGUGACAGACCGACAGUAUGCUACUAGAGCAGAAGUUCAGACUGAGAGAACAGUAAAGUGAGCUGCAAGGUGAAACAGACCGAAAAAAUCAUGCUUAAGCAUGCAGAGCUGUGCCUAUGGGCAAAAAAACAUUACAAAAUAUACACAGCAAAAGGAAUUCAUACGAGGCAGAAUCAGUGGGCUUUGUUCACUGUCAAAUGUUGAUGCACACAUUGCAAGGCCAAAAUACACACUCCUCUGAAUCUCUGAUGCAUCAAUCAGUUUGCGAAAAGAAAGGCAGGGAAGAGGGGGCAGCGGCCAUGCCAUACCGUAGCUGGCUAGGCAGGUACUCUGAGUGCCCUGGGGAGCAAAGUGGGCAGGGAAAGACGACAGCGGAGCGAGCAGGUGGUCCCGCCUCCGUCGAGAAGGCGCUUCUGGCACCAUCUGCACCGCUGGGCCGUCCUGCCACGGAUGGGGAUCAAUCUCGUGCUGGUGGCGCUGCUGUGGAGAAUGUCCGCGGCGAGUUCGGCGUCGGCGAUGCUCUCCCAGACGGACCAUAGCCAAUGACCACGCGAAAUCUGCACGCACAGACCCAUCCUUGAGUGGAACACGAGUGGGAGCAGAUGGUGAUGGUGGUCGUCGCAGUGGCAGUCCCCAUAGAGAAAGGCCUCGCGACACGUGGUGCAGAAUAGGUCCAGCAGCUGCUCAGGCUGAGCUGAGCAGCCAACUUCCAAGAGAGACAGAACCCACGGGUGCGCCGCCGCAGCAGCAGCGUGGUCAGCAUGCGCCCAGCAAGAUAUCGUACAGAGCGUGGCCAGCCUGCUGUAGAGACCAUCGAGCGAGGCAAUGUCGGAGCAGACCCUGCAGCGGGUGCCCGGUGAUGGCUGAAGCAAGUACGGCCGGCCAAGAAACGGAGACGGGAGCCGGUCACUCUGCACCCAUCACCAUUGGCAUUGCAAACAACACAUGAGCAAAAUUUUCAAUUCCUCCACAAGCACAAGCACAACUGCACAAGAAGAAGCAACAAGUCAAGCAUUUCAAUUACCUCGAUUCCUAGGAAGAUGGGCGCCAUCCUCUCGGCCCCUGUCAACCAUGCGCACCAGUCACCUCGGAACAUGCCGAGGACGAGCACCUCGUGAUCGUGGACGCCGCCACGGCCGAACGCGUCGCAGGACGGGCAGUAGUAGAGCAUGCCCACUCCUGCGGUCGCGUCGGCGACGGCGCUCAUGUCGUCGACGCAGACCACCGAUGAUAGCAUCCUCCUCCUCAGGCAUACUGAGCAGACGCCUCCCUCACCCUCAUCGGCCACCUGCCGCCGACGACAGACGACGCACCUCGCCACGAGCGCCUCCUCCUGAACGCCAUCCGCGCCAUCACCAUCCGGGCCCACCUCGCCACCGCCGCCAUGACCGCGCGCCGCCGCCGCGCCGGCCUCGCCCGCCUCGCCGUGGUCGCCUGCAGCGCCGCCGUCAUGCGUGCCCUCCGUGCCAUCCAAUCCGGUCUCCUUGGCCGCGGAUGAGGAACGUCUGCAAAAAACCAUUUCCAAUCAAGAACCAUUCUUUUGGUCAAGAAAUCUGGCAAGAAUCGAUUUCUUAAUGAAACCAUGGAAUUCAGUUCUCUUCUUACCUCGGGGAGCUGUCGGCCAACAAGAAAUCCGCCACCUCGCCACCGCCACCGGUCGCCGCGUCGCCGGCGCCGCUGCUCUUGCCGAGCUGGGCCACGGGUACCCCCAUCCUGAAAGAACGCAGGAGAGAUCGAAACAGGCGCGCGUCGGGAGGCGAACUCGAGGCGCCGGUGCGGAGGAGGAAGAAGAGGAGAGCCAAGAAAGGGGAGACGAAGGGCGCGCGUCGGGAGGCGAGUUCGUCUGAGACGAAGACGAAGCGGAGACAAGGAAGAUGGGCGCUUGUCAGUCAGUAUACAUGGCCAUAUGGGCCGCCCGGCCGUGCCUGGGCCGAGGCUUGUCGGGUCGGCACGGCCCGACGGACGCACCGGGCCGUGCCGUGCCAGCCCACGUGCCGCACUCACGGCCCAGGCACGGCCCAACACGCCUCGGGCCGUGCUGGGCCGGCCCCAAGGCACUACGGCCCAUCGCGCUUUACCUCAGCAUAAGUCUAAUUUUUCUCCCUCCUAUUGGGCUGUGACAUAUAUAGCUAAAAAAAGUCUAUUUUACCUCCCUCUUCUUUGGGCUGUGAUAUAUAAGGAAAAAGUACACCGAAGGUCCCUCAACUUGUCAUCGAGAUACAAAAUCGUCCCCUAAUUACAAAACCAGAUACGUGGCAUCCUCAACUUACAAACCAUUCACUCAGUGGUUUUAACCCCGGUUUUGUCCGACGUGGACGCUGAGUCAGCGGGACCCACAUGGGCCCCACAUGUCAGACAGACCACGCCGGCCAAGUCCCGGCCGCGCCGCUCGCCCUCACCGGCGCCGGUCCAUGAGGCUGAGGGUGCACCCAGCGUCGCGGAAGCGCACCAUCGCCUGCAGCGGUGGUGCGGGGUCUCCGCAGUGGCGGCGGGGAUGGCCGGCGGGAAGAAGCUGAGGCCGCUCGCCCGCGUCGGCUGAGUCCCGGCCGCGCCGCUCGCCCUCGCCGUCCCUCUCUGCUCUCUACUCUCGCAGGGCAUGGGGAUGCCGGUGCUAGGGCACCCACGGCGGCGCGCGCGGCCGGCGACGGUGGCUCCCGAGGCGACGCGAGCUUCCCCCAGGCGGCGCGCGGGCUCAGGGCAGCGCGAGCUCAAGACGUGGGUCUCCGACCGCCUCGCGGUCCAGCUCGUCGGUGGAGAUGAGGAGGGAGCGGGAGUGGCGGCGGGUGCGGGAGCAGCAGUCGCGGUGCGGGGAGGUGGCGGGCGGGACGGCGGCGGAGUGCGCCGCGGUUUGCUGCUGCUUCCCCUUCGCCGUCGUUGAGCUUGUCGUCCUCGCGGCCGUCCACGUCCCCGCCACGCCGUCUGUGGUGGGCGCCGCCGCGGUGUCCGCUCCACGAAGCGGAAGGAGAUGGGCGAGCUCCUCGCCCUGGACGUCGCCUCCCCAAGGUCGCUGGCCGUCGCGGCCACCAAGGCUAGGAAGGUAGAGGCCGAGUUCCCAGCCACGCCCAUGACCGAACACCUCGUCGACAUGGAGAAGCAGGUGUGGGCGAGCUUCUACAGCGCCGGCUUCUGGAGGAGCCCCUCGCAACGAGAGGACAGGAGGUGAUCGCCGCCGCCGCUCUCUUCUUCUUCUCCUCCUUCCCCACGGUUGUUGGUUUCUUGGCUUUCUCCUCCCUUUUCUUCAGAAAAGAGAAGACAAAUAACUCGAUCUUGUGAUUAAUUUAACCGCAAUUGACAAUUUUUUUUUUUUUUUGCAACUGGCUGUGUUCUUCUCUCCUUCCAAAAAAUUUGUCGAUUGGGAGGAAAGAUACCUGCUCGUGCUCAUUGAUGUCCUCUUCUUUGCCGUGCCGAUUAUCUCCAUUCCAUUGUGCUUUUGUUAUUUUGGUGCUCAUCGUUGGCGAUGCCGUCGUGCGUGGCAACGCCUAUAGCACGAGGCGGAUGACGCUCAGCCUGAUGGCGCCGUCGUUCUUGACGAGGCCCAGCAUGAGGCUCGCCGGCACCCCGUCGAUCAGCAGCACCAGCCAUCGGCCUCGUUGCCGGCGACAACCUCACCGUCCCGCUCAGCUGCGCCUGCCCCUCGCUGCCGCAGGUCGCCGUGGUGGUGGCUCGGCAGCGCCAUCGUUGAGCUCGCCGGCGAGGGCGAGCGGCACGGCCGGGACGCGGCCGGCGAGGGCGAGCGGCGCCGCCGGGACUCAGCCGGCGAGGGCGAGCGGCGUCGCUGGGACUCAGCCGGCAAGGGCGAGCGGCGCUACCGGGACUCGGCCAGCGUGGGCGAGCGGUGCGGUCUCCUCCCCGCCCGUCGCACGCCAUGCCAUGAGAGAAGAGAGAGACGAGGAAGGGAGAGGAGAGGGAAUAGAGAAAGCUGACGUGGAUUGUCUGAUAUGUGGGGCUCACGCAUUUGACCACUCCUCUUAUUUAAAAUUUUUUAAAAUUAUUAUUUAUUUUAUUUGUGACUUACUUUAUUAUUUCAAUACUUUAAGCACACCUUUUCGUUUUUUAUAUUUGCAAAAAAAAAUGAAUAAGACGAGUAGUCAAACGUUGCAAGAAAAACUAGAAAUCUCUUAUAUUGGAUGGAGGGAGUAGCAAAGAUUAGUUCCAACAACCGGUAGUCAUUAAUUACCAAAACUUCUUCUAACACACGGUUAUAGGACUUGCUCUUUCACUGGCCGGGGCGGUGAAGCCUAACCAACGGUGUGGUGAGGGAUUAAUCGGCCGACAGCAUGGGGAGGGAGGGCAAGCUAUAGAGAGAGACAGGAAAAUUAUCAACUCAUUUUCAAAAACUUUUUAACCGAAUCAUUUAUUUAUUAUAUUACAAAAAAUAAUGAUAUGCACUAUAUUUAACAUUCACGCUAAUGAACAGGGACAUGUCAGCGUUUGACGGAACUUCUAAAAAUCAUAAAAAUGAAAUCCAACGAGACAAUAAAUCUAAAAACGACAGGGUCUACUUUUUAAAAGUUCCAAGGAGAAUGAAUAGAAAGAGUGGUAGAUCGCGCAAGCAAAUAAAGGAGACGUGACAAACAUGUAAGGGGUAUAAAUUUUAAAAACUAUAAAAUUAAAAAUACAAGGAUAAUAAAGUUUGGUCUUUCAUAGUGUUAAAACAACGAGAUAGCUAUUUAACAAAUUUUAAGUAAAAUCAUAUUAAAAAUAGAUAAUUUUGUAUGGGUGCUAGCCGUGCAAUUGCACGGGCUACCUAGCUAGUUUAUUUAUUAUAUUAUAAACAAAAUAAUGAUAUGCACUAUUAUUAACAUCAACGCUAAUGAGCGCGGGACAUGACUUUGUGAGCAUCGGCGGGAGCGUUACACAGACAACGAACGCAGGCCAACUAAAGCGUCCUGGCAGGGGACACGUAAAAAAUGAAAAGGAAAUCGGAAUCCGAUUGGGAGGCGAGUAGGCGACCGGCCGGCCUGAUCGAGUUCGGAAUCGGAAUCUGAAUCGGCGCGGUUGUACGUCUCGUGUGGACAUAUAUAUAUACCACCUGUCCACCCGUCACCAGAAGACAAGCGUACGUGCGUCGAACUAUGGCAAUCCGCAAGCAAUUAGUGCAAGUGCAACCGAAAAAGAUCGAGAUGUGGCAGUGGCAGCCUCCGCCUCUCCAUCCAGGGGUCGUCACCAUGGCGAAGCACAAGCUACAGUUGGAGGACCUGUCGCAGACGUGCCGGCGAGACCACUACUGCGUCAGGUGCGUCCACGCCUUCUGCUCCCACUGCUGCGAUGACCACCACUUCGUCCCGCUCGGCUCCCACAUCGUCAUCCCCAUCGCCGGUGUCGACGCCGCCACCGGCAAGCCCGUCAUCCCCGCGCACUACCCUCGCCGCCCCGACCUGCCCAUCACCGACUUCGUCAUCGGUCUCAUCAACGCCAACGACUUCGCCGAGGAGCACCCCAGGGACGCCUACUGCAUGUACUGCUUCAUGGCCUUCUCCACCGCGCUCUGCCACCACCACCACACCUGCGCCGCCGACUGCGUCCUCCGCAUCGUCCGAAGCCACGACGGCCGCCACUGCGUCCGCUGCACCGGCGACGAGCCGUGGUUCCCUUACAUGGAGAGCGUCCUGGGCGACCCCGUGGCUGUCGAGGAGGAGGAGGGCGACGACGGCGAGGUGGUGGCUGUGCUGCUGCUGCUGCCCGUGCUGAGGAGGAGCUCACCGACCGCGUGCGUACACUGCGGCGGCGAGGUGCCCAAACACAUGCGCCGCUCGGUGCUCUGCUCGCCGGCCUGCGACGCGGCCCACCAACUGGAGGUCGCCCAGCGCAGGGAGCGCAGGGACGCCGUGCUCGCCGCGCGCCGCCUCGCCAAGCUGAACAUCCAUGCCGUUUGAUCAAUUCUUGUACUGUAUUAGCGCUCAUUGAUUUGAUCUCGUAAUUCUCAUAUCUGUAUGUUGACCCGUGUCUUUUUUUUUUCGACUCCCCGUGUCUAUAAACUAUUAUUAGUAAAUUACUUUCGUGCCGGCAAUAUCUUUUAAUUCUUCUCUUGUGCAUUGGGGUUGAUUAACCGCCUAAUGAUGCAAUUUUCAUUUCACAAAGCUAAAGCUAUUCAUCUACAGGAACGUUUAGCAGGGCUAUAGUUUCAGCUUUAUCUCUUUUGAAGCUAAAACUCAACUAAACUGUUUCAGUUUUAUCAAACAAGAAAGCGGAGCAAACUAAGUGAUAAAAAAGGAAAAUUUUUAUAUGCAUAUCUUUAACGAUUUAAAAGUUAAUAUAAAAAAGGGAGUAGCUAUAUUUAUGGCGCCAAAUUUUUCGUCAAAAAAUAGUCGGCAUGUAUUUACAUUAUAAGUCCCUAAAUUACAUUUGUAAUUUUAGUGUAUUUACAAUGUAAAUUCCAAAAUUACAUAUGUAAGUCCUAAAAUUACAUAUGUAAUUCUCAAAAUUACGUAUGUAAGUUGAUGUAAUUCCCAAAACUAUAAAUUUGUAAUGACACAGAUAUUUAGUUUUUAAGAUUACAUAUGUAAGCCCACCUAUCAUACUCCUAUUCCACUAUUCCUCUCUCUCUUCUCUCUCUCACCCUUCCUCUCUCUUCUCUCACUCUCUGUCUCACACGCGCACAGCGGCGAAGGAGGUGGCGAGCGGCGGCGGGGUGCGGCGGAGGAGGCGAGGCGAGGCGAGGCUGCGGCGGUGGAGGCGAGGCGAGGCUGCGGCGGAGGAGGCGAGACGAGGCGGCGGCGGCGGGAGCUCGCGCUGCUCAAGGCGAAGUGAGGUGGUGCCGGCGGGGGUGCGGCGGAGGAGGCGAGCGCGGCGGCAGAGGAGGCGAGCGCGGCGACGGAGGAGGCGAGGCAGCAGUGGCGGCAAGGCGGUUGGCCGGGGCGACGGACGAGGCGCGCGGCGUGGGCGGGGCUCGAGAGGAGAUGGCCACGGCGCGCGGGCGGCGGGGUUGAGAUGCCGUGGACCGGGUGCUGGCGGUGGUACUCGCCAUCGUAGCCGACGAUGCGGCGGGACCUCCUCGCGUGGUCCGCGUGGAGCCCGUCAUCCUCCUCAUCCGCCGCGCGGGGGAGGCCCGAGGAGGAGGUGGCAAUGGCGUGGCCCGAGUAGGAGACGAGGCUGCGGGCGGCGGGGAUGACUGGCUCGGGCGCGUCAUCGUCGGUAGUCGCGUAGCUCCGUGCGCCCACGCUGUCGCGUAGUCAUUCAGCUCCGCUAGCCGUCGCGACGAGCUCCCGCCGUGGAGGGCCGGCACCGCUCGUGCCAGCUGCUGCUCCGCGUGGCGCGCCGGAGAAGGCAACGAUGGCGAGGCAGUCGGAUCGCAUCCUGCUCCGAGCUCCGUCCGAGAGGGAAGAGGGAAGCCGCGCCGAGCUCCGUCCGCCCGCAUGCCACCGAGAUGGAGGGGAGAAGCCGCGCCGAGCUCCUCAUCCCCCGCCGUCACCGCCGCCGCGUCACGCGCUGCCGCCGCCGACCCGUGAGACUGUGCCGCGAGAGAGAGGAAGAGUGAGAGAGAGUGAGUGAGAGAAAGAGAGGAGAGAGUAGUGACAGGUGGGUACCACAAUUUUUUUAUAAAUAGAAUGCUGAUUGGACUACCACGUGUACGCCACGUAGACCAAAACCACCGCGGAUUGGGUCGAGGGGGUAAUUCGUCCGGUAUUCAUAGUUGGGGGUGAAAAAUGUCUGGUUUUGUGGUUCGGGGGUGGGGGGUAAUUCGGAUGACCGCGAUAGUUCGGGGGGUAAUUUGUACUUUUUCCUAGAUAAUAUGAAAGAGCAUACUACGGAUACAUAUGGCGUUCAUCGUGCAAUAUAUUCCUUUUGAUUCAUAGAUCACAACAUGUGUUACACGCGUAUGGUUACUAGUAGGGUUAAUUUGAUUCAUGUCAUUACAAAUAUGGCAUAUUAGAAAAAUAUCAUUACAAUUCACGUUAUUGAUUAGAUUCCACUGAAAAAUUUUAAAUUUGGAACCAUGCCACUUCCUUCAUUGUUUCCGUACUAAUCCCUCACGUCCUCACCCUCACCUAGGGGUGGACAGAAAGCUCGUGGCUCGUAUGCUCGCUCGGCUCGUGACAAGCUCGGAUCGGCUCGGCUCGUUUGAUUUUCCUAACGAACCGAGCUGGAAGUUUAGCUCGUUAGAGAUAACGAGCCAGCUCGAGCUAGCUCGCGAGCCUUAACGAGAUAGGCUGCCAGACCACAAACCCCUUAGGCCCAUUUAUUUAGAAGGCCCAAUAGACCAAAAACCAAAACCCUAGCUUCCCUUCCCCUUUCCCUGGUGGUGGCGGCUGAGCUCCCCGUCUCCCCCACACGCCGGCGCCACGCGACGCGGCCCACGCGGCCACGCCCAACGCCGCCGCUCUGCGCCUCCACCCUAGCAACCGACGCCGCCACCUAACCCCAGCGCCCGACGCCGCCGAUCCGUCGCUCUCCGCCUCUCCCUACCCCCACGCCCGACGCCGUCGGCGAGCUCAAGCUCGUCCCACGCGCCGCCGCCACUCUCCGCCCCUCCCCUUGUGCCUGACGCCGCCGGCAAGCUCGAGCUCGUCCCCUCCGCCGCCAAGUUCCUCCCCGUGGUCGCCGCCUCGCCGGCGAGCUCGAGCUCGUCCCCUCCACCGCCAAGCUCCUCCCCGUGGUCGCCGGCGAGCUGUCAAGGUGCCGGCGAGGUUGAGCUGCUUCCGUGCCUCCGUGGUCACCGGCUGCCCCCAAAGCUCACGAGCCUAACGAGCUGGCUCGAGCUUUCAAACGAGCCGAGCCGAGCUGGGUUUUUUGCUCGUUAGGAUAACGAGCCGAGCCGAGCUAGCUUGUUAGGAUAACGAGCCAGAGGUCUGGCCAAGCCGAGCCGAGCCAAGCCGGCUGGCCCAACUCGACAUCCACCACCCCUACCCUCACCGUCAGUCCGUCACGUGAGCGCGCGGGGAGAACGCUCGCCAGCGCCGGCACCGGCAAGCAUCGAGAGGACGAGGCGGCGCAGGCGAGCGGUGAGAGGACGGGGAGAUGGAGAGACGGUGCCGGCGAGCGGCGAGGACGAGGCGGCAGCCGCACCCUCUCACCACGCCCUCUCCACAACUGUCCUCGCCGCCGAAGCCGCCACCGUCGCAGCCGGCUGGAACCCUUCAGCGUGUUGGAUAGUAUAGGAAGAGGGGAAUAAUGCAAAUAUUGGAUACAUUGUAUUGAGCCUCAGGGGGCCGAUAUAUAUAGGAGUACAUGGGGAAGAGAUAAGGAAGGAUUACAGAUAUGGAAGGAAUCCAAACAAACCAAUCCUAUCCUAAUAUGACUCUAACUACCAUAUACUCUAACAUCCCCCGCAGUCCAAGCGUGAGCAGCGCGGACACUUGGACUGGAGAAUAAACCGGCAAGAGUGCUCAACACGGAUGAUAGCCCUUUGUGCCAUGGUCGACGUAGCCAAAGCGAAGGAGCCGAGAGAGCCGUGGUCGAUGAAGCCGUGCGCAGAAUAGCCGUGGUCGAUGUAGCCGAAGUCGGGAAGCUGAUGUCGAGGUAGCCGAGCCGCAGGGAGCGCAUGGGGCGCCGUAGAGUGGUCGUGGAUGGACUAGAGGGCGUCGUGGACCAAGGUGCGUGAGGACACGCAGGAGACGAAGACGGGGACGCGAUCACGACGGUCGUUGAGGAAGAUGACGUCGAAGAGCCGAUGUAGUCGAACCGUGAAGGACAAGACGUCACACCAGGUUUGCCAGACCCGGGGACAACUCGGGACGAACAUGCGCGCCGGUGUUGCCAAUACCGCGCGGGCGAGAUAGAGGACCACCAUGAAUCAUACACCAAUGUCGGAGAAGACCAGCAGAGAAGGCCUCCGGGACGGUCGCGGCGCGAGAACGGCGUAGAGGGAGAAUUGCCGGAGCAGCACGCAGUUGCCGGAGAAGAGCGAAGUGUAGUCGAGGAAGAUACAGCAACGCUGGCGAUGAGUCAUGCUGGACGAAGUAGAAGGCGAAGUAGCGGGACCAACGGCCUGGACGGCGACGUCGGUAGCCUUGUAGAGGUAGCUGCACCACCGGCCUAGAGUGGCGACAGUGGCAGCUUGGAGAUGCGGCGGCGAUGCUCGAAGUAGAGGAAGAAGACCCUGAGCGGCUGACGAUGACCAGUGCGGACGACGAGGUUGUCGAUGCGUGAACGGCGAUGAAGACGACGAAAGCGGCGAAGCUGCGGUCCGAGAGGACAACACAGCUGCAGCUCCAUGUCGAUGCAGCGACGAGAAGUCCACCGGUGAUGUAGCCAUGCUUAGGAGGGCACCUCUCAGCACUGCAACAACCAGUGGAGGCGUGGACCACAGGCGGCGGCACUGUGGCCCGAGGGGGCGACGCAGCGGCAAUCCAAAGCUUGAUGGUGUAGACGCGUGCUCGAUGACGAUUGGUUGUAGAAGUCGACGAGGCGGUGGGCGACGCAAACCGAUCUCUGAUCGGAAAAGGAAAAUAACAGCAGCAAGCAGCAGCGCAGUACGGUAGCACAUCCUCUGUUCCUCCAUGGUCCCGAUCCAUAGACCAAGUCCAGCAGCCUUGCAGCCUCAGCCGUGCCAGCAGGAAGCCAUGACCAAGUCAACGAGGAGAUUAAAUCCUUCACUUGGCCACAGCCUAUUCACCUUCUCCCGAAUAUCCAUCCACACACAUGCAGACAGACAGAGAUAAGGGAGGGAGAGGAGCUGUGCGCCUGUGCUGGGAGACGCAUUGUGGGGAGGUAGCAGCGGCUGGACGUGGAGUCGGCGUUGACGACGAACCGGCAGCCUGCCCCCAAGCAGCGUCGGAGACGGUGGGGAGGGCCCAGAUUCGAUCUGCAUGUAGGUAGCCGAUGGUUUGGUAGCUGCUGCAUGUUUAUGAAGAUGAACGACGACGCAGAACGCUAGAGAUUGAUCUCUCCAGCACGAUGGAACAGCGACGAACAAAACGUCCACCGGAGGUGAUCGAGAUCAGUCCCUCGCAGCGGUGGAACAAGACGAUGAAAAAAAAAACGAAAAACGGUGGCCGCCCCCAGGAGCGAGAUCACCUCCGGGGGCGACGGCAGCGGAAGUGGUGAGCGGCGGCCGUAGGUCGUCCGCUCUGAUACUAUGUUGGAUAGUAUAGGAAGAGGGGAAUAAUGCGAAUAUUGGAUACAUUGUAUUGAGCCUCAGGGAGCCGAUAUAUAUAGGAGUACAUUGGGGAAGAGAUAAGGAAGGAUUACAGAUAUGGAAGAAAUCCAAACAAACCAAUCAUAUCCUAAUAUGACUCUAGCUACCGUAUACUCUAGCACCGCGCUCGGUGGUGGUGGUCACGCCCGCAAACAAGGUCGCAUUGACGGUGCGCUGCUCCUGAAAUCACUGAAACAAGCAGCCAAGCAAACACCCAACAAUCUGAGCUAAAUCAAAUCAAGUUGGGAUGAGGAGAGAGAGCAAGCGAGCAUUAGAUCGAUCUCACUGGACAGCAGCAGCGCGGGCUGCGCGUGCACCGGAGACAUCCGGGUCGCAAAGCAUGGAGACCACCUUGUGCUCCUCCUUGUGCCCGUGCGACUCACCGCCGUGCCCCGCACCUGAGCUCCACCGCCAGAGGAUGGUUUUUUUUAGAGAAGAGUAUUUUCUACCCGGCCUCUAUAUCCAACCGGAUAUAUACGGCCAUUGAGAUAGGGAACUUAGCCCCGCAAAUAACCCAAUCUAAAAUUCGCUCCAUAGGAGAUUUGAACUCAGGACCUUGGGCCAGAGGAUGGAUGGUCCCGACUUCUCUCUGAUUUGGGGAAGCUGGCGGCUCGCUUCGCUCGGGCAGUCGUCGUGCUCGCCGGAGAGCUAGGAUGGGAGAAGGGCACGCUGCCGCUGCCGCUACUCCUCCCGCUCCCCGCGUGCACCGUGCCGCCGCCACCGCUGCUGCUGCCGCUGAAAUAUUUUUGAAGCGCUGUCGCCGCUGCUCCUCCAGCGUGAGGAUGAUGACGUAAGGGAGUAGGACGGAAACAUCCGACCAAUAACGUGAAUUGUAACGAUAUUUUUUAAUAUGCCAUAUUUGUAAUGGCAUGGAUCAAAUUAACCCUUACUAGUAGGAGUAAAAUGUGUAUUUGUAAGAGCGAGUGUGCUUGAGCAUGUAUGAGUGAAUCAGUUUGUUUGCGAUGUUAAAAAAACAAAAUUAAACAAAAGCCACCAACAUUUAAGUAAUUAGAUCACGUCCACUGUGUUUCUACUUUCUAAAAGAAUCUGAAUAAACCAAGAAAAAAGCAACUCCAAUGACAUAUCUUUUCAAUAUUCGUUACUCCGCUACUUCCUCCGUCCAAAGAAAAAUACAACCAAUACUAAAAUAUGACAUAUCGUAGUAUAAUAAAUUGGGACAUACUCUGUGUUUAGACUCAUUGUACUAAAAUGUAUCACAUUCUAAUAUUAGAUUGUCUUUUUUUUUUUAACAGAGCGAGUGAAGCAAUAAGAAUGGAUAUUAUGAACCGUGGAGCACUAGCAGCUACGAUUUCUCUGAUGAUGUCCUCAUGCGCGUGAACUACUUUGUAGGAGCAAUCAUAUUCAUACCUAGUGAGCGAUAAUUACACGGAAGUAGAUUAGUAAACUAAUCUGUGCCAAGAAGCAGGAACAUCUUGUGAUUCCUCUAAUAUUUGUACACAAAUGUUAAAUAAUUGCCCACACACUAGCUAAGAGGGCUAUGUUUGGGGAGCUUUAUGAAGCAGCUGUUUGGUAGCUAGCUUCUGAGAAUCUGGAAAAGCUCUGAAACCCAGUUUCUCCAACUUCUGGCUUCUUAGUUUAUUUUUCAGAAUCAGUAACUACAGAUUCUUAGAAACUGUGGAUUGUUUGGGGCUGCUUCUAGCAGAAGCAGCUUUUUCCAAAAGCUGCAGCUGGGAGAAACUCCCCAAACAGGGCCUAGGACCCAUUGUAGUACCUCGGAAAAUUACCUCGCGCACGUGUCGCGGCGCGCGUUUUCUGGGGAGCAGCUUGGCCUAGAUUAGUUCUAGAUAAUGAUGAUAUUUUCUGAAAGAUUUUUUUUUUACAGAUUGAAAACUUUUGAAAUAAAAUUUAAAAUUUUAACUUAAAUUUUGAAUACUUUCAACUCAAACUUUAAAAAUUUUCAACUUGUAAGACAAAUUUUAUAAACUUUCAACUCAGAUUUAAAAAUUUUCAACUUUAGAUUUGAAAACUAUCAAGUCAGAUAUUAGAAAACAUGUAUGCUAAGGAUUAAAAAAAAAGCAGAAAAAAGCAGAAAAAAAGGAAAAUCGCAAAAAAAAAAAAAUGGAGCGGGAGGGCGUGCUUGCUGGCGCGCGCCCUCCAAUUAGCCAUCCCCACUAUACAUUGGCCGCCUCUUCUUGUUAAGGCACUCACCAUGAUCCAAAUUCCCGCUCGGCUUUCUCCUCUCGAAUGGCCUCCUGCCGCCAGAAGCCACGACGAACUGCUGCGCUCUUCCCAUGUCGCACGUUGCUACGUAGCUGCAGUGCGGUGGUAUGGGAGAUCGCCACACCAGCACGUCGAAGCGCGGCGUGUCCACGCCGGGCACCACGCGGCCGCUGAGCAGGUCCUGCAUCGUCACCGUCGGUGUCGUGCUCGCCGCCGGCGUCCACGUCGUCAGCUUGCGCCUGCCGUAGAACAGGCAGUGCGGACCGUCCAUGGACGGCCUGUACAAGUAGUACGAGUCGUCCUCGUCCCUGACCGGGCCGUGCUCGCCGCGGCCGCCGUGGGCGUCGAUGGCCGCCCGCGCGAUCCGGCGCCACGAACGCGCGGUCAUGUCGGCGCGCAGCGCCGCGGCGUGCGCGUUCACGGCGGCGAUCAUCGCGAAGUGCUUGACGCCCUCGAAGAGCUCCGCGGCGAUGGCGACCAGCUCCGGCCGAUCCUCCGGGUCGGCGCCGCCGAACGCGAGGACGCGGAACAUGUACCAGAGCUCAGGCCGGCGCAGGUUGUCCAGUGUGACCGGCCGCGGCGCCGUGCCCAGGCGCGCCGCGUGCUCCGCCGUCCUGCAGAUGAUGACCACCUUGCCGUCCCCGUUCUCCCGGCGAACGGACGAGCACAACCUCCUCCAUGGCUCCUCUUCCACGUCGCCGACGACGUCGACCACGACAAGGGACCUUGCGCUAGGAUCGAUGCCGAAUCUCCGGUGCUCGUCGUCGUCGCCGGCCGCCAUCAGAUCAUCGCUGCUGAGACGGUGGAUCUUGGCGAAGUACUGCCUAAUCCGCUCGUCGAUGCAGACGUGUUCGACCAGCGUCCGCUUCCCGACCUCCGGACCACCGACGACGGGGAGGACGCCGGGAUUCGGGUCACCGGCCGACGAGCACGCCGGGCGCAGCAGGAAGUCGACGAUCUGCUCCUUCUCCAUCUGCCGCCCAAACAUGCACCGCUCCAUGAACAGGUAGGCGCUGUACGGCUGCCGGCUCAGGCGAGGGCAGCCGGCCAGGAGCACGACGAGCUCCUUGGCGCCGCCCAGCGCGGCCUCCAGGCUCUCCAUGACCGUGGCGUCGCCGUCGCCGCCCAAGCUGAGCAGCAGCGGCUGGCACCGGCGACGACGACGGCGGCUCGCCGCCGCCGCCGCGGCGUUCCGUAUCCUCAGCGCGUCGAGCGCGUACGCGGCGCGGCACAUCUCCCACCUCAGCUGCCUGCGCUGCCGCAGCAUGGCCGGGCUGGUGACCCGCCUCCCCUCGGCCUCCUCCAUGACGACGCGUGCUCGCAGCAGCGCUCGCUGCAGCCUGCUUGCGCCGUCGUCGUCGCCGGCGCGAUGCUCCUGCCACUUGCUGAUGAGGAAGGAGAUGAGCCGACCGACGAGGUCGCUGGCCGCCGCCGCGAGCAGAGCGUCCUUUGCUGCUGCGUGCGUCCUCUGCAACUUCGUCUCUCGGCUGUGAUUUGUUAAGGUUGGAGGGAGGAGAUUUUUGUUCUUCUAAACAAAUCGACGAGGGUACAGGAGAAAACUGUACAAAGAAAACAAAUUUAUAAGUAAACACCCGGAGACCUGUGGACUCGGUCUUGAGUCUUGACUAAAGGUAGCCAGUCCGCGAGCUUCCUUGCGCCCGCGAGGGCCUAGUUUUUGCUGAGGGACGAGAUUCUCAGGUGGUGUUUACGUCCAGGGACUCCCUGUCUCUAGACAUUAAUUUAGAGUAUUAAAUAUAGACUACUUACAAAACUAAUUACAUAAAUAAAAGAUAAUUCACGAGACAAAUUUUUUAAGCCUAAUUAAUCUAUAAUUAGAGAAUGUUUACUGUAGCAUCACAUAGGCUAAUCAUGGAUUAAUUAGGCUCAUUAGAUUCGUCUCGCAAAUUAGUCCAAGAUUAUGGAUGAGUUUUAUUAAUAGUCUACGUUUAAUAUUUAUAAUUAAUUUUCAAACAUCCGAUGUGAUAGGGACUUAAAAGUUUUAGUCCCAUCUAAACAGGGCCUCAGCAGCACACAAACGAGAUAACUCAUUAAGGGCUUGUUUAGUUCCAAACUUUUUUUUAAAACUUUUAACUUUUCCAUCACAUCAAAACUUUUCUACACACAUAAACUUUCAACUUUUCAAUCAUAUCGUUCCAAUUUCAACCAAACUUCCAAUUUUGACGUGAACUAAACACACCCAAACACAUAUUCGUUGAAAAAUUCAAAUUCUAAAAAUUGAAUUUAAACAUAUAAUUUAAAUCAUUUUGAGACGUAUGAUUAAUUAAUUUAAGUAUUGACUAUUACAAACCAGAAAAUUAGAUUUAUUUGAUUUUUUAAAGAAAUUUUUAUAUAAUUCUUUUCAAAUAGUUUGAAAAUGAUGCUAGAAAAAAAAAAGAGGAAUUUAUAGUUUGGAGUGGAAGAAAAAAACAUGCUCUCAGUGAGCACUUAUGAGUGGUACGCAUUUAUAUAUGAGAUGCAUUUUAAAAGAAUUUGAAAAUAAAAAAAAGGUGAAGAAUACCGUAUUACCGUAGAGCGUAGUUUAUGGUUUCUACACCGAGUUUCUUUCGCAUAUUUAACCAUGCGGCCCUCUUUCGGCUUCGCAAGCGUAACCACGAAGAGUUUGACCGUAAGACGAGCAUGUUUGUGUUGUUCUGUUAAAGUUUGUAAAUACGUAUGCUGACCGGCAUGUGGUUAAUUUGACUGUUUAGUACUUCAGUGGAAGCUAGGUAUUCGAAUAAAUCAAGCGAAGAAAAUUCAAUUCAAGCAUUGUUACAUUUUGCUAAUUGCAAGGACAGAGAGGACGCUGGCCUGGUUUUGCAAGUUGCCAUCGCAAUGCAGGUUUUGCAGGCUGGCCUAGAAAAAAAAAUAGUGGAGAAAAUAAAUACUCCCUCUGUUUUUUUUAUAGAUGAUGCCGUUGAUUUUUAACAUGUGUUUGGUCAUUCGUCUUAUUUAAAAAUUUUAUACAAAUGCAUAAGAUAUAAAGCAUGCUUAAAAUAUUUUUAGUGAUAAAACAACUCAUAAAUGAUACUUAUGUACUUCCUCCGUUUCACAAUAUAAGUCAUUCUAGCAUUUUCCACAUUCAUAUUGAUGUUAAUAAAUUAUUCUAGCAUUUCUCACAUUCAUAUUGAUGUUAACGAAUCGUGGGAAAUGAUAGAAUGACUUAUAUUGUGAAACAGAGGGAGUAAAUGUUUUGAAUAAGUUAACAACGGCGUCCAUUAAAAAAUACUAAAGAUAGUAUCACAAAGUUUGCUAGAAGUAGGCAUGUUUUGACAAUAACUAAUUGUUCACUGCUGCAUUUUUGGGAUUCAGCUAGUACAGCUCACCAAUUCCAUGCUAAUUAUGUUAUUGGCCAAUGCAAAGAAAUUUUUUCCCUACUAAUAUUAAGUAGCAUAAAAAAAAACCUUGUCCGUUUUUGGCAUAACUAAAUUUGAUAGCAAAUGAAACAUCAUGGGGUACUCUUGUUUGAAAUUUUUUAUGCAAAUUAAUAUGGUUUUAAUCCAAGCUAGUCCAGUAUGGUUCGAGAAUUCACCCAACAUUUAUCUUAAGAAAACGACCUUGAGUUUUUCUACAGAAUACUUAACGUAGACAAGAAGUAUAAUGACACUCUUGUGGAUGGGGCAUGGUUCCCCUAGCUUGGGAUGACGACUUCUUGGAAUGGUGACUAUCGUCUUGAAAGCAGAUGUACAAGUCAAGCAUGAAGUACUUGACAGUUGACAUGGAUGAUAAUCCUAAACACCUGAUUGAUACAAAAUGGACGUAAAGAACCCAACUACUCUACGAUCGCAGAGGAAUGGAGAACCUGGAACGAAGUAAGGGCCCUUUGAAUCAAAAGGAUUUAUAUUAAAAUUUUAUAUUAUUCAAAUUUUAUAAAAAAAAAUAUUAUUUGACACUAUGAUCUAAAGGAUUCAAGCUUUACAAAUCUUAUAAAAUUCCUAUGGAAUAACUCAUUGCAUGUAGAUUUUGGAGGAAACUUAGCAAAAGCUCCGAUCUCUUGGAAAAUUUUCUGAGCCUAUCUCUCCGAUCCAAUUCUUCUGUUUUUCCAAACGAUCAUUUCUAUGUUUUUCCUGUGUUUUGCAAUCAUCUGUUUUACACUUGUAUUCCUAUCAGAAUCCUAUAUUUUUUCUAUUCCUCCGUUUUUUUCAAUCUUAUGAUCCAAAGGCUAAUAGUUAGAGACUUAGAAGGCUAGAAUAGAGUGUAGAGACAUGGGGCAUGCAUUGGUCAUAAACUCAUAAUGUAAGAGUAAGACUACGAUGCAAGAUCUUUUAGUGCAUGACUAACUCCGUUGGGCGUCCAAUAGGGUUCGAGGACGUCAGCAAGCCGGGCGUCGUUGGCAACAAGUUGGAGUUAGCUUGACCACAAGAAUGACCGAAUCGACUCCAUGGUGUGGCGGAGGACGGUGAGGAAGCGGUGGGAAUGAGGCCAGAGAGGUGGAGUUUGUCGAAUCCUUCGCCACAUCCGGCGCCACCUACGGCGGAGUAGCUUGGUGAAGGUGCGGACCAGGUUGACCGCCUUCUGCUAUUGCUGAUGCGGCAGCGGAUGUACCGCGGUCGCCAUUUGUACGUCCAUCUAGUGGCCUCUCGUAGCUAGCGGGAGGAUUUCUCCUCCUCAACAUCCGACCGAAGGGGCAAUUCCGUCUCAUCAUCGGGUGGAGGAGCGAAAAUCUAUUUGGGAAUGAAUAAAACGGCGAAAAUGACAAAGUGACAGUAGGCACACGCUUCAUGUUGACAUUUUAUCGAAUCGUGUUCUGAGAAUAAUAUUCCAACGAAAUCACGUUUUAAGCGUGUCCAAAUGUCCAAUUUUUUCUCGACGACGGUAGCACUGCCCUAGAGACUGCCCAUUUUCGAGCUGGAACUGGAAGUGGAGGAAUUGGCUCGCCCUCCCCCCUUCCCCUUGAACCCCCACCCCCGCCGCGCCUGCACUCCGCUGGUACGCCCACGCCCACGGUCUCGUCUCCCCGACCACCACAAUCCCUACCCUUUUCAAAAAGAGGAGAGAGGGGAUCGGAGGAGAAUUUCUCCACUUCACCCCCAACAAGCAUCCCGACCACCACCACCCCCCGCUACCCCAGGAGAGAUUCACCCGCAAUGUCCGACGAGGCCACCAGGCGCUUGGCCGGGGGCGGCGGGGGCGGCGCGGCGCUGAGGGCCUCCUCCGACGUCGACCGCAAGCCGGCCGCCGCGGGCUCCCCGCCUCCUGGCGCCGCCGCCGCCGCGGGGCACAAGAUCCAGCUCAAGAGCGCCGACAUGAAGGAGGAGAUGCGCCAGGAGGCCUUCGACAUCGCCCGCGUCGUAACCACUCGAUCCCCCGCACCUCCCUCCUCUCGAUUCCCUUGUUCCCUGAUUCGGAUUGCUCGGUUUGCGAUGUGAAAUGGUUUUUGUGUUUUUUGGUUCGCUAGGCGUUCGAGAAGCACACCAUGGAGAAGGACAUCGCGGAGUACAUCAAGAAGGAGUUCGACAAGAACCACGGCCCUACCUGGCACUGCAUCGUCGGCCGCAACUUCGGUACUCCUCUCUCUCUCUCUCUCGCCUCCCCCUCUUCUUGCUGGAAAUUUCUUUGGUACCGCAUCAUCUGGUGAUUUAUGUCUUGUCCUCUCCUGUUGAUUGGGGUAUCCGCGGCACAAUUCCAUGUGCUCUAGAGCUUGUAGGCUACCGAAUGGUAUAGAAGUCGAUGUGUGUUUGGUCGAUAAUGACAAAGAAACAACCCUCGUGAAAUCUUCCUCCUUGUGUUUUGGUUAAGGCAAGCCAAGUUAGCACUAGGGCAUACAACAGUAGUGUGUGGACUGUAGAGAGUAGUGUGAUUCCUGGCUUAAAGGGCUCAAAUUUUAUUUUAAUGUUUAUUUUAAAAAGCAAUAUAAUAUUUCUCGAAGCUUGACUCGGUCUGUUUGUCAAAUGUCAACAGAUAAAGAGCAUGGUGGUAUUGAUUGAAUCCAAGUAUCCAACCUAGCAAUGCCAGUAGUCAACUUAUUGUGUUUUUUCAGCUCACAGAUUUCGAAUUAAUGUUCUACUUUUCCUGUGUAUAAAACUAAGCUGGAGUAAAUUGCACCUGGUUCCUUUGUUUAUUUAGUUAUUAAUCAAUAACGUGUGCUUCACUUUGCCAUACCGAUCAGGCUUAGAUCCACAAUACAAACACAGUAUGCCAUGUUAUGUAAAUAAACUCACUCGACAUACCAUGUCACCAAAAAAGUCAAGUGCCAUGUCACAUGGUAACAUAUCAUCUGGAAGGUUUACACUGCAUAUCCCAUUGUAGACAGUUUAAAGAUCUCUGAUGCAAUUAGCUCGGCCAAAUUGUGAACUUGGAUUUAGGAUAGGUGAAAAAAGAUUUAAUACCAUAUCCAAGAAGUGCAUUGACAUUCUCAGACAUAUCUGCCACUCUUCAGCACAUUUAUUAUAAUUUCUCUCUUGCACUUGAGUGGGUCCUGAAACAAGUAUCAUACCAUUUCAGUUCUGCUUCAGCACUAGUGUUCAUAUUUUUCCUGUAGUUGCACAUCUGGCGCUUGCAGCAUUCUUUUUUAGUUAUAGCUUGUGCUUAUUCAGUAUGUUAAAUAAUGCCAAACAAUUAUGGCAACCGGAAAUUUUCAAGAUCAUUCGUUCAAUGUGGUACACUGAUAGUCUGAUACACACUUUGUUUUAGGUACCAUCCACAUAAAUCUAUAACAGUUGGAAUUGGCACAGUAUAAUAGUGUUGUCACUAUAUCUUAACUGCUUCUCUUGUGCAAACUAGUUCAUUUUCUCAUAUUAGGUUUUCCCUCAUUUUUACCCCCUGUUAUUUUAACUGAAUCAGCACUUCAACUUUCUUUUUCUAACAAAAGGAUAUAGUGACCAAGAAGGUAACUAUGAAACUAUACCAUGAAUGAUUGACUUUUGUUAGCUUUCCUCGCAUCCGGAAAAGGGCUAAGUGUAUCAUGAAAACAUAGGACUUUAAUCCUGUUACUGCUUCGGUUAAUCUAGCAUUUUCGUAUAUAUUUUAUUUAGUUGUAAUAUUAUACUCCCUCCAUCCCAUAAUAUAAGGGAUUAUUCCUUUUUGGGUAAGAUUAAGGAUAGCAUGCAAAUACUAGAAUACCUCUAUUAAAUGAGGUUUGCUUAUGGUGAGUGGGUAGUGGGGGGUUAAAGUAGGUAGAAAUUUGAAUUGGAGUUGAUAGACAUGACAAGUAGUAUACCAAAAUCCCUUAUAUUGUGGGAUAACUAGAAGGGGCAAAUCCCUUAUAUUAUGGGACGAAGGGAGUAUGUACUGAUGAACCCAUGAUAGUCUUAUUGAACUCAACAUGAUAAUAGGUGGCAAAUCUCAAACUGAUGCCCAUCGGAGUAUUUGAACAUGACAUACUAGUUUAAUUUUACAAGCUGUGUUAAUUUUCAAGUGUUUCUACUUUCUAAUUGACUCCAGUAACAUGAGAGAAAUCCUACCUUCCAUCGCUUCUCAAACCUUGUAGGAGGUUAAAAUUUUCCCUUAGUAAAUUGGAUUUGUUAAAUAGAAGAGAGUUAGCAUCCAGCCAUCCGUAGACAUGACGGGUGGAAUUGUUCAUUAUAUUUUAUCUUUUAUCCUUAGCUGACACUUAUCUGCCAUCUUGUUUGCUAUUGUGGAGCGUGUACAUACCAUUUUUGUAAACCAUGGAUAGUUUUAGUCUUUGCCGACUAUCUAGAUGGCCUCAACUUCUCAAGGCUUGUGUGAUAUGAAAUACCACAGUGUAACUAGUCCGGUCUGUUAUGGAUUAGUUUGGUUCCUGUUGGUUAAUCUAUAAGAAAAAGAAAAGGUGGGGUCUCAGUUUCUAUGGCUCAUGAUCCGAGGGGUUAGCCUCCAAAGCUUGUAUUAUUCUCUGGAAUUCAUUGACCUUAUGGCUUAUGCUUGCUUGGUAAUGAAAAGCCAAGAUGAAAAACACUAUAAUGGAAUUGAAUUCACUUUUUAUCCUAUUCCUUUGGUUGGUUUAUGGGAGAUGUGAUCAUGGGAGUUGGCUGACUUCUCAGCAUGAUUGGGAAAACCUAAGUACCUAACUGCUGAAAUUGUAGAACACUUAACUUAAAACUGAGCUAUUUUUCCAUUCUUCCUAUUUCUAUUAUGUCAUUGUAUUAUAAGCCGUCUUCAGUAGGUUUGUGGUGCAUUCAGGUAUUUAAUGUUGCUAUGGUGUGUCGAUUUCUGAAAUGGUUGGCAAAUAUAAAUCUGUACUCAACUACUUUAUCUGAUCUCCUGGUUUCUCUGUUCUCUCUAAGAUGCUCUUGUAUGCAACCAAUUCCAAAAGGACAAAAUAUCCUUGAUCUGAAACAGCUCCAUUUCGCUGGUUACAUAAUCUACUUCACAACUUUAGUAAUGAAUUUAUGCCCUUGUUUCCAUUUGAUGCGUAUUGAAUGUUAUGCCCUGCAAUUUCACCCAAGCCUUUUUGCCUGGUGCAGGGUCCUACGUAACACACGAGACGAACUACUUUGUGUAUUUUUACAUCGAUUCUAAAGCCGUCUUGCUAUUCAAAUCUGGGUGAUUGGCGUAGCUAAUAUCCCCUGCGCUUGUUGUCUUGUAUGCCUCUUUCCUCCGCGUUGUCUGCAACCAAAGCUGGAAGCCUGGAAUUCUGAGAGCCUGCAUGUUGUUGAUGUAUCAGCCGCGGAUCUUUUCCAUAUUCCAGCAAAUGUGAGAUUAGAUUGUGUGUCUAUUUUACGUCUGAUACAUCUAGGUGGUGUCCUGACAUUGCCUUAUUGUAAUCUGAUUGCCGGAAAGUCAGACAGAGGUUGUCAUCAACAAGGUAAAACUUGUGCUGAUCUGCUUAUAUUAUGCAUUCUCUGGCCACCGGGUUGCAGAAAUUGCAAUGAUUUCAAUGAAUGAUACCCUACAUGAACUGCCUAUAUAUGAUAUGCCAAUGUGGAUUAAGUUACAAAAAGGGAAAAUACUUUUUGCAUUGUUGCAUCAUGUGAAAUUCUACUAGACCAUAACAUGGCCAUUUUUUGCUGAGCAAUCCCUGUGAAAAUCGUACUAAAUUAUUAUUGAUGGAUGCCUAUGAUAAAUCCAUGGUAUCACUUAAAUUUCUGGUUAAGCUUAAUUGUAUGUGUGAUUAUGGAUAGUAGGAAUUGAAUUUGGUGGGUGCACUAUACUGAUCUGCUUAAAUUAUGACUGUCUGGAAAGAGGUUUUCAUUCUCUGGCAUGGUUUCCAUGAAUGACAUGAACUGCCUACAUAUGAUUUGUCUCGUGGGUUAGGUUCCACAGAGGAAAAAAAAAAUACUACGUAUCCUUUUGGUUGCAUCAUUUGAAAUUGCUACAAUAAAUCUAUGAUGUCAGUAUUUUCUGCAAUUUAUGGGUAUCAGGAAUUGACCUAUACAAUCACGACUCUACCGCUACACUGUACUGUUUGUGUUAAAGUCAAGUUGUACUGUUCAUUCGUGUACAACCAGAAACAUAGCGCAUUCUCAGAAUUUUUAUUAUUUUUAAAACCUUUUUAAUUUCACAAAAUAAAUCAUCUUAAACUUAUUUCUGAAAUCUAAACUUUUUAGCCAUGCCCCGCAUGAUGUGGUAAAAUAAUAUAGCUAUGUCAACCAUGCUGGCAUGGCAAAAUAACACUGUUACGUUAGUCUAUGUCAGCAUUGUUUCGCCACAUAAAUUUGGCUGGUGUGGUUGAAAGGUUCAUAUUUGAAUAUAAAAAAUUUAAAAGUUUUAGAAAACUUAAAAAAGAUCGCAUUCUCAUCCUUGCAAAAGCCAAAGUUUGCGACUUUGCGUUCGUCUUACGACAAAGAAUACGGAAUUCCCUAGUACUUUCCACGAUUCCAUCCUCCAUCAAUUUUGUAGAGCAAGUAUCAUGUGCGCAUAUAUAAACAACCUGUCCCUGGAUUCUUUGCCUACAAUCAUAUCGUACUGACUCCUCUAGGGAAUUGAGCCCUCCCCCUACCCUAAAAUUAUUCAUGACCUACCCACACAAAAGAUGGCCGUCCCCAUCACCCGCGCGGAUGACGAUGGCCUUGUAAAGAGAAGAAAAAAAAAACGAAGCGAAGGUGAUAAGGCUCGUUCAUGGACGGCGACAGCUUGACCUAACUUCGCGCCGUGAUGCGCCCACAUGCUGGAGCCCUCCGCCGUCCACGUGUCCAGAUCACUAGCAACGUGGCACCAGGAUCACGCGCGAGGGUGCACUGGUUUACUAGUGGUUACUAGUGGCCCCGGCGGCCCAGCUGAGCCGAGAGAGAAGAAAACGAGUUCAAGUUUGCAGCUCGAAAUGAAAUCUCCUCGUGCCAAAGCUCAAGAUGGCGAUUGCGAAAUGUUACAUCGACACCGCAAAAUGUCCAGAUUCAGGCAUCGUUUGAUAUAUGCACAGUAAUGUCCGUAAUGUUUAAAAUGAUUCAACACAAAUUUGACGUGAAGCAGAUGAAAUUGAAAGGAAAUUAAACUGAUUUAUUACUUGUUCCAUUAAAACCAUCACACUCGGGUACGUGGUGAAACCGUGAAAGUUAAAAAACAAAAACAGUAGUAGUAGAGUGAGGCCCUGCUCGCUGUUACAUGAGAGGUGCACGAAGAACCAGCACACGAGCAGAGCAUCCAGCCCACACGCAGCAAGGAAACGGUAGGGAUGCCGCCGCCGCCGCCGGCCGAUCCGCCGCCCGGCGAUGAUGCGUCGUCGUCGUCGUUCAGGUGCACGCGGAGGCGGAGCGGCGUGCGGCGCGGCGCGGUCGAGAGGUGAUGAGUAGUUGACGCGGAGCAGAUAUAUAUGGAUGGAUGGCGUCGUCGUCGGUCGGACGACGGCGAGGUCGCGCGCAUCACGCGCGGGCGUAGCUGCGGGCGAGGUGGGCGGCGCGGAGGUCGGCGGCGUCGGCGCCGCCGGCGAAGUUGGAGGGCCGGUAGUGGCCCGUCACGGGGUCGGGCACCCACGACACCUCCCUCGCCGCCGACGACGACGACCCGUCCUUCGCCUGCGUCAUCCCCGCAGCGCCCUUCCCUUCCACCGCCGCCGCCGCCCGCCUCAUCGCCGACGACGCCGCCGACGCGGCGUAACCCCUCGUCGUCGUCACCCUCGCCGCGAGCGCCCGCGCCGCGGCGGCAGCGGCAGCAGCAGCAGAGGUGGAGAGAGCGAGAGCCAUCGGAUCACUCGAUCGGACGGCUGAUGGCGCUCCGCUCCUCUCCUUCUCUACUCUGCUUCGGUGCGACGCGACUUGGGCUUGUGAGCUCUGUGUGGGGAGGAGGGAGGCGGAGGCGGACGCGCAUUUAAAGAGGCGAGACCGGGGGGGAGGGGGCUCGAUUUUAUUAUUUUUUAUAAAAUAUUUUUUGGUGGGGUGCCACGUGGCGUGGGAAAGCACGUGACGGGUCGAGGGAAACGUCGCCGCGGGUUCGGGCUGUCGGCGACGCGACGCGCCGCGGAGACGGUGGACGGGUCGAGUCGUGGUCUGGCUAUGCAGCGGUUUGCGGGUCGGUGGACGUGGUCCACCACGCCAACGUGAGUAAACCGAUGAUGAUGAGCGUCUCUGGUUUGUCUUUGUCCACUGUGAGGAAGUGAGGGCAUCACAUUGUGAUCCAUAGGUAAAUUAUAAUAUUUUAUUCACGUUGUGUAAUUAGUUCCUAUAAAAAACAACCAAAGAUACCUAUAUACAUAUAUUGAAUAAAAAAAAUAGUAGUAUUAUCUAUGUCUACUUCUCUCUUCAGAUAAUAUUACUUCGUGUCUAUAUACAAUGUUGGGAUUGCUAUAGUUAAAAUCUAUUUACAUAGAUUCUGUCUAUAUUGAUCACAUUUGCCAUAUAAAUUGGUGAUGCCUUAUUAUUGGUGGCUUUUUAUAUAAGCUAACCGAUGAGUACAUUUACGUUUUUUAAGCUGCUAAACGAUACUCCCUUCAUCCCAAUAUAUAAGAGAUUUUAGAUGGAUGUGAUAUAUCCUAGUACCAUAUUCAGAUUCGUAUUACUAGUGUGUUUUACAUCCACCUAAAAUCUCUUAUAUUGUUGGACGGAAAGAAUAUAUUGCAACGUGAAAAUUUUCUGUGUAGAAGUUCUUUUAAAAUAUCAAAUAGUUUUAUUUAAGUUUGUAAUAAUUAAAAUUAGAUUAAUCAUGUGUUAAUGAUUUUUUUUCAUCGCUUUAUCUUCCCUAGAAAAACGAAGACCACGUAGCAUUUCUCUUUAUUCUCUCCAUUUCAAAUUACUUGUUUAAAAUACUAGUUAUUAUUAUAAUUUUAAAUUUCUAAGCACUUUUUACUAAAAUGUUUCCUGUUUGCUCCUCAUAAAUGCAUUAACACCUGUGACCGUAAUGUACAGGGGUUGUUUCUUUUGUUGCUUGAUUUAGAUCGGCGCAAAGUUUGGCUUUUGGUUGAAAUUAGAUAUAAUGUGACUGAAAAGUUAGGUGUGUAUGAUAGGUUGAUGUGAUAGAAAAUGACUGAAGUUUGGAUCCAAACUUUGGAUCUAAACACAGCCUUGCUAUAUCUCUGUGUUGUAUCUAAAAGUUGAUCGAAUGGUAGUACGCAGGAGUAACUAAAUUGAAACGGAGGGAGUUUAUGGUGGUGAGUCGCGUUUGCGUUGAAGGGGGGAAGUUGAGUUGGUGCUCUUGUUCGGUUUUGAUAGGUGAUGGGGGUGUUUAAUUAGUCUAUGUAAGGUAGAGAUUGAGUUGACUUGCGGCAUGAAUAAAAAUUCAAUCUUAUCUCCCUUGUUGUUUGCGUAUUUUAGCCGAAACAGCUCCUUCACGAUAACAUUAACUAUACUUCAGAUGAAUACAAUUUGGCCACCCCAUAACACUUAAAUAUCGAAAAUUAUCAACACUAAAUGAGCACUUUUUAUUAUGCAUUGUGACCAUCACCACCGCCCGCGUAAAAUAACCAGGAGAAAGGGCUUGUUUGUUUCGUUGCUAGAAUCAGCCUUAUCAAUUUUUUUUUAUAUAUAGAUGAAUGUGCAUUUAGUUUAAUAUCCUUUUAAACUUUACUAGUAGUGUCUUUAUGAGAGAAUCUAUGGAACCACUAAAUUUUGAUAACGCAUCAUUGGCAAACCUUACCUAAAAUAGGUGGGUUAAAAAGUGACAAUAAAAUGGACAUGUGGAUGUGGUAGGGUUAAAAGUGGUAAUAAUGUGAACAUAUCCAAAGUAGCAAUAAUGUUAUGAUAAUGGAAGUUCAACCAGUGACUGGGCAAGCUCCCGGCAGGUCGGGCAGCCACUCGGGCUCCAUUAUCGCCAUCUCCAUUGCUGAAUGCCAUCAAUGUUUGUAAAAAUCGGUCAAUCGCGGUAAAAAGUAUUAGUCACUUAUAGCUCGGUAACGCCAUCUCUUUCUCAACCAUCUCCAUCAUCUCAGCAAGACAGAAGUUGAUUUGCAGCAUUCAAGUGCUCCAUCGUUGAAGGUUGGCUACUCUUCGGAUUCACCCUUCCUAUUGUUCUCUAACAGAAGAAACCAUGCUGGAUUUAUCAUUCGGGUUGAGCUCGGACCACCUGCACAAUUUCGGUUGACAGGGUUGAUGUUAGAGCUCCUCAGAUUCAAUGAUGAGCCUCGUGGGGAUCCUUCGCUAAGUCCGGUGACGCACACACCAAAAUCUACAGCUCAACAACAAACCUCAGUCUUGUGCCGUUUCCGUGGAGGCAGCCGAUGGGGAUCAACGGUUUGUCAAGCGGAGUGCACAUCUUUUGAGGCCCAGGGUAGCGGUCGUCGCGGCUUCGUCGCAGAUCCCUGCCGACUUGCUCAUUUUUCUAAUGUUAGGUUAUUUCAGGAAGAUUGUUUCCGUAGUUCAGUUAACCCUCCCUUCUCAGGGGUGGCUCUUUUGCUUUCAGUUUUUAUCCUUGGUUAUGUAUUGGGGUUUAUCCUCUAAUUCUGCUCUUGCUUAAUAAAGUUGAUGUGUUUUUUUAAAAAAAAAAACCUCAACCUGUGCAGCUGGCCAUGUUAAGAUUAAGGCUGUGUUUUUUUUUCAAGUUUUCAACUCAUUUCCUCUUUUUCGCACGUCCAUUGCUGAGUGCCAUCGAUGUUUAAAUCGGUCAAUCGCGGUAAAAAGUAUUAGUCACUCAGGCUCGGUAAUGCCGCUAGCUUCGUCACUGAGUCCAACCUCAACCUGUGCAGCUGGCCAUAUUAAGGGCAAGUACAACGGGUCGGCGAGACCUAUAGGUGUCCAAACGGGCGGCACGGCCCGGCCCGGCACGGGCACGGUUCCGGCACGGGCACGGUUCCGGCACGGCCCGUUAGGCACGGCUGAUGAAACGGGCCGUGCCGUGCCGGCCCACGUGCCGAGCCGCCGGCCCAAGCACGGCCCGUGGAUGGCCGGGCCGUGCCCGUGCCGGCACGGCACGCCCGCGGCCCACGGGCCGUUCGGGGCACGGCGGCCCGUGAAGGCAGGCCGCCAGCCCGCCAGCCUGCAGUGCACAGUGUUUUUUUUUAAAAAAAAAAGCAAAGGAAAUGUAUAAGGAAAAAAAAAUUAAAAAUGGAAAUAAAAUGUUUAAAAAAAAGUAAUGAUUUACUAAUGUUAAAAAAUGAAAAAAUGGUAUUUAAAAAAUGGAAAUAAAAGUUUUUUAAAAAAGUAAUGAUUUGCUAAUGUUAAAAAAAAGAAAAAAUGGUAUUUUUUUGUUGUGUUGAAAAAUUUAAAAAUAUAGAUUGUGAUUCAUUAUUUUGAAAUAAUUUAAAGAUAAAUCCACACUUGCGAAAAUAUUGCAAAAGAAUUUGUUAAAAAUAGUAAUGACCUUUAUUGAUGUUUAUAUCAUUACAGGAUACAAUGAUACAUGCUGCCUCGUUAAAAACUUUGUCAUGUAAAAACUCAUAGGGGAAAAUGAGAAAACCAUGACAAAGAAAAGAGUACAGCUCAAAGGUCAGAACUACUUCUAACAAAAUUCUACUGGGGUUGGUCUGGAUCCAGGUAGAGUUGCUCGAACUGGGCGGCCAAUUCUUGGUUGUCCGCAGUGUAUUGGGCAUGUUGUCGAGCAAGCUCCCAGUCUUUAACGCUUAGUAGCAUUUCGACGUGGUCGCUGCGCAGAGUCGUCCUCCGGUCUUCGAUGAUUCGGCCGCAUAGACUGAAGGCCGAUUCGGAGGACACCGUCGACACGGGCACCGUCAACACAUCCCGUGCUAGUUUUGAAAGCACAGGAUAUGUUAUCUUGUGGUCAUUCCACCACCCGAGGACGUUGAAAUCUUGUGCUUCGUGGUGGAUGGCGUCGCUGUCCAAAUAACCGGACAACUCUUCGGCCACAACAUGCGAAGAGGCGUCUCCACUUGUAGCCGACGAACUGCCACCACCUUGGAUUGAACUUGAAGACGAUCCACCCCAAAUCCUACCCCACUGUAUCUUCUUCUUACCUGUAGUGGGGAUAGGAGGGGGUCUCUGCUGGCGAACUUCCUGAAACUUUACUUCAUAUCUUCCAAAAACCUCAUAUAAUUUACGUCUAACCUCAGUAUAAAAAGAACUAUAAUCUACACCUAUAGUAUCUCCAACAAGUGAUAAAAUAGCAGACAAUCCCCUUAAUUUACACCUAGGAUCUAAAACAAAAGCAAGAGCAUACAACAUAGGUAUAUUUUUCCAAUAUUUCAAAUAUUUUUGUUUCAUGUGAAAGACAGGUUCAGUUAGAACGUCAUCAUUUUCGUAUUCUUUAAAUAAAGUAGCAAUUUCAAGAAGGUUGUGCAAAAUUAUAUUAGCAGUUGGAUAAUAAACUUGUGACAAAGUUAGAGUACAAUCAUAAAAAGUUUCUAGAAAUUGGUAAAAUUUUUGGACAAUUGCCCAAACAUGCUCGUUCAGUACUGAAGACCCGUCACUGUUUCUUGGGCCACCACGUGACUGAACAAAAUCAGAAAGUAAACUACUAUAAGGUAAAACAACUUUUAACAUUAAAUACGUUGCAUUCCACCGAUGCUCUGCAUCGGUGGCAAACUUACGAGCUUUCACACCGGCCGCAUUGCAAAACCUCUUCCAUGCAGCAAUCCGCGGGUUAGAAGCAGUUAACCACGCGAUUGCUUGACGAACAGCAUCGAUGUGGUCACCUACCCUCUUCAUGCCAGUCUUAACAAUCAAAUUAAUUAUAUGACAUGCACAACGCUGAUGGAGUAGAAAAGAUUGAGCAUACACACAAAAUAAAGGUUGCAAUAUUUCAAUAGCCCUAGAAUUAGCAGAUGCAUUAUCUAGGGUGACAGCAAAUAUUUUAUCAGCAAGAUUAAAUUCAUUAAUUACUUCCCUAAUUCUUUCAGCUAUGUUUUCUCCUGUAUGUGAGACAUCUAUUAACCUAAGCCCUAAAACUCUCUUUUGUAAUUGCCAAUCAUCAUCAACAAAAUGAACAACUACGCUAAGAUAAUCCUCUCUAGCUCUACUACUCCAUAUAUCUGAAGUAACACUAACAGAGAAAGUACAUGUACUAAACAGUUCCUUAAGUGCAGUUGCUUCCUUGUGAUAAACAUUCUCUAAAUCUCUAGUUGAUGUUUGCCUACUCACAGCUUUAAACCUAGGGUUAUGAGAUUGCUGAAUGUAAUGUUCAAAAGCAAGGGACUCCCCAAAGUUCAGGGGUAAAUCUUGCCUGGCGAUUAACCGGACAAGAGAUUCCCGAGCAACCAUGGGAUCGUACUCCCAACUGUGUACCGUACCGUCUGGGUUUACCAUAAGUUGCUGCUGCCGGAGUUGUAUUCCUUGCUUCUUGGCACACGACUCCGCAUGGCGCUUGAGGUGACCUGUACCACCAGAAGAACGAGCAGAUAAAAUUUGCCUACAUAUUCUACAACGGGCUUUCGAUACCUCCCUUCCGUCGGGGCAUGUUUCCUUUAUCUCGUCGAAGCUUUGCCACACACCGGAGGUUCUCGAUCUCUUCGAGCCGGUGUGUGUCGAAACACUUCCGCUCGCGGUUCCGGAAAAUCCUUCCGAAGCUGUCUCCGCCUGAACCGGUACCUCCUCAACGACAGCCGUAUGAACCGGUACCUCCUCCACAGAUGGUGGAGUUGGAGCCGAUCCGGAGGUACCGUCAAACCCCGACAUGUAGUUGGGGUCGAAAUCACCCAAGGUGAACGACGGCGACUGGUAUGGAAAGUUCGGAUCCAUUCUGAAAAUUUAAACCGACAUAAACAAAUUUUCGAAUAUUUAUUGAAUUCACAAACACAAUACAAAUAAUACACAAAUUUAAAUAUUACUUACAUCUUUCCAACUGCGAGCUCUUCAAACCUCUGCGAUCAAACUGUUGAACUACGAAACUAAUUUUGAUUUUUGACAAAAUUUGAGCAAAUUUUGUCAAAAUCAAAAAAAAUGCACACUUGAGAACAAAGAGAGCACUUAAAACACUUGAGAGCACAAGAUGAGGAGUGUGGGAUGAGGAGAAAUGGCUGGGGUUCAUGCCCUAUUUAUAGGGCGAAAUUUGAGAUUUUUUGGAAUUUUUUCGAAAUUUUUAUGAAUUUUUUAGCCUCCCAACGGUUAUUUUCAAAUUUGAACGGUCAAAUAGCCGUUAGUGCCACGUGGCGCCUUCCCAUUCGACCGCCGCCCGCCCUGUCCGCGCCUGACGGGCCGCCGGCGUGCCGUGCCGUUGCGUGCCGCGGGCCGUGCCGUGCCGGCCCGCUACAGUAGCCGUGCCGUGCCGUGCCGGCCCGCGGGCUCGGCCAGCGGCCCAAGCACGGCACGGCUACUCGUGCCGUGCCGGCACGGCCCGUUACUGUAGCAGGCCGUGCCGGGCCGUGCCUGCUACAGGUUCGGCCGUGCCCCGGGCCGCCCGUUUGGCCCGGCCCAUUUGGCCACCUCUAGCGAGACCCGUCGACAUGCACUGCUUUUUUGCAAAAAACACCCCCCACGGUGCUAGCUUCGACCCAUCCGUCGUCUCGUUCGUCGACGAUGCCAGCGCGUGCUCCCAGGCGACGCGACGGCGAUGAAGCCCGUUGUACGACGCGAUGCGGGGAGGCGACGGAAGUGCGGGAUCAGCUGCGUGGGAUCAGCUCUCUCGCGCGCGGAAUAUUUAAAUGUACUAUGCAUUGUCUUAUGUAUGCAACAAAAUAACUACAAAGAUCAAUUAUACACUAGAUCAUCAUGAUUUGUGUGUCAAAGGAUGAAUUAAACACUCUACGGACAGCCAAACCAACAACCCAUUAUAUAAGCCGUCUGUUUAAGCUGUCUAUCUGUGUAAAAAGACAGCAAGCUGUCUACACGGUUGUACUUGCCCUAAGGCUGUGUUUUUCUUUUCCAAGUUCUCAACUCAUUUACUCGUUUUUCGUACGUACUUUUUCCAAACUGCUAAACGCUGUGUUUUUUUUUAAAAAAAGAAUUUUUGCGGAAAGUGCUUUAAAAAAUCAUAUUAAUUUAUCCUUUUAAAAAAUAACUCUUAAUUAGUUAAGUGCUAAUAAGUCGUUCUAUUUUAUGUGUGAGAGAUUAUUUUCCAACCGCAUGGAUUGAGAACAUAGCCUAAAGGAAUGUAGCAGACUAGCAGCAGUGGAAGUAAGAUCAGGUACAAUAACAGGCUAUAAGCCAACUAUAAACAUAAUUUAAAGAUAUAAAGGAAGAGAAAUAAGAUCAGCGGGCUACAGAUCUGUAGCCAGCUGCAGCACGGACUCCAAAGCGUACUAUGUGUAUGACAGGUAGGACCAGGUAUUAAUAGGAUAGUAAGCAACUAUUAUAUGAAUUGGCUAUUAUAUUGGUUAUAGAUGAUUUGGAGUUAGUAGUUGGCUACGCUAUUAAACUUGCUCUAAGGCCAUCUGAAGAUUAAGGAAUGUAGCAGCAGCGGAAGUAAAGGCCGUGGAUGUUAGGAAUGUAGCAGGCUAGCAGCACAGCGUUCCGCAGGAAAAUCCACGGCGCUAAUUGGUGACGCGCCGAGGGAAUGGAAAUCACGGCGGACGGCGAUCGAAUCGAAUCGAAUCGACGCGACGCGGGCGUUUUUGUCGGGUCGCCAUCGACGGGAGGACAGGACACAGCCGCGGGCCCGCGCCGGCGAAGACGCUGCUGCAUCUGCAUCUGGACAGGCCGCAACCGGCCGCCCCCUCGCCCGCCGACGGCCAUCGGAAAAAGGAAAAUGCUGAAGCGAAUCAAGUAGGGCCGCCGCGCGGCGCGUCUAGUGCAGGAAAUCGGGACGACGACGUGCGUGCGAUGCGACCGCGAUACCUCGCUUGGUUGUUGUUUUCGGCCAUUCAAAAACCUUUUACAGAAGAUGGGAGAAGAUGCCAAGCAGCGACGCAUGCCAAACUAAACGUGGCCAUGAAUUGUACUAAUACUAUUUCUCAUGUAUUUGCUUGCAACAUCGUCCAACUAAACGUGCCCAUUGGUUAUAAUGCUUCUUCUAUUCGCUCGCAACAUCAUUGGAAUAAUAAUUCAUUCCAAUCAUGUCCAUGCGGAAAACCAGCAAACGUGUCCUUGCCAACUAAAUGUUCACGCUCUCCGCCGCAGCAGCAACAACAACAAAAACGUUCAACCAGAAGCAGGCUCAGCUUUGCUUCUCAGAUGAGAACAUCACCAUCUUGUGCCAAUGGUUCAGUGACCGCUUCCUACCAAUGCACAUCAUCACAUGAAUUCGAACAUAUCAGAAUUAAGAUACAAAAGUCUCCGGUAUCAACAUCCAUAACACUAUUUGAUGAUAACAUUGAAAUUGAAUCGCAAGCUCCUUCGUAACACUAAAUGAUGAGUUGCUCCUACAUAUCUUUCAUGAUCCGUGCUCACUAAAUUGUAAGUACAACUUUGCCAAUAAUUACGAAAACUCUUUCAAGGGAGCAUAUGAGUAAAGUUACCGAUGAUAAAAUAACUUUUUUUUGUCCCAGUAGUCAAUAGUACAAAAUCCUUUAUUCACCAGGAACAUCUCCACAUAGGCCAUCUAGCCCUCAAUACCGAAAUGAAAAUUUCCUGUCUGAUCCGACAUCUUUCAGAUUUUGCCUGAGAUUCAGAGGAACAAGCUUGCAGAAAUUUUAAUAAAAGAUUCUACUGUUUUAGAGACUACAACAGCUUGACUCCAGCUUCUCUAACAGAGUCAAUGACAGCCCUGACCUUCCCAUGGUACUUCUGCUCUCUCUUCAUGUGGAUGCACACAGCGGGUAUGCCCUUCUGCAGCAGCCGCUCGCCGAGCAGCUUACCGAUCUUGGCAGCGGCAGCGACAUCGCGAGUGGACUCCAUGUUCGGCCUCAGCAGCUUCUCCUGCGAGCUCGCGGAACAGGCGACCGUCGCCGUUGGGGUGUGAACCACCUGAGCGGAUACAUACUUGUUCGAGAAAUGCAUCCUCAGAAGGUAGGGCUUCAGAAAGCGCGUGAUCCUAGCCGCCCUUUCCGGUGGAGGGAUCACCAUAGUUGCUAGGAUCUCUCUCUGCAGCAAAAUAACAAGCGAGACAGGGGACAAUUUCAGUUGGCGAAAAAUGCAUACAGGUAUUCACAUUAAGACAACACAAGUGAAUAAUGGUUUACCACUGAUUUGUAAACAAUUUGAAUUGUAAGCUGAAAUUCAAAACCAGGAGACAAACAAACAGUACAUAUGAAAAGGAACAGUGUUUAGUCCGGCCAUGCUGAUCGACGAUAAACAGUUAAGUAUUCCAAAAAGGUUCUACUUCAAUCAGCACUGCAAUUGCAUAUUUGAAUGGCCAUAUAGCAUCAGCAGCAGCAGCAGCAACUUAUGCUUACUAAAGCUCACAAAAAAAUGCAUCAAUUCCACCAUGGCGUUAUUAUCCAAGAUUAUUACAACAAAUUCAGGCCUGAACCAGCGCAUCAAAAACAGAUUCGGGCAUGUCCACCAGACGCAGGUGAAAGCUCACCUCGAGACUCAGAGGCUAACUUAACGUGCGGGCAUGGCCAUGGCGGAUCAGCCAAACUAAUCCCCCACCCGAAAAGAACCUCCUUGGAAACAAACAGCUAAUAGUAGUAGUUGGGUUAGGCAAAGAUUUAGCUUUUCCAGAUAUAGAAGAGAAGCUAGGGAUGGCAACACGUUCCCGCCCCUGCGAAAUGCAACGGGGCAUAGUUUUCUCCCAUCGCCCCCCAUGGAUUCUCCAUCCCCGCUGUCAGGAACAACAAACUCAAUAGGUACAUUUCACAUCUCAAAUAAUAACAAUAUUCAGUCAAGAGAUAUUAUUGCCAUCCAAAAGAAAAAAAAAACAAAAACUGCUAGUAUUUUCAGCCGGAGCAUGACCAUCAGUCCAAAAUCAACAAUACUAAUAAUCAACAUGAAGUAAGUUCACAUCUCACAUCUAGAUGAGUAAGUUCACAUCUCACAUGCAAGCAAGCAGCGGGAUCAAAUCUAGACAGGCGUACACACACGGUAGGAGCGACCAGCCGACGACGGAGAGGGGGGCGAGCAUGCGAGGAGAAAGGGAGCGAGGCGAGGCGAUGCCUGACGACUGCCGCCCGCGCCGCCCUGCUCGCCGCGUCGGCCCCUCCCUCGGCCGCUCGGCGGGUUAACGCGAGGAGAAAAAGGGGUAUGGGAGGAGAGGCAUGAGGAGGAGUAUGUGCGUACGUGCGUGUGCCCACCGGCGGCUGGGUGUGGGGAGCAGGACGACGCCGGCGCCGCUUGCCCGCCGGGGUGGGUGGGGAUCGGCGCUGCUCGGCGGCGGCGGCGGCGGCGCGAGGAGACGGGAGGGGAGUCGGAGGCCGAAGGGAUACACGGGGGAGAUCGAGAUCGACUAAUGCUGGGCUGUUUGAGGUCCAGCGAUAUGGGCUUUUUCUAUGGCCGGCCUGGGCCUGGCUGAAAAACAAUGGUGAAGAAAGCCCUUCAUCUUUUGAUCUAUCUAUAUGAGGGAAUAAGUUUACAUAAAGUCCUCACUUACCUCUCCCGAUUGAAUAAACUGAGCCCCAUCGUUUGGCCUAAACAGUCAAAGAAUAAGGAGUAAAUUCCUUGUGUGCCCCUGAAAAGUUACCCAAUCCCUUACAUGCCCCUGAAACUUACUCGAUUCCUUCUAUACCCCUGAAUUUUCGAUUGGAUCCCCUACAUACCCCUACCGUUUGGGUUCCGUCAGAUGUUUGUGUUCAUGUGUGUGUUAGCUUGUCAGUAUUUUCAUAAAAUGCGAAAAUGCCCCUGUCAACCCUAGGUAACACAGGGCCACAUCCGAUCCCCAAAUCCUCCAAAAUAGUUCCCACACGCACGGUGCCGCACAUCGCCAGCUUUCAGCCAUCGUUGCACGCGCAUCGCCGCCCUUCUCCCACAUCCCGGCGGCGGCAGCGGCUCUGCAUCCCGCCGCGGUCUCGGCUCUGCUUGCGGUCGGCGGCGGCGGCUGGGUCCGCAUCCCAUCGGUGGCGUGGCGGGGUCCGUAUCUGGUGGGCGGCGGCGGCUUUGCAUCCUGCCGCGGCGACGAGUCCGCAUCCCGCCGCGGCCUCGACUCUGCUUGCGGUCAUGGCGACGCCGUCUCCUCCCUGCCUCCUCCGCGCCCUCCCUCUUGUCACCUCACCCUCUUCUCGGGGGCUCCGACGCCGGCCUAUUACCUCCUUGCUCCGCUGCUCCUCGCCGUCGGUAAGAUACACCCUUGCGUUGAUUAGCAAAAUGCGAAUAGCUGCUGCUGCUAGUGUUUCUUCAUUAAUUUGUUUGACUUUAUGCAGGCAGAUGCCUUGAACUGUUAUGGGCUUGUGCCAUUAUGCUCAUGAUGUAAAAAGUAAUAUAUUUGUGUACUGCUGAUGGUGUAUGAAUGCUUUUAGAUGUAUUUUCAUUUUCUUCCUAUUAAAUGGUGCUACCGAUGCUCUUGAUAUGCUGAUGAAUUGCAAUGGUGUUUGAGUAAACGGGUAGGGGUACUGUCUUUUACCCCCAGGCUGUAUCGGUUAGUGGUCAUGAAAGAUCCAAUGUCAUGUUAUAUUUUUUUAUAAAAUACUGAAUGCUAUAACAAAAGAAAAUGAAAUUAAUUUUAUGCACUAUUUUUUUAGUCUCACGGAAUACAUACUGUGCAGUCAUGAAUGUUUCAAACCCAGCUGCCAAACAUGUUCUUAGUUUUCAGCUCCUCCAACCUCAAGGGUAUUAUAGACAUUUUCAACCAAACUAACCAGGGAAUGCUGCUAAAUCUAACGGUAGGGGUAUGUAGGGGAUCCAAUCAAAAAUUCAAGGGUAUAGAAGGAAUCGAGUAAGUUUCAGGGGCAUGUAAGAGAUUGAAUAACUUUUCAGGGGCACUCAAGGAAUUUACUCAAGAAUAAGCCAAAAUUUGAAUUUUUGAACUUGAUUUUGAAGUGAUUUUGAAAUGCUUUUAACGUAAUUUUUGUUAAUGUUGGCUUUUAAGUCGCUACGAACAAAUCUAUAAAAGUUUUACUUAUAAAUUAAUUUUAAUUUUCUAAUAAGCCAAAUAAGCCAUUUUGGCCAAAUGGGCAACCGAUGGGAGCCUGAGUAUAACAUAUUUUCCCUUUUUUUGAAAAGAGGAGCAAAUUGACUGGUUUCGAAAGCUGUUUAUGAUGACGUGCCAAGUUUAACAUGGUUGAUUUGUUGAGUCAACAGGUUGGACCCACGUAUGAGUCACCUCUCUUCCCGUCUUUCCAUCCCUCCCGGUGAUAUCCAGGAUGGCCACCGGGGGAAGAGGAGCAGGCAUGGAAGCAUCAGCCACAGUUUCAAUGGCCACCACCAUAGCCUGAUGCUACAACUCGCCCGACUAUUCGCCAUCACUGCGCGUCCUCUGCACCACAUAAAACUAGGGGUGCUAGUGGGCAAGGUUACCCACUUAUUUGUACUAUAGGUGGUUUCGUGUACCUGCCCGUUUUUACCCCUACAUACAAUAUAAACACGCUGGACCCGGCGGCGCACCCCGGAGUUGGUGUUCGUCGCCUUGCCGUCCUACACCAUCGAAGUGUCCGGGUGCGCCCCCGACGCGCUCGCGGAGUCGGAGCCAGCAGCGUUGGUCGGCGGCAUGCAUGGUCAUCCUCAGUGCGCACAAGGCUGAGCUUUGCCUCGGCCUGGGGUUGGAAAUUUCGGACCGAAAUUUCCGAAAUUUCGGAAAUUCCGGUCAUUUCGGUCACCUCCGAUACGAUAUUAUUUUGGCCGAAAAUUUUCAUUUUUUUCAUGAAUUUGGAUAAUAUUUGUUCAAAUUCAACUAAAGUUUACUCAAAAUUUCGGAUAUUUCAGACCGAAAUUUUAGAAUUUCGGUGACCCCCUAUACAAACGCCUCUACCGAUAGAGUAAACCCUGGCUGCACGUACGAUAUGGCUCAGCGAUACAGAUGCCACCACUGUCCACUGUGAGUAUCAGGCGUACAUGUUCAACCCAGCCAAUUAAGUACGCUCCACUUCAUCAACGAGUAAAAUGGCCAACAAAAGUGUACUGGCUCUCUCAGUAGAAACCUAAACAAACUCCUCUGGCACAGUGGUCAACACGUUCGAUGCUCGCUAGCAGCAGCAACAGCCGCCGUCUGGCCCUUUCUCCGUCGCCCAUCGGUAAGAGCGAUGGAUGGAAAAAAAAAAGAAAAGAAAGGAAAAUAGAGAGGAAGGGGAGGGAAGUGGAUCCUACAGAUUUUUUUUUUUCGUUGAGAGGCUUACACGCGAGUCUUUGAUGUGUGGGUCCAGCUUGCUGAUUUAACGAAUCAAUUGUGAUUAACUUACCACGUCAGUAGAAACCGCUUUAAAAAUAACUGAAGGAGUUUAAUUUGCACUGGUUUUUAAAAAUGGGCGAGAAGUUAUACCCAGUUUUAUGGUUGAGAGAGGCGAUUCGAUCGGGAGCAGUAGCUAAGGGAAGCAAAAUUGACUUAUUUCAUCUAUGUGAAGCCAUAGAAAAAAUGAACAAAGUAACUAAAAAUAAUUUAAUUUAGAGCACAUUUCAUAGCAUACACAAAGUAACUAAAAAUAAUUUAAUUUCAUAGCAUACACAUUUCAUAGCAUAUAACCAACCCCAGAUAUUAUGUUUUUAAAGUUUUACAAAAUCUCACCCUUGAGUAUGAAUUUACUUAAAAUUUUAAAACAUAAAGCGUAUAUAGUUUCACUCUGCACUACUUUUAAAAAGUAUUGUUUCAAAUAUGCUGAAAUUAAUUGAGAUUUGAAUAAAGAUAGUUUUAUGUAUAAUAAAGUUAUAUAAUGAAGUCUGAUCGUAAUCAUUAGACUAAGUUGUGGGGCCCUGUCCGCACCUUCAGUAUCAUCAGACUGUCCUUCAAUUUUGUUUUAAUCCCUGGCUGACAUAUUAUCAGACGAAACUUUUCUCAUUAGAAUAUGACCAUGAGGUCAAUAAACCAAAUCCAUGAGGUCAAAGAAACAUAUCCACAUCAGUGCCACGUUUGAUGAUACAGUUGAGGAUGAAAAAAAGUUAAGUUACUGAUGUUACGGAAUGAUAAGGGAUUGCACAUUAACAUAACAAGCUUUCAGUUCAGGAAAUUUGGCAUCAAUUUAAGUUCGGAACCAACAUUUAAAACAGCAUCCCUUCAGUUAAAGUUCCCUAGUGAAUUCUAAUUCAGAUAGCACUCAAGUAAGCCUUACACUUCUGUAAAAGCUGAACUGACCAAAAAAUUACAGUUCGCAAAAUGGCUUGACCAAAGCUAUUCACAUGUGGAAAUAACCUAUAAUGGUCUAACUAGUUGCUGUAUAAAACUUUGCGCAGUUCUGAUGCGUAAUCACCAAACUGAAUGCCAGUAGGAGGAUGCAUGCUAAAGAUGUAAGCAACUGGUGCUGAUACUUGCAUCCCUCUCGGGUAAUUAGGGGUAUCCGAGAACCAUCCAAGAGUUGCUUCAUCAAACAUAAAUGAUUCACCCAGAAAUAAGAAGCACUCUCUUGCCAAUCUUUCGACCUAGAGAAACAAGCAGAAAAAGGAUUACAUCUGGAAAUUUACAGUUAAUUCACACUUGAAACCUACAGCAGCAAUUUGGACGCUUUCAUUCUCAAAUAUUAAACAGGGAUAUAUAUACCAGCCAAAAGAAGCAGUCUAACUUGAAACAUGUAUUACACAUUAAAUAGGAAGUUGUUUUUAGCUGAAUAGUGUGAGUGAAGGGAAUUUGAAUUUGUAAUAGAACUUGAGAAUUUACCUGUAACUGAACAAAUUUUGCGUUAUUCAUGAUCACGAUGACCUGCAAAUCUGACAUCUUUUCUGACAAGGUCUUGAUGGCAAUAUGCUGGAAAAACUUCUGCAAGACAACUUGCUCGCUAAUUGAUUCGUUGGAAUCAAUAUCAGCAAACCAAAAUACUCGACUCAAUUUUGUCCAUGGAACUGAUAGUUUAUGUUCACCUCCAAUGAAUAGAUAAGAGGGAUCAGCCAAAUUCUGUAGAAUCUUGAGGCCCUUAGUCACUGAAUCAGACUCGAAUGAAUGAGGACCAGGUGUACAGGCAAUAAUCUUAGUGGGGUCAUAAUAGUUACAAAGUUUACAAGCGAACUGUAAACUUUUAUCAUUCAUGACAAGAAUAUGCCCAUCACCAGCAGCAGGCAGCAACCUUUUACAACAUACUGAAGUAGCUCUGUUUUCCUGAGAGCAGAUUCCAGAUGUGAUAGAUGAAGAAACCAAAGAGCCAGAGUCAUGUGAAAAUGAACACGAGUUACCAUUUCGACAACCCUGAUCAAAAUAAACAACAUGUCAGAAAUAGAAAAGAGGAUAAAAAAUACCACACAAGCGCUUUAGGGUUCGAAAGUUAUAGCAACUCUUUUUGUUUCUAAAAGUCGACAUUUGUACCUGUAAUGUGAGGAAGAACUUGCAUAUUGGUCUUGGAGCACGAGAAGAAUGAGAAAAAUGGCAUGUAUCACCUCGAUUACAAGAUCCAUUAAGAAAGAACACACACAUCUCAUUUUCCAACGCUGGUUGAACAUAACCAUGAACUAGUUCUCUAUAAGUUACCCUGUCUGCCGCAGAUUGUGUCUUCAUCUGUGAAGAAAACAGGAACCAUUAUUGAUGGUUGCAUAUAUAAUGUAUUUCAUAUAUAUAAGAAUAAUCAUAUGCAUAAAACUUAUACCGCACCUCCUUGAUAAGUGUCUUCAGUGUUUUAACAACAGUAGUGGUUCCAAAAUCAGCUGGAGAAACAUAAGGGGUUGCAGCACACCUGCGAUGUGAAUCCAAGUGAGAAUUCUCAGCUUCUAAUGGAAGUGAAUUCACAUUCUCUAGUUCCAGCACUUCAUGGCGAAGACACAUGUGGUGGAAUUCGGAAGGCUGAAGGUACAUUGGAGGAUUUAUUUUCACAAGAAAACUAGGUCUAAAUCGGUGAAGUGUGCCCAUAAUAUCAUCAUCUGUUCAAAAGGAAGGGUUAGCAACACAUAUAUCAUAUUGGAAACACAAUAGGACACAUGCCUCAUACUAGGUAUGUUUCUUUACACAAAGCACAUUUAUACAUAACUGCAAGGUGCACCCUUUCUACUAUGUCUUGUACAUUUUCAAAAUCAUAUUGGAAAACCUUACAUGGAAAGUAAGAAAGGUAAUCAGCAUAUAUUUAAAAAAUGUGAACAUAUGUGCAACCAAAAUAUACAGCAGAUGAAGAGUGAGAUUACCUACUGCUACAAGAGUGCAAUUCACUUCAUAAAAUUUUUAUAAUGAGGUACAGGUAAAGGACGUACAAAUUUCAGAGAUGUAGUUAAGUGCUGUUGGCACAAGGUUAUGAAAUGCACACCACUCAUCUUCAGGUUUAGCAACAAAACCAUUAGAUGCCUUCGGUUCAUGAGUGUUCACCACAUUUAUCAGACAAUCCAGACGAUACUUGUCCUGCAACAUAUGAAGACAUCACUUUACUAAUGUAAUAAACAUUUCCAAAAGCAGAUAAACAAAAAUAAUUGCCCUGAGUCUUAUAUAAUAAUGUUUUCUGGAAAAGAGUCCCGCACCAAUUAAUAGAUAUUUACUGGAAAAGGAACUAAUAGAGAACUGUUUUAACUACUAAAAGAAGGAAUAUGAUGUUAAUACAUGGCAAUUGACAUGCGCCUGAAACAUAAAUGUUGAAUCAAUUAUUAACUGCAUAAGGCCUGUAAAUAUGCACAAGGAACAUGAUUAUUACAGAUAUGAUAUACCUUAAACAUACGCUGCCAGAAUUGAAAUGCACAAAGAUUUCCAACAAGUGCAGCUUCCUUCUUGCCAGUUUGCAGGUCGAUACCCUCCUCCUCAAAGUAAUUGUUUCUAUACAUUUUGCACUGUAAAACAAAACGUACAACAUAUAACUACUACAACAUGAUGAUGCAAGCAUUAGUCAUGAUGCAACAAAAACACAUACCAAUUGUUGGUGACCAAAAGGUUGGACGAUAGGCAGGGGUUGGAUGUCCAGCAUGAUGCUUAUCAGAAUUCCUUCACAGAUGGAGCCAGUAUCACCAAAUUUAAGGGCUAGAACAGAAGCGUCAAAUGAGAGUGGCAAACUAUUAAGCAAACAUCCAUAAAAGGUUGGCUCAUGGCGCCCUCUAGGAGAGGUUGGCUUAUCUAAAGCACGAAUUUGAACAAGAGAUUCCAAUGCAUCUUCAACAACAUCCGAAUCUGGCGGGUCAAGAACUUUUUGCAGCAGGACUGUCAGAAAUAAAUGCCUGAUAGUGAGAAUUUUAACUUAAUAUGAACAAAAAGGACCAAUUAUUAAUAAUUGCGAUAAAUAAUGCUCCCUCCAACCCAUAAGUUUCAUUUAAUAAAGAUGUAUAUUAUAAAAAUUCAAAUAGUCACUAAUUUACACUGAAGUAUUUUGAAUUAGUCACAUGGCCAUUGUGAUAGUAAAUUUAUCAAAAAUAUUAAAAGAUGCUUGCAUGGUAUUAUAUUUUUCUAUACUUUCAUAAAUAUAAUGCAAUUGAAUCGUAACAAAAUUGGCUUGAUUUUUAAGUGAAGUGAUCAAAUUUGUGUAUGGAAGGCCAUUGAAAGUUAAAAAGGAACAAUUAAGUACACCAAAUAUAAACAAUACAAUGUAAAGUUUUAAUAUGAUGAGAAAGUAAUAUGGAAUCCUGAAAAUUAAAUAAAAGGGAAAAUGUACAAAUACAGAAAGAAUAGUAAUUUCUAAUUACUAUAAAUUAACCUUGACAUGUUAUGCCAAAACACCAGAAACUACUUGCACUCAGUUUUUUAGAAUAAAAUAGUGCAACAGUGGCUAAGAUACUUAUGUACGGUUCACCAGAUUUGUGUUUGUAGAACAAAUAUACUAUCAUUUACAUGUGUCCAGAGUCCAGACUAAAUGCAAGAUAACCAAGUUUAGAUGCAAACCCUUAACUUCCUAGAACUGGCUGCAUAGACACUAGAACUAUUUUCACUGGAAAGUAUCGAAUGCAUGAUACAAACAAUUAUCAUUGAAAGAAAAAUAGUUAACCAACUGUACAGUGCUUAAUUAUACUACAGGACAUGAUUUUAUCAUAACUUAGUAUCCUGCAUUUACAAAAAGAUGCUGUUCUAAAAUGCAUGCAGGCAAACCUUCAUCUUAAAUCACUAAUAUAUGCAAAACAAAUAUAUAUUAAAUAUGUACAUGAUAUUAGUAGAUUUUUCAUGAAAAAUACUUCAUUUAGCUAUAGUAUCGAUAUUUUUUAUAAACACUCAAUUAGAAAAAAAAAGUAUUAAACUAAUGAUAAAAACAUGUGCUAAGACUAUCGAUAUCCUAGAUGACAAGUAAAAAAGAGUGGACAGAACCUUAGUAAAUAAAAGAAGGAAAAUCAAUUGUAGCUUCUCAAGAAUAUAAAUAAUGCUAAUGGUGCUCCAUCACAAAACAUUAAAAAACAUGGAGCAUAAAUUUAUGCAAAUGUAACAAAGGCUGAACUUGUCAGAAAAAAGACACGAAUGAAAUAUAUGCAUGAAAAGAAUUACCAUGAGGAUCGUUCAUAGCUCUGGACUCUGCACAACAAAUCAUGAGUACUUGCUCUCUUAAGGACAAUCUUAAAAUGGCAGGAUACUCAUGAUCAGUUAAACUGUUAUAAAAUGGCCCAGUUACCAAGCGAUAAAUUUGACCAUCACAGGUUCGCCCUGUCCUGCCUUUCCGCUGUUCAGCCUAGAAAUAAUUACAAAAAAAUUGUAACGUACAAUCUUUAGGGUCAAACUUUAGUUGCAAACGAAAAACAUCAGUAUAUUUGUGAGAUAUACCUGAGAUUUGGAAACCCAUACAAGCUCAGCUGAGUCUGUUUUCCUGAUUGGAUCCCAAUAAACUUGCAGUGAUCUACAGGAGUCAAUAACAUAAGCAACUCCUGGAAUAGUGACUGAUGAUUCUGCAAUGUUUGUUGCCAGUAUAACCUGCAACAAAGAUACAAACAAGAAGAUUAUAGUUCAAUCGCAUUUGAGUGAGUUCAAUCGAAACCAAUUAGACAGAGGAGAAUAUUCAAUCAUGUAAAUUUUGAACAUUACAGGCCAAAUCAAUGUUACAUUAUUUUUAAGUGCAAAUUAUAUGAUUAUCAGGGUCACUUGGUACUCCUGGUCUCUGGAUCUGUUGCUGUGGGAGGAUGCAGUGGACAGAGCCCCUGUAGCCGGGGACUGAAUCCUGUGUUCUAAAGCUAGUGCUAGUGGAAAACAAUGUUGGAAAGGAAAAUAAAUCAGAACUUGCUUUUUGCAGAUGAUGGCAAAGUGGCAAACCUCAUUAAUAUAUUCAGAACACAACUUUAAAGGUAAUUAAAAACAUGCAAUGGGUUUUAAAUAAAUUUGCAAUUUAUGCUGAAGAGUAUUGCAGGCUUGCAGCUAUGUACCUGCAAGUAGAAAACAAGGAUAGUGAUAACAGGACAGCAAUAAUUCUAUGCACUGUCUAUAUAAUGUCUAUCAUUGUGUCUGUUCAUAGGAGAAAAUCUUAACAGUUCAGAAACAUUUAACUAAAACACAAAGCUGAAUUUCAAUGCAGAAAAUUGUACCUUACGACAGGACUUUGAGACCUUCAUAGUUUGAAGAGCUUCAUCGGUGUCAAUGCUGCGAUGGAGAAUGUGUACUUUGAACAUUGAACUAGCAGAUAGCAGACGAAUCCAUUGCUGCUCCAAAGCAUAGUAUGUAGGAAGGAACACCAAAAUACUCUUCCCAAUGUCUGGCUCAUUUUGGUGUAUAUGCAACAAUAACCUAUGAAUAAGUUCAUACACAUCUGGUUUUAGACCAGCAUCAGCUGCAGUGUUGGGUCCAGAGCAGUAUUUUGUUGAUAGUGAUUCCGAGUCCAUCUUGAGAAUAUCAACAAUCUGUCCAGCAUUUCAUAGCAUUACGUACUAAACAUGUGAGCGAUAAGCUAUACAGUAGAUUACAUUAAAAUAGAAAACAACUAGCAGCGACAGGUAAAGGAACAUACUUCUAAUGAUGACGAUAAUAGUAAAACUCAUGUUGUUUCGGCCUUGCAAACCGUGCGAGAAGCUGUCAUUUCGAGUCUACAUCGCCUGAUCUCCACUUCCUUUGUCCGUUUUAGUAUCCAGUUAGUGAACGUAAGUUCCCGUGCAUUUUGUUUAAGAAAAGUAGAGUUGUUUAAAGGCCCUUAUUUAGCAAGCUUAGCAUAGCCCCUUUAUGUCUGUACCUUCAACUCGAAAACCAAAGGAGUGCCUUCGAGAGAGAGCUCUAACACCACUCGGCAUUUUUAGAGACAUGCUCUUUUUUGAAGAAAGUACUUUUUUGAAAGAAAGGAAUAAAAUAAAUAUACUCGAUUUCAGAAAUAUCAAUAAGUUGGCCUAAACUAGGAACAGACAGUAGUACUGUUAAAAGUUCAAAAUCAUAAUUUUAAGUUGCUGUAUUUAAGAAAUACAGCUUAAAAAGUAGAUUAUUAUGAUAGGUCAAUGAUAGAAUAGUAAAAUCCAUGCUACAAAACCGAGCCUGUAGAAAAUACAGGAAUAAACUGCUGUAUGUGUGGUAAAUUGUUAAUUACAUACCAUGGAGGAAAAAUAAGGUACAAUAUGCAACUUAAACUAGAAAUUAAUUUGUUUUCUUAUUGAAGUUUAAUGGUAAUUGAGAACAAUAAACAUGGAUAGCUGACUUUCUAAAGUCAGAUGUAACAUUUACCUGCUCAAGGUAUAGGACUUUUCUCUGAAAAAUGCUACUGCGUGGACUGCUAGGAAUGGCAAUCACCUCAACCCUUUCACCCCUUCCAAGAUCUCUGAAGUAAUCCUUAUAUCUUGUGAUAUCAGCAGUCGCAGACAUCAAAAUCAACCUAUGUCAAGAGAGGAAUGACACACGUCUUAUCAAUCAGCAGGAAGAAAGUAAGGCAGUCAGUUUUUAAGGUGGAUUGGAAUCAUCACUACUAAAAGAUGGUUUAAUGGAAAGCAUUAAAGCAGGUCACUGCAGCAAUUACCUCAAGUCAUUCUUUUUCAUCAUAAACUGCUUGACACAGGCGAGGACAAGGUCAGAUUCCACUGACCUUUCAUGUAUUUCAUCGAGAAUAAUAACCUUAUAGUUCAAUGCAGCAAUGCCCUUGUCACGCAUUUGCUCCAAUACAACACCAGCUGUUUUGAAAACAAUUCUUGACCUGAUUCGUGCGUCGAACAGGUUUGAAAGUUAGAAGUCAAUCGACAAGUGGGUAAGGACAUAUGAUACAAGUAUGCAACUGAGGUGGAUAAGAUACUAGAGAGAAUGUGUAGCACUGUUUUAUAUGAUAUAUCCAGAUUUCAAUCGCACUAGCAAUGUGGAUAUAAAUGGGCCUGCAUGUUAUGUCGUUCUAUGACAUGGACUGGCCAGCCAGGAUAAAGCAAAUUUGCUUGAAUGCCCUUCUCUAUAUACUAAAAUUCUCACAAAAAAAAAGUUAUAUACUACAAGAACUUAAUCUUUCAAUAUGCUCAAUAUCCUUUGCUACAAAAGGUAUCAUGCAUAAUAAUUUUAAUUGAGAUCAGCAGAAUUUGUAGAAGAAAUCCAACUGCCUAAUAUCAGCAAAUACGGUGCCAAUGAGGUCAAUGUCUUGUCACUGUAGUUCAAUUACAAUUAGUGAUAUCAUUUUCACUGUGCUUGUAUAGAUACAAAUUACAAUUAGUGGUAGUAUUUUCACUGCGGUUGUAUAGAUACAAAUUAAAUGUGUCUCAGCUCGUUCAUUGCUUGUGUCCUUAUUAAGGUUAUUAUGAAAGCUCACUAAUCAUGGAUCACAGAGGAAUCACCUUUUUGAAUUGAGAUUGGACACAUUCGAGUGUCCUAUGUGAUAUCCGACCUCUUCUCCUACCUGACAAUUGCGAGAUUCGGCAAUCAUUUGAGCAAUGGCUACUACUGCAAACCUCCUUGGCUGCGUGCAUAGAAUGGGUUCCAUGUUUUCUUCCAGGAGGAACUGUGGAACCAUAGAACUCUUUCCUGCAAUGAAACAACAUAUCGAUCCGUUAGUAGGUCCAAAUUAGGCAGAAAUUUACAUCCCAGAUAAUGAUUUAAAAAACAUGGCAAUGUUACCCAUCAUUGGUUCAACAAGCUGAACGUGCAACAGAAAAAAAACAGAGAAUAAAUGCAAUGUGACCUAAAUUUGUAGAAAAAAAUGCAAAAAAAAAGGGGCUAGUUGUGGCACUGAGUUCGUAACAAUGCAACACUCAGAUCAGAAACCUCUGGGAUGCAAAUCUAGUUAUAGUAAAGUUAGACUCCCUAAAGCAGGAUUUUUAGAAGAUAAAUCCACACUAUUGUCAGAAGAAGAAACAUAAACAAAGUGAAAGGAAACAUCUCUCGUAGAUCAUUCAUUAUCUUAUCAAAUUUGAAGAACAUCACUUUUACCAAAACCCUUGCAAUAAAGAUGCAAAAACACUAUCCAAGGUUGAAAACUCGCUAAAACCUCCAGCACUCAAGCCUGAAACCCACUAAAAAAACCCCUCCUUUUUCAGUAUCCCGCAUUUCCGCGGCACGGCAGAAAUUCCAAUCCAAAACUGAAACCACCCCCCCCCCCCAAUACCAUGCCAUCCUACCAUAGGCCGGAAAACCCAACGAGGUAGGAGAAAAACAUAGAUGAACGAACCAAGCACCAACUUUUCACAGAUGAAAAAAAAAUCCGUCAAAAAAUGCGCACCCAUAACCAAACGCGAAAACCUCCCCCCAAACCCCCACCGACCAUGGGAGCCAAUCGCACAUUCGGCGCGAGCGGAUGGAGUCGAAACUAGAACACACACACACAGGGGGAGGGAGAGAGCAAUCAGUGCGGUUACCGCAUCCGGUGUCCCCCACGAUGAGAGUGACGCGGUUCCCCUUCACCUUCUCCACGAUCUUCCCCCGGAGCGCCUCCACGGCGAGCGGCGCCCGCGCCUCCCCCACCCCCACCCGCUUCUCCUCCGCCUCCGCCAUGCUCCGGUCUCCGCCCCCACCGACGGCGGCAGAUGCGGAUGCGGAUGCCUUCUCCUGCAAGCUUUUGCCCUCCUCCUCCUCCUCCUCGCCUCGCGCCCUCUUCCGUUGCUUGCCUUUUUUGAAGGGGAGGUGAGGUGGCUGCUACUACUGGGGCGUAGACCCGGUGCAUGGACCCGGGCCCACUGGAGUGUGAAUGGGUGGUGGGGCCCAGUGGGAGGGUGCACCAACACCGGGUCCACGGAUCCACGCGCUCCCCACCGGGGGGUCCUCCUUUCUCGCGUUCGCAGCUGGCGACAAAACCGUCUUGCCAAUGGGGGGAGAGCCCAGCGCCAGCCGGUCAACCACGAGUGACUCGGUUGACGGUCUCGUGAGAGGCUGACAGGUGGGGCCAGAUGGUCAAGUCGAGUUGACUGGAGGGCCCACCUGUGUACAGUGUAUACGUAGUAGGUGCAUUGGUUGAUCCACGCUUCCACCUAUGCAGACGCAUAAUCCUCAUGUAAUCUGUUACUCCUAAAUAAAAGAAUAUACGGAGUAUUCAUCUCUUUCGUUAAUGGUGGUUAUUAGUAUCUCUUUUUUUUUCCUUCUCGACGCAAUUUUUUCGAAGCUGUUUGAUUCGUGAAGAAAAUGGAGAGAAAUUACCGGAACGUCUGCUUAGGCUGAGUUUUAGGGGAGAAUAUUGAGAGAAAAAGUGCCUCGUUGCUAAGCGUUGCAUUUUUUUAAAAAAAAAUCUAUACAAAAGUUACUUAAAAAUAUAUUAAUCUAUUUUUUAAAAAAUAAAAUAAUUCUUACAAUCUAUUUUUAAAAAAAUUAAAAUAAUUCUUACUUAUAAUUAGUUAUAUGUAAAUGCAUUCGGGCUGGCCGUUCCGUUUAUCAGGGCAGCAGUUGCGAGAGUGGUCUACAGCAAGCAAGGUGUGACCAUCACACGACAUAAUUUGUGCGGAUCGAAUUAAAAUGACGCGCUGCUGUGAAACCAAUUAUAUGAAAAACGUCUGCGCAAACACACCACCAUUUUAUGGUAAAAUGGUGCGACUGUCUGAGACUUAAUUCCUCCCUCCAAAAAAAAAACAAAUCUAAAACAUGUUAGACAUUCUAGUACAACUAAUCUGGAUAGAGGUAAUGUCUAGAUUAGUAGUCCUAGAUUGUGUAGGUUGGUUUUGUAUGGUACUGAAGGAGUAUCACUCAAUAGUGAGAACAUUGAAGCAGAGAGAAUAUUGAAGCAGAGAGAAUAUUGAAGCAGAGAGAAUGCUCGUGGUCGGCAUAUGCGCCUAGGUAAAAGAGCACUCCAAGCAGCACAAUAUAGAUAUACUAUUGCUGAACAAUCAAGAACAUUACCUGGCUCUCUGCGAUGAACAGGUCAAAGUAAUAACCACAAUAAUAUUCAAUAUAGUCGAGGGUCCAGACAUCAAACAAAUUGUUUCGAGACAGGCCAACCGCUGCCUCUUCACUGGUAACUACUGAACCCAUGAAACAUUUUUCGGUCAUACCACAAAAUGAUAAAGCAAAGCAAUGCUUACUCCACCAGUCCAUUCUUCACCCUCCUAAAGCAAUCUAUGUGACACAAAGCCUUAAAAAAGCGGCAUUCCCACAAGUGACCUUCCCUCUCACCCACGUCCGCGGCCCCCACCUGCCAUAGAGUACAAGCAGAUUGGUUAUCCCCUCAAAACAAAAUACAAACUACUUUGGCGGUAUAGUAGAGUCUAAAUUCAAGCAAGAAGCAUACCUUUGAUGCCACCUUUACCUCCAAUUCCUCCCCUUCCACGGCCACCACCGCCUUUGCUGCCACCAUCAUCCUGGCCACGCCCAAUGCCUCUGCCUCCAGGCUUAGUACCUAUAUCACCUCUUCCUCUUCCGCGGCCUACACCUGGUGGCCUCCUAUCUGCAUUUAGAAGAGCAUAGGCAAUUCAGCGUUGAACUUAACUUCAAAAGAUGUUCAAAAAGGUGAAAUUCUCUAGUAAUCAGAAAAUCAGAAUAACCAUAAUACACCAAAUAUAAGAAAAGAGGAACACGAGGGUUUCAUGAAUGACAUCAACAACACUAUAGAUGUAGGAUACUGCCUGUAUCAAUGUGCAUUUACAGAUUGAUUUGAUACUAUUUACACUGUAAAGCGUAAACAUGCAAUUCAUCGCUAAUUUUUGAAGUAUAAGUUACGUUAUGUUUGUUGAAAAUUAAGAACCAGCCCAAGAAAAGAACUGCAGUCGCAUUACUACUUGCACGCAUAAACGCAUUUGCACUGCCACAUACAUUCAACUGAUAGCACUGCCGCAUAUAAUGUACUUCUUACUAAUAAAAAUUAUGGGUUAUGACAAAAUACAUCUCUUGGAAACUGAAUAAGGUCAAUUUUUUCUCCAAUAAUGAACUGGAAUAAGGUUCAAGCAAAGGCAACUAAUAGCACAAAAUUAUGAUUUAAAUAUUUCAUCAAGUUCACAGAAAAUAUUAAAACAUCUAAAUAAUUACAGAGACAAAUGUGAUUUAUAACAGCUGGAACCAUUGGGUACAUACCUGAUCUGCUCUUUGAAGUCUCUUCCUGGACCUUGUCAAUCACCUGUCAUAGAAAUAAAUUCAUGCAUUUAGGAUUGGAAAGCACAGGUAACAAUGACAACGCUGGUGUAUCAUCAUCAUCAUCAUGAAGGUAAAACAGAAGUACAUAACAUAUGCUGGAAUGUCAUGAAAAGACAAAAAUAAUCAAUCGAAAUCAAUCAAUCACAACCUUUCCCCAUUUGAUUCCACCAACUUUCUUAAUACCCGUGCCCAACCCUAAAACUCAUACUUUGGGAUGGAGGUAGUAUCAAGAACAUCCAAUUAGCUAUUUGACCUCUAAAAAUAAAAAUAAAGAGUAAUACAACAAAAUGAACACAAGAGAUAUCUAACAAGAGAUGAACUGAUGGCCCUGUUCUAUUUCAGGAAUUAGUUGGUGAAUGAACCAUACGAUCCUAACUCUGAACUUAACUAUUUGGUUGGGAAUGUUAAUGGGUUGGUCCACUCCAUCUCAUCCCUCAAAAGUAUCAAGUUUUGUAGAAAAAUAAGGAAACCAACUAAAUUGUGGGAUGGUCCCACAAUUGACCAACUCAUCGUAGGAUUGUUUGAUUACUCAAACCAGCACAUGAGGAAAAUGCAAUCUAAAUCUCAGUGGUACAAUAGUCCUAUUUAUGUCUGUUUCUUAAUCUUAAUCUCAGUGGUAAAAUAUGCAGCUUAAGAUUAAGAAUAAGGAUAAAAGGCUGUCUAACUCCAGAAGAUCGGGUAAAAAGUAUUCUACCUCUACCAUAUCAAUUUUCGAUUGUACUUCCAGAAUAGGGAUUGAAAGGCUGGUUAAAUUCAGAAUUGAUAACAAGUGUGGGCAUAUCCUGGCUCAAUACAUUCCCAUUUGUGCUUUGCUUAUAGAUUUAUGGGUUAAAAGUACUAAUAACAUUUAUAUCCAUAUGAUGUAAAGUCAGCUACAUCUAUAUGAUGUGACCUAGGAGACAUAUAUACUUAGGCCUACUAUCCAGGUCACGGUUAUGUGAUAUUUACUUCUCCAUUAUCUGAAGUUCUGAACUAUUUUCAAUGUUCCUUGGCUGUGGGAAAGUAGCUUUGCGUACAGCAGAGUUGGAACAUAAGUUUUGUCACUAUUCAUAGCAGGAGAAUUGUUUGGUGUCAUAUAUCAGUGAUUUGAAAUCAAGAAAAUUUAUCAGCCCCUCGUGGAUAGUUAACAGAUAAAAUGCAGAGUGAUUUGCACGUAAUCAUAUUAAAAUGCUCUGCUUAGCUUAAGAGAGGUCCUCAUCUGCUCAAAUCACUUAAAAACACCAUAAGGCAGAUAUCUUAAAUGGCAUCAAAUAACUUACAUAUAUCUAACGUGAGAGAUUACUCAGACAAAACAAGAGACACACUGGCACCCAUAAAGAUCUAAAAGGGAAAACAAAACUUGAAACUGAAAGCUGACCACAAAAAAAUUGCACACGACAUAGUGAUUUUGCUAGCAAUUAUGGUGAUGAAUGCUAACAGGGAAAAAAAAAGGCUGAUUAUGCAGAUGGAGAACAUACAUGUCUAAACAUACAACCAGCAAACCACAAGCACAUAGUAAACAAGGUUUAACAUGUUAAAAAUCCAUACCUCAUCAGGAACCCGAAGAUACUUGAUGGUGUUCCCACGGAUGUAACAUUCUGGCAUCCUCCAAAACUUAUCACCAUCCUGCAAUGACAACCAUAAACAAUGAGGAAACAGCAUUCAUCACAAACUAAACGAUCAAACCAAUUGGAACCAAAUGACCCAAAAGAGAACACACAAUUCGAACUAUAAGUUCCUACUAUCUGUCUAUCUCCACGUCAAAUUCCAAAAAAAAUAUGAAGACUACUUUAACAAAUGGCUACUCCCUAUUUUCCCCAAAUCCAAACAAUGCCACUAAUCUUUUGUCCCCACUAAAAUCUACAAGCGAAGUGGGUCGGGGAUGCGAGAUUUCACCUUUGAGGUGCAAAUAACCUCCCGGAGGUGGAUGUUCAUCCACGUGUCGCAGUUCACCAAGUGCCCGUUGUACGUCUCGCCGUUCUUAAGCUCCACGAGCUAAAAAAAAACCACACAAAAGUUUCAAACCCUAGCCGAUCAGAAACCAAACCAAACAACCACCACGCACAGCGCGAAGCGGCGGAUCUUCUCUUACCAUGGGAUGCCCCUGGGCGGUCUUGAGGAGCGAGAGCGGAAGCUGCAACCACAACACAAACACAGAAUCAGACACGGCCGCAUUAAUUUGGGGAUCGAGAGGGUACAGAUUGAGAAAUAGAGAGAGAGACGAACCAUCUUGCGCUAGAUCCGGAAACAGCGAUGCCGGCGGGGGAGGAGGAGCAGAUCGUCGCCGGCGCGGGGAGGAAGGCGGCGGCGGCGGAGGCGGAGGCGGCGAGAGGAGGGGGGAUUCCGGGGGGUCAAAACCCUAGUCGCCGCCGCGGGCUUGUUGGGUGGGGAGGCGAGGCGAGGGGGGAAGAGCUCGCGAGCAACGAAGAAAAACAAGAGAGGGUCCCGGACCGAAAGAGUUAUGUACACGUGUCCCAAAUAAAAGUUCAAGUUGUUAUAAACCGCCUAUAUAUACGAGUAGAGACUAUAAAGAAAACUGCCGUAAUUUUAAAGGAUAAACUUUCAAAUCUUGUAAUUGUAAUAUAAUUUUACUCUAACUAUAAUAUAACUUAUAUAUAAGUAUUGAAAUAAUAUAUAUAAUUUUUUGUCUAACUUAUAUGGUGGUUAUAAUGUAGUUAGUGCAGUUACAUUUUACAAUGUACUUUAUACAGAGAUUACGAUAUAGUUUCUUAUAGUGUAACAAUAUUGUAGUUACACUAUAAUUAUACUAUAGAUAUUUUUUUUCCAAAAAAACUUGCGACAGUAUUUUAGUAAUUCUGAUACCCGGUAUACGACUCCUUUAUCCUUUUCAAAAUUAGGCAUAUAUGGUCUAUUUCCUAGAGGAGAAAAACUAAAGUCCCUCAAAAUAAUUUUUUAAGGAAAUUGUAAAAAAUACUAGUACUACAUUUCCAAAAUAUAAUUUUAUUUGUACAUAGAGAUUAUAAUUGUUAUCAAGUCAUACGACUAGUCACGAUUUUAGUGAUAGAUUAGUUGUAAAGUUGGUCAAGCUAAUCGACUAGAGAACCACGUCUCGUCCAAACAGCAAGUCGUGGUUCAUCGUAAAGUCGGUUGCGAAUUAUUAAUUCGCCAUGCUAAUUAGCUUGUUGUGUUUAAUACUUUAGUUUUAUUUCUUGUUGAUUUAUUGUCUUGCUACUAUAGAUCAUAAUUUAUACUUUAUACAAUGCUUAGUAUAGUAUAAUAUUAGUAAAGACUAUAUGUUGCAUCCCUGUUUUUGCAUGGGCAAGUCAUCAGCUAGUGAUGGACUAGUUGACCAAUCGGUCCAGGGUACCUCGACUUGAUUUUACGAGUUGGAAACCAUGGAGAUUAAGGUUAAAGAGAAAAGAUUUCGAUGUCCAAUAUCAAGGCCUAGUUUGAAUCUUCAACUUAGUUUAGCUUUUUGGUGGCACUCAAAACAGGUAAGCCAAUAUCAUAUAAUUAAUUGAGUAUUAAUUACCGUAAAAUUUAAACUUAAACUUAUUUGAUUUUUUUAAAUAACUUCUAUAUAAUAAGUUUUUGUAAAAGAAAACAUUUAACAGUUUGAAAAACAUGUUAAAAAAGAUAAAGUUGCAUUUUAGAGUUGAAUAAACGAAUGCGGCUUAAAUAAGAUAUGGUUAGGGGCAAGAAAGUGGUUAAGGAAGAGAUGGAAAGAAAUUUUAAUGGGAAACAAUUAAAAUAAGUAGUACUUUAUACUUUAUAGUGCUAGGAGUGUUUAUAUUUUAGUGCAAACUACAAAUGUUGGUGGUUCUUAUAUUUUGAAACAAAGAGAUAGUUCAAAAUAUAUCAUUUCGGUUUAUCAAAAUUAUAAAAGUUGGUUCUCUUGAUCAUAAAUAUUUGACGUUUGUUAUAAGAUUUUGUUGAUCAUCACAUAAAGACAGGAGUCAAAAAUUUGUGUCUCGUCUCCUCCCCCUUCAACAUCAGCAAAUAAAUGUCUAGGUGAUAUCACACUACUUUAUACUACAUGUCAUGGGUUGUUGACACUGCAUUCUGACCACCAAAGCCCAUUCAAAAAUUCCCUUUGAUUCAGAAUGCAGUAUCAGGUGUGAGCCAACUCAAAAGGUAGCACAAUCUUGAUGGCGCAUACGUGUGAACCAACUCAAACAGAGGCACAGCACAAUCUUAGCAUUGCACUCGUUGGGACAAUCAAGUAAUUGAACUAGCCAAAAUUCAUAUAGCUAGCCAUUGAUUGUGCAAAUAAUGAAAUAUGGUGCAUGGCGGUUGUAACUUUUACUGUGUAAUCCACUCACUAAACUAUGAGAAGUGAGAACACAUGAAAAGAAAGUAAUGACACCAAGUUAAGUAGUAAACUGCAAACCGUGUAACAUUUGAUAUGACUUAAUUACAAAAUCAAAACAACAGUACUCCAGUUAGGACUCUAAAAGAAAACAUAUUCAUAUUUUUCAAGGGACCAUUUUGUACAGUGUGUGGUCCUAGCUUCAAAGACUUUCCCUAUCCUCUCUUAAAAAGGGGAACUAAUCAUGUCCCCUUUCCUUGGUGCAUAAAGUUCCUAGGUACAUUGACUACACACAAAGAUGAAAAAUGACAGCCCAACCACAGUUUGGUGGCAUUACCAAAUGACUAUUUUACUAAUUGCACAUAACAUGUGUUGUUAUAGGUAGCUAAAGACCACUUCCAUUAACCCACCUUGAAUUGAUCCUCUCAAACAUGGGUCAUUUUCACCAAAUAUGCAAUCUUUUAUUUUUGGGCCCAAAAAUGUUCUUUUUUUCAAAGUAACACUGAUUAAAAACUGUCCACCAUAUAGUGCCUGAUCUGACCCAAAUAAAAUGAAAUAAAAUAAAAUCAACUCGGAAAUGACAGCUCAACUCGAUAGACGCCGAUGUUUCUUUUCUUACAAGCUGGAGUAGCUUGUAUGCAUGAAUUUGGCCUAGAUCAUAGCUAGUACUAAAUUCUUUUCCACAACCUAAUUAAUCAAAGAAAAAAAAUUUCCCUUAAAAUUAAUGAUCAUCUGCCUCCGCCCACAGAAACUAUACCCAAGCUAAAAAAUCUAUCAAACAUAUCUGCUUAUCCUAAUUGGAAUAUUCAAACAAAAAUCAUUAAUCAUGCAGAUAAGCAGAUAAACAAAAAACUGAAGCAAAAUUGCAAGCGCCAGUUAAUUUGCAUGCAUAUAGAUACAAAAAAACAUAAUCUUGAUCACUUUAAUUUCACCCAAGCAGCAUAGCAAACAACACCAUCCAUCCAUUAGGACCAUUACACAUCUAAUCAAUCAAGCAUGAGAGGCAUGCAAGGACAACACUGAGAUCUUGACAGCUAUAGCAUAUAAGCUCAGCUAUGAUCAAGGGGACACUGUGCGUGUGUUCUUGCUGCGAACUACAUGGCAUUGGAUUUAAUUUCAUUAAUUAGCUAGCUCGGUCGAUCGAUCGAUCGAUCAUCCCCUGCACUGGGUGAUGGCGGAGCAGCCGCGGGAGUAAGGGUUGGCCUCGGCGCCGGGCUGGCAGUUGUAGUAGGACGCGCCGCGCUGCGAGCACGGCACGCUGUCGCGCCGCAGCGCGUCGUACCCGAUGUACCCCGACCCGCCCUGCAGCACCCGCCGCUUGCCCGUCGCCGCCGCCGCCAGCUCGUCCUCCCCCUCGCCGUCGACGCCGAGGAACUCCAUGCACUCCCCCACCGUGCCACGGCACGUCCUCCCUCCCCGCCUCAUCACCACCGCCGCGCGCCCCACCACGCCGCCCUCCACCAGCGUCGCCGCCGCCGCCGACGCCGACGACGCCGCUGACGCCGCGGCGAGGAGGAACGCGAGCAACGCUACUGCCGCCGCCGCCAUGCCGAUGAUCUCGUCGACGAGGAAGAAAGGUGGAGAUUGGUGUGAGGUGUGAGGAGGAGGAGGUGGGGGUUUAUAUCAAUGGCGGGAGAGGGGAGGAGGACGAGGCAGUAGGUGAGAGGCGAGGCGAUGGCGCGUCGGCGUCGGUGAGGUGACGUGGCGUAACAGCGACCGUUGGUUGGGCUGGAUCGAGAUCAAGAUCAAGAUCGAGGUCGCUCUCUCUCUCUCUCUCUCUCUCUCUUGCCGUCGAUGAUCUUUUGCGGUCGUAUGCGAAUACUAAUGAUUGAGCGAGGUAGCAGCAGUAUUAUUCUUCACUCAUUGGGAGUGUGACAUCAGAUGAUGGGGGUUUCUCUGUGCUAACUAUAUAUUUUCGUCUCCUACUAACUCCUACUGUGUUAAGGAAAUUUAUUUUGUAGAGAAGAAAUCAAAGGCUAAAUUUAAUAUAUAGGGUUGGUUAUAAGGUGAUUUCCAUGCAAUGCAUAUGGCGCCUUGUAUGCAUGGUGGCAAGAAAUAGUUUUAAAAUGAAAAUAGCAAUAUAGAUCGGGUACUGUCCACCAAAUAAAUAUAGUUAAUGUCAUUUCUCUAUUUUUUCAGGAAGCCACGCUACCUUGCUUAUUUUAAACCCUUCGAUGAAUAAUUUAUAUAUGGCCUAAUUAGCUCUCUUAUUUCUCUCCGGCCUGUUUCCUCACAAAGAAAUAUCAUCUCAAUUAUUUCUUACCUUCCAAGUUCAGAUGGAUGGUUAAUGCUUUGUUCGGAUUAUAUAUCUCACUUCUCUCCAAACUGCAUCAUCUCAAUUGUUAUGGUAUUUUUGAACUAUUGAUCAAUGGUGCAUACACAAAUCAAGAACAUCGUUUAGCUACAAAGCAAUCCAUCUUGUAACUAAUUUCUACCAUUGUCACAUAAUCCUACAGAAAUGCCAAAGGUUUCAUCUCGUGUAACAUGAUAGGCACAUGCUCUUCAAUAUUGCACUACAGUUUUCCCUUUUUUUUUUCCCUUCAAGGACAAAACUAGCUCCGGUACUGUUGAUAACUUGGUCAUAAGGCUUUACUCCAGCAAUAUAAUGUUCACUAUACCUAAUUAAUUGGGCGUGAUGGUACAUUAUCGACCGGUACUGUCAGACCUACUAAUUAAACGACCUCCAAUCCUACGGUUUACUUGAAUUCUACGAUAGUACAUUAGUACUCCACUAUAAGAUAAGUGAUGGAAUUGAUAUGACCUUAAUUUGGUUACUAUUUUCUCCGUUUUCAUAUUAAAAGACUUUCUAGUAUUGUUAAUAUUCAACAUCUCUAUGAAUAUAGACAAUGCUAGAAAGCCUUAUAAUAUGAAACGGAGGGAGUAUCAAUUAUCAAAAUAAUUAAUGAUCUCACAUAGGAAAUAAUAUAAUUAAUUUUGCUCAGUUUAGUUUACAUAAUUAGCUUGACAACAGUAUAUCAAAUUAAAGUAUGCAUGUGGUACACGUACGCACCCACUGUUCUGUGGCACUUUGCUUGUCUUGCACAUAUCUGCUGUUUGCCAACACACACUUAAAAACUCUAGAUACGAUGCAGCCUUGGCUACCCACACGCUUAAUUACCAGUUAUUAACUUAUUAUAUAUUGAUCCAACCGUGUUGCUGAGUUAUUAAAAAAAAUUCGUGUUGCUGAUGAUGCAUGUGUCGUGGGCUUUGUGUGUGAUCUCCUUCUUUCUAAUGCAUAAGCUUGCUCUGUAUUUCACCGGUUGCUUGCAUCCUGGAUUUGUGGUCGCCUUUUUACAAGAAACGACGUGCAGAUUAUUGCAUACAACAAUUACCAUCACUUUAAAAAAUCAUCCUCGAUAGUCCAUCUUUAUCGAUUCACGUCGAAUUUAUGUCUAAACUAGUUAGUGAAUAAAUAGUGAAUCGUCCGGCCAAUUCUCCUUAUCUAAAUCCCACGGGCCCAAUAAUCCCCCUUCCCUAACAUUCUCUGUCUUUAUCUCUCACUCAUCCUUUCUACUGUCUCGCACUAUAGACCUCCAUUUUGAUAAAUAAUUUGUAGCUAAAUAUAGUUUAAUAACCAAUUAUGUUAAAUUCGACUGAACGUUCACUCGUAGGUAAAUUGUACCGGAACAAGUGAUAUGUCAGUUCGUACUAUUCCAUUCAAUAUUUGUUGGCAUUUGACCGGAAUGAACAGUACCGCCGCUAGUUACGUAACGUUUUUAAGGGGUCGAAUGGUACGUACCAGCCAUUCCAGCUGAUACCAGAACAUAAUUGAUAACCUUGGUCAUGUUCUCUCAUCCCAAAAUAAAAUUAUUUCUACCAUGCAUUUAAUCCAUGUUCCAGAAUAAAACUAUUUCUACACCUAUCUUUUCAAUCUCUAUUUAAUUUUUUUCACCUACUUAAUCUUUUUUUUACCAAUCACAAACUUCUCUUGAUUAUUCUCACACAUUAUCUUAAUAUCCAUAUUUAAUUUUAGAAAUGGUUAUAUUUUAGAACAGAUCGAAUAUGAUCCAAGCUUAGCCGCUAAACCCUAGGGCUUGGCUGGCACAGGUACUUAACGUCCUACUGAACUUUUAAUGGCACGCACCACGCAGUUAUCGGCACAACAUUAGCUAGCUUAUCUUCAUCGAUAGGUUUUGCUUAGUAACUGUCACGCAAUGCACAGCAAAGCGUGAGCUACGAAUUGAUGGGUCAAUUGACACUACUACUCCUACUAACACGGCUCAACAAGUCAAGAUUAUCGUACACAAGGCAUUGUAGUAGUCUUAAGGGGAAAAAAAAUGAAAGCAGAGAAUAAGAAAAGAGCAGCUAAAGAGAGCUACCAAUAAUUAAUCAAUCAAGUAUAGUGAAUGUUGCAUGGAAGCAGAGCAGGACGCCGGCCGGCCGCUGGCAAUUAAAAACCAACAUCAUAUAUUCAUUUAUGUAACACACGUACAUAUAUACUUGGUGCGUGAAUUUAAUCAUUUUCAAUGUGGAACUACAGCGCUGGCCUAAACUACAUAUUUUUUCGAACGUGUAAAAGAAUUGCACGUUAACAUAUUAGUAGAAGGAACUGGCUUGAACUAUAUUAGUUGUUUUGCACAAAAAAAAUAACUGUUUCAAAGGAGAAAGGAAGUGUGAAACAGUUGCGAAUGCUAGAAAGAUUUUUGAGUCUGGACAAACUUUAAUAGAAGUAGUAUUUACUAUAGAAAUUUUAUCAUCAAUUUACUUAUCAAUAUUAAAAUUUAAUGGAGUUUUUGCAGACGAGCCUAGGCGGCUCCUGGGCUAGCCGGUCGGUGACUCCGCCACUGGUGUGAAAUAAUUAACUACUCAAUCAGAUAAAAAGCAUUUGACAUUUUACGGUAAUAAUUGUCAAACUUUUAAACUUUGACGUUGAUUUUAGAUGAGAAUAGAUUUAUAAUGUACUCCCUCUGUCCUAAAAUAAGCGCAGUCAUGAGUUUUCGUAUCUAAUUUUGAUCAUCCGUCUUAUUGUUAUUAGAUUAUAAAACAUAAAUAGUAUUUUAUACGUAGCUUAUGUUUUUUAGUUUUUUUCAAAAAAAUCAAAUAAAACGGACGAUUAAAGUUGAAUGCAUAAACUUAUGGUUGGGCUUAUUUUAGGACCCGGGCGGGGGGGGGGGGGGGUAUAUAAUAAGUUACCAUGCAUACUUUAAAAUUUGAACCGAGCACUCGAGAAUAUGCCGAUGGUCAGAAGUCUAGAAUUUUGAUCAAAUCUUGUUAUACACAUCAAAUAUUUACAACCGAAGAAAUACUCAAAGAAAAUUUAUAUAUGCGUGCUAUAGGCGAUGGAUUGAAACGAGAAAAUUGUAGUGCUUACACCAACAGAUUUAGAGGUGAGUAUAUACUUUAUUUGGAAAAAGAAAAGAAUUACAAUGUACUGUACGAAAUGGUUGGUACGUGCCAUCUAUCCGACGCGUCAAAUUUAUUUUAUUCGUCUUCACAAAGAAAAAUUAAAAGAAAAACUGUAGUAUACCCCACCGUACGUGCUGCGCUGGUAGAAGCCAAAGGGACGCUUUGAACACAUCCCUGUCUUCACUUUGGCCGACAAGCCGACCCCACCGUAGUAGCUACAAACUUGUCCUCUAGCGAUCGAAAUCGAGGUUAAUUUGGGGUGUGUUAUUCCUGAGAAAAGUUAAAAGUUUAAAAAAGUUAGGAGUUUAGAAAAAAAGUUGGAAGUUAAUAUGUGUAGGAAAGUUUUUGAUGUGAUAUGAUGUGAUGGAAAGUUGGAAAUAUGGGAACUAAACAUGGCCUUGUAGUAGUAUGAUUUUUACCUGAAAUAUUUACCGUGUUUCAAAGUGCAUUUGCUAGAGAUAGAUGAUUGUUGAUUUCGGAUGGUUUCAAUUUUGAGGAGCCCAUUAAAUCUUGCCAACUUUGCAAAAGAUAAAAGAAUAUGACCACAUUUUGUUUAAUCUUAUACUAUACAGUUGAAGUCAUGGUUCGAGAUCUUGUAUUUUAUCUAUCUGCGUACCUAUCUGCAAAUAGCUCUACGUUCACUUUAAAUGCUGAUAAUUUUUUUUUAUAAUUUGACAUGUAUAUAACUUUAUCGUUAGAUCACGAUGAAUCCAGGUUACAGUGGUGUAGUUUGAUUGAUAAAUUCUUCACAAAAUACAGUAAUAUAUAUGAAAUCAAAAGUAAGAGCUGUAUAUGAAAUUUUACAUUAUUUUCAGUAUCAUAAAAAUUCAUAAUUUCAAUUUUAUCUAGCAUGAGCAAAAUUCCUCUAGUUCACGAGGAAAAAAGAGAGAGGGGCACAUGCACACCAAUUCUAGGAUUCGAAUCAAAAUAUGUAAAACAACUUAUUCCUUUCACCGUCUGGCUAUGGGCAUGGUUUUCCACCGCCUCUAUACCAUACAGUAAUAUAUAAGAUAUAUGGACUGUCUAACAGUUGCUUGAAAAUUUUUAAAAUUCAAUUAAUUUUUGGACGACUAGAAUUACAACGAGAUUCGUGCGCUCUUUUUCUCUGUCCUCCACCCGGCCAGUACUAGGACGACGCCCGACCAUGCUAUCUACGCAACCGCACAGUCCCUAGCCUCGCCGGCUAGCCAAAAGGCAUCAAUGGCACCGGCAAGGCCCUUAUCUCCAGGGCCUCCCUCGCC